GCCGUCGCGUGCACGGGGGACGGGCUGGUUGUGAGCGGGUCGGCGGAUCACACGGUUCGGGCAUGGCGGCGCGAGACGGACAGACGGGGGCACACGUGCGUCGCCGUGAUCGACGGGCACGGCAGCGCUGUCCGUUCGGUGGCCGUGGCUCUCGUGCCGGGCAAGCAGCAGCUGCAGGCAGGAGGAGACGACCAUGACGACGGCGACGAGGAAUGGAGGGUGUGCAGCGCCAGCUUUGACGGCGAGGUGCGGGUCUGGUCAUUGCGGGUGACGACGGGUUUGUAGUAGGUUGGAUUUGCUGCGAUUUUUGACGUUGGAAAGUGUGUUUUCCUGAUUUUUGGUCUGAUCUUGAUAGUUGGAGAUAGAGAUACGUACGGUGCUAUCUGCCUGUACAUGCAGGGAAGAGGUAAUCUAUCGACCUGUAUAUUUGGACGCCAAAUUUGACAAAUUUGAUCUAUUGAGGCAAAAAAUUCACAAACUAAAUUAUUCACAAAAAACAAAAAAAAUCAUCCGGCUAACCGGUUUGUAUGGCGUCCGACGGAAAGGCGACACACUCCAUUGUGUAUUGUUGAAGACCUAGACGCCGCAUCUCCGGCCACGCUGGCACCUUCAGGGCCGACCCCAUCCUCAUAGUGUGGCGUUUAAGACGAGCAAUGCUACACAUACAUAAUUUAGAUGAAUUUUACAAAGAGGUGGAUUUUGAUUGGAGAUUAAGGGGAUGAGGGCCCCAUCCUCUUUGAAAAUCAGGGAGGAAUGGUUAGUUAGAAAAAAAAGAAUCAUAAUCAGCGUGUAACUUUAUGUAACUCUUUGUAUGUCUAGCAUUUUUGCGUCUAAGACAAAGGCGUCAUACUUGUAAUAUCUUGCGACUUGCUCUUAGACGCCACACUUUGAUUUAUACACCCGCAGGUCGGCCCUCCCCUCUCCUCUCCCUAUCUCCGCUCCCACACAUCUUGAGAGAACAUCAACUCCGUCCCCUACUUCCCCUCUACUCCCUUCUCAAAUCUCUUCCCAAAUCAAGCACAUUUCUCCCCUGUGAAGUUGCGUGUCUGUGUCCACCCACUCCGACGGAUGACCCUGGACCAACCCAAAUUAAUGGAACACACAAUGCGGGAGAUGAAACUCAAUCGAUCAAUUGCAUAUCAGUGGACACCGCAUAAGCGAAAGAUGUUCAUCUUGUAAGCACACUGGAUUGAGCCGGAACGUGUGUGCAUCACCAAAGCGAUGCCCGACACCAUGUGGUUGGCAUUCCACCUGCAACACAACACAAAAAGGCAACAUUCAUGUUUUCCUUUCAUGUAGAGGAGUCAAGUGAGUGAUGUAAUAUCAAUGUUUACCUGCUUGGCGGUAAGCGAAUCCAUCUCGUUGGUGUAUUGCUUAUACACGAUAUUGACAUCGCUCGUCACCUCCGAUACCACGUCCCACUUAUAAGCUCAGGUGGGAAGCCGUAUAGGGUUGUCGUGGUCAUCGAGGCCUUGAACGUUACCUCUCUAGGGCGUCCAACUGAAAGGCGUUUCCAACUCCAUACCGAAAGUAGGAGCAUACAACCAUCAAUUCCGUCGUCUUUCGAGGACCUACGACAAGCAUCAUUAAACUGCACGUAAAGCCAAACACGGGUCAAUUAAGGGCAAGAGUGAAAGCCAAACAAAACCUAAUUAUGAAUGAUUUGUUACCUGCCGAUACAAGUAGGCCAAUGUCGCCGACCCCCAGAUGAACUUGUGGCCGAGGACUGUCAGCGCAUUCAGCCACAUCCAUUGAGCGUUCUUGCCGCCGUUGUUAGCGAAGGUAGUCCUAGAGAUAACAUACCACAUUUACAUGUGAGCAUAAGCCUGUGUAACAUCUUCAUUGGAGUCCUCGGCACAAUUCGCAAAGUUGGCUACGAUCCAAGUGAAAGGAGCACCGGAUGGGACUUUGUCUUUUUUCUCUCCAUUUGCUGGUAUGCAAUACAACAGCUAUUCCACCAAUCUCUCUCUAAUCCUUCUAACAAGAAGCACGUUUAAAUCACAUUUUUUUGUGACCGGUUGUUGUCCUCUUUUACCGUUUGAGCUGGGUUCGAGGGAUACGCGUGUAGAUGCUCUAAGAGCAUCUCCAGCCGUUCGGCCCCCCACGAACGUGAAAUAGCGUCGUCUUGAGGUGCACCGGCGAAAAACUCGCCCUGGGGGGCUCGGGUUCCCAGUCGCCCCCAAAGGUCGCCCGAAUUGGUUUUACAAAAAAAAAAAAUCGGCCCAAAUUCGGUCAAAACCGAGUCAAAUUCAAAAGAAAUUCAUAGUUUGCAAUAAAUUUGUAAAAAAGGAAAUAAAAACAUAAUUAAACAUAAAACUAAAAUAAAAACUAGACUACAUCGCCGUCGCACGCCGCUGCCGCCUUCUACAUGCCGAGGAGCUUGUAGAAAGUGGUGUAGUCGCCCUCGGCGUCGUCGUCGUUACCGCCCGCUCCGUCGCCGUAUUUGCUCCACCCCUGCCCUGGGUCGCCUGCGAACGGGGUUAGAAGGCCCCGACGCCUCCUCGUCGCUGUCGUCGAGGAUGACGAGGCCGCCCUCCUCGCGGCCGCGAUGACGGACGACGAUUUCCUCCAGGACGCGGCGUUGACGCUCCAUCUUCUUCAAUUUCAAGACAGCCUCGUCGGAGGCAGCCAUGAUGAGGUGCUCCUACUUGACGGGCAGGAGCCCUGGCUCCGUCUUCGGCCUGAUGAGGCGGAAGGAAGAACCGGGUCCAUUGAUAACGAUGUCGGUGCUGCGUGUACGCCGCCCUAGCGACGUCUCCUGUGCCUCCGGCUGGACGGGGAUCAACGCCGGUGAUCUGGAGGAGCGGGACCGGGAGUGCCAACAACGCUAGUACCCGAAAGAUGGGAUGCCAACAACAAACGUGCCAUGCACAUACAUAGUUUAGUCGGUAGUGGCCAAUGAACCUCCGGGCAAAUCAGUGCAGCUGUAAAGCGGUCAUCCAUUGGUUGCUUGGAAGCUGGAGAUCGACCUGGAGUUUAGUAGCUUUCAUGUUGGCGUGGGCAGAUUCGAACUGGCACUGAGCGCGCGUGAUCUGAUGAACCAUACCCUCAGUGGUCCAACUGUUAAACCAUGGGCUCCUCCAAACAAGAAAAAAACUGAUGAACCAUGGGGCAUGAGCUUGAACUUGGAUGGGGCCGUGGGUUGCUGGCCAUGAGGUCCUCUUUUUUCUUACUCUUUUUCCAUAUAUUUUUUGCAGCUUGUAAGGAAUUUCUUUUUCAUGAAAAAAUCUUUGAUCUAUUCAUCAUCAAUCAUGACAGUACAACAAAUAUUUGAAAUAACAAAAAAUACAUAUAGAUUCAUAGAUUAACUGGCGACUACUACAAACACUGAAACGAGCCAAUGGCCGUCGUCAUCACCCCUCCUUCAUCAAAGCCGGACAAAAUUUGUUAUAGUAGACAACUGCAAAGUCGUCGUGCUAAGGCCUCAUAGGAUCAGCGGAUCAGAACAACAACCGUCGUUGAUGAAGAUAAGCGUAGAUCGAAAUUAUUCAAUCAAAAGUCACACGAGCACAGACAGAUGAAGACCGGAUCCGACCAGAUCCACCAUAAACAACUACCAGCUAAAGUCUACGAGAUCCCUCGAAAUCACACCUCCACAUGCCCUCCAAUAACGCUAGUCGGACCAUCGAAACGGGGCCUAUGCGGGGAGGACCUUAUUGAAUCUUCAAGGAGACGCUGCCACCUCGUCUUCCUCAGCAAUACACAAACCCUAAACGGACACAAGAAACAUGUAAAAAUAGAGGAGGAGCCCUCCCGCUAGCAAGGGCCUACACCCAGCACACCUCCAUGGCCUAAGGUCAUAGGUAGGGAUGUAAAUGAUACGGAUAAUUUCUGUUCUGAAUCCGCUUUCGCAUCUGUUUUUAAGGAUAUGGUAUACACUUACACAAAUCGCAAGGAUAUGGAUGCGGAUACGAAUUUUGAUCAACCAGAUAUCCGGCGAAUAUGAUAGAGGAUAUGAUAUUGAUAAUAUCCGACUGAUAUAGAUUAUCUGGUAUUUUUUACGGAUUGUCCGCGGUUGUCAAAUAGGAUUAUUCGAUAAAUUUAGCCCAUUUGAGAAGAACAAAUGCCCACGUGGGCCAUUAAUAAAAAUCACCACAUAUAAAUAGAUGUCGUACGUACAUAUACGCUGGAGCGCAUCGGACAUAGGUGUGUGAUUGCGUACAUGUAUGCAGGUGAUGCAUCUACACGGUGGUUUGCUUACAUAUACAUAUAGGAUUUCUGAGUAUAAACAAGUAUGAACACAGUAGUGGUUCCUUCUUCCACGUAUGCAGUCACGUACAAGUAUGAACUCAAGUUAAUUUGUAGUAGUCGAAUAGAGCAGACUUCAUCUUAACAGACUACAAAACAAAAUGAAUUUAUCGAUACUACAUAUUGUUACUAUAUCAUGGGAGUUAUAGCUUAAAAACACCAGUGUUAUGCGCUUGCAUGGAUACAUAUUUUCACAUUGUAGCAUAAUAGAAAUAAAUCAUGUCUUUUUACACGUAUCCUUCGAAUUUUUUUGUCCGUUAUCUGUCCGAAUCCAGUUCGCACCCGAUCCGAAUCCUUGGUCCGAUGUAAUCCGCAUUCGAAUCCGCAUCCGGUUAUUAUUCGCUCCGCUCCGAAUCCGACCUAAAAAUAUGAUAAGGGAUAUGGUAAAAGCAUUAUCCGAACCGAUUCCAUCUGUUUACAUCGGAACGAGGUAGAACGAUGGUGCUGCCAACGGGUUCUCUCUUGCGUAAGUGAAAAUGUACAGAGUUGACCCUUUUCUCAAACUUUCGCACAAAGUAAAUCGCGUUGAAAAAUAUUUCAAAAAUUAACCCUUUUCCAUGAUGUCUAUGGGUUGGGACGCCAUGUUAUAUAGCAUGACCCCCUCGGUAGAGGGGGUUGUCACGCCAUUCAACAUAGCGCCCCUGUCCAGAGCGUCAUGCUAUCUAGCAUGGUGCCUCAGCCCUGGGCGUCAUGAAAAAGGGCAAUGUUUCAAAAUAUUUUCAAAUCCUGUUUUAUUUUGUGCUAAAGUGCUACAAAAGGAUCAAAUCUACCUAUUUUCACCCUUCUGUAUGUCCAAAACAGGAAAAAAUGCAUCCAUGUUUCUAGUUUCUUAUUAGAAGUUGAAAGCCUACUGUAUUGCAUGCUAUCUAUUUUGAUAAUGUAAUAUUUUAAUUCCCGUAUUACAAAAUAAUUGUUUGGGCCGUCAUUUUUGUAAUUCAACCGUAAACAAGAUUUUAGAGCAUUGAUUAUUAUUUGAAUUUCCUGUUAUCUUCCUAAUGUUCCGUCCAUUUUUUCCAAUUUUCUAUUAUUUUUUUGAGUAAAUCUUCUUCUCAAAGUUCAUUUCUACUAAAUUUCUAGUUUAUGAAAGCCACAUUUUUUGUCCAGAAUUUCAACAUGCUUUCACUAUUUUUUUUUCUCACCUUAGUUGAUUUUUUCAACAACAAGAAAGGAAGACAUCGUCUUUUUUUUUACUUUAUAGUCGACAGACCCCAAAAAAAAAAUCGUUGUACUAUUUCAGAAGAGUUCAUUUUCUCUUGGGGACCACACGCAUUUGAAGUACACAUGCGAUGCCAACUUCCAAUCAGCUGCCAUGCAACACAACACACCUUGUUGGGCGGCUGCGGCUGCGGCUGCGGCUGGAGCUUCGCUGUGGGCGACCCGCUCGGCUGUAAAGCGCCUUGUAUCGCUGGGUAGCCGGAGACCAGCCCGGAGGAGUCGAGUAGCUUUCACGGUGGCGUGCUCAUAUCAAUGGAGCCGACGUGCGCGUGCGAAUUGUUGAGCCGUACUCUUGUUGGAUACUCCGGUAGGAGCGACAAGACUCCGACGCCGGUUAGGACGAGCGCGCGCGUUGCAGUCUACGUCGGCAACAGUUCACAGUCUACGUUGCAGCCAUUUGUGGAGAUAUUUCGGCUCGGGGGUUGGUGCGUUGUGACUGCGUGAGCCCGGGUUGGCACCAGCCGGUUAACCCAUGUGUAGUAGACACAUCAGCUAUGCAGUAAAUAAAUUAAGUAACACCCGUGGUGAUCUCAGGCAGAUAACUACAAGAGGUCGCAUGCAGUAUCUGUCCGAUGGGAACAUGGCAGAAACUUUUAAGACCUGACCGGGCGACGAACUCAUGGGCGAAUCAGUGGGCUAGUUGGAAUUAACAAAGCGCCCAGUUGCGCGGAUUAGGCGGAGCUGGGUCGUCGCGGUUGGUCCCCCGAAUCUAUCCACGGAGGAGGAGGAGGAGCGAUGGCGCGUCAGGAGCAGGAGCAGGAGCUGCUGGGAUUUAAUUAGCUCUCCACUAACUCACGUACCCACACGCUCUCUCGAUCAACCAUGUUAAACCAUGUUUAAUCGAUCCAUUCCAGGCCGGCUGAUCCAUCAUUUUCUUGCGCUUGCCGAGCUAGCUACUACUCUCUCCGUUCCUAAAUAUAAAUCUUUUAAGAGUUUUUACAAAAAACUAUAUACGAAUAUAUAUAUAUAUAUAAACAUACAUUAAAAUAUAUAUUCUUUCAUUUUACUUCGUAUGUAAUCUUUUAAUAGAAUAUCUUAAAAGACUUAUAUUUAGCAACCGAGGGAGUAGUUGGUAGUGGCAGCAUAGCAUCCUCAAGUCAAAUGCAAUGCCGCACUUUACUCGUGCCAAAUGCUGAAUUCAGCCAGAGGCAAACGAUCCAGUCCUCUACUGACCUAGCUAGCUAGGUCUGAUUAACAGAGCGUGUCUCCUCUAGGCUCUAGCUAAGUGGAAGGAAGAUAAAACAGAUAACACACAUGUUUUGUCCUAUCAUAUUUCGCGAUGCUGAAAAUGUAUGCGGCGAAUUGACUGUUGAGCACAUGCGAUGGGAGGUGCCCCACAUGUAUGUACGUAUAGUAUCACAACACAGAAAUACAAUUUGACAAAAAAAAAAUCAAUGGGAAAGGACCAACGGUGGCUAUUUUUUAAACACUCCACAUGCAUGUGCUGAAGUUUGGCAUGUCAGCCCGUAGCUGGCUUGAUUGCAAGACGCCACGGCGAGGUCAAAAACAAGUGGCCGGUUUUCGCCUGAGACCGCUCCCCCGUGCGUGGUUUCAACGGACCAGGCAAGUCAAGCGCGUCUACAUGCAUGAACGCCCCGGCGUUCCGAAUAUUCCAUCAUUAAUUUUGUCAACAACUGGGUCGAGGGGACGACUACUGUAGUAAGCCAUGUCAACUGCGUAGCCAAAAGCAUCUUCAACCAUGACACAAGUUCGGGCCAUCAAACGUCCGCGAACGCGUUUCGUUCAGUGAUCAGACGUGUUCUUUAUUUGUUCGAUACGUGUAACUAUAUAUUUCUUUCUUUAUAUAUCCAGUCACUAGUACAUGAUUGAUAAAGAGAAACAGAGAGAAAAAAAUCAUGGAUAAAGAAAAAAAAAGAGGUCCGGGUGAGGUCGCCUCUUAUGUGGCGGCGCGUCCGCACACGUCCGUAUACCCUCAUAUCCUUCCUAUAUUUAACAUGGAUAUGAGGAUUCAUGGACAAGCCAGACAUAUAGAAACGAUAUGAAGAAUCCAGUUAAGUCAUUUUCUCUCAUGUCCGAUCACUGACCGGAUGCGUCCACGGACGUAUGAUGGGUUGUUUGAAAGGUCCGGCUAUAAAUGCGCCCCCGGAUGCGUCCACGGACGACCCAAACUAAUAGACGUAGCAUGUUGAUCGUGUCAUUUUGUUGCUACUGUUUUCUGCGUGUCAAGUAUUUAUUCCUAUGACCAUGAGAUCAUAUAAACUCACUGACACCGGAGGAAUGCUUUGUGUGUAUCAAACGUCGCAACGUAAUUGGGUGACUAUAAAGAUGCUCUACAGGUAUCUCCGAAGGUGUUAGUUGAGUUAGUAUGGAUCAAGACUGGGAUUUGUCACUCCGUGUGACGGAGAGGUAUCUCGGGGCCCACUCGGUAAUACAACAUCACACAUAAGCCUUGCAAGCAAUGUAACUUAGUGUAAGUUGCGGGAUCUUGUAUUACGGAACGAGUAAAGAGACUUGCCGGUAAACGAGGUUGAAAUAGGUAUACGGAUACUGACGAUCGAAUCUCGGGCAAGUAACACACCGAAGGACAAAGGGAAUGACAUACGGGGUUAUACGAAUCCUUGGCACUGAGGUUCAAACGAUAAGAUCUUCGUAGAAUAUGUAGGAUCCAAUAUGGGCAUCCAGGUCCCGCUGUUGGAUAUUGACCGAGGAGUCUCUCGGGUCAUGUCUACAUAGUUCUCGAACCCGCAGGGUCUGCACACUUAAGGUUCGACGUUGUUUUAUGCGUAUUUGAGUUAUAUGGUUGGUUACCGAAUGUUGUUCGGAGUCCCGGAUGAGAUCACGGACGUCACGAGGGUUUCCGGAAUGGUCCGGAAACGAAGAUUGAUAUAUAGGAUGACCUCAUUUGAUUACCGGAAGGUUUUCGGAGUUACCGGGAAUGUACCGGGAAUGACGAAUGGGUUCCGGGAGUUCACCGGAGGGGGGCAACCCACUCCGGGGAAGCCCAUAGGCAUUUGGGGGGGGUCACACCAUCCCUUAAUGGGCUGGUGGGACAGCCCACCAAUCCCCUAUGCGCCAAGAGAGAAAAAAAUCAAAGGAAAGAAAAAAAAAGGAAGAAGUGGGAAAGGGGAAGGACUCCCUCCCACCAAACCAAGUAGGACUCGGUUUGGGGGGGAGAGUCCUCCCCCCUGGCUCGGCCGACCCCUUGGGGAUCCCUUGGACCCCAAGGCAAGGUCCCCCUCCCUCCUCCUAUAUAUAUGGGGCUUUUAGGGCAGAUUUGAGACGACUUUCUCACGGCUGCCCGACCACAUACCUCCAUAGUUUUUCCUCUAGAUCGCGUUUCUGCGGAGCUCGGGCGGAGCCCUGCUGAGACGAGAUCAUCACCAACCUCCGGAGCGCCGUCACGCUGCCGGAGAACUCUUCUACCUCUCCGUCUCUCUUGCUGGAUCAAGAAGGCCGAGAUCAUCGUCGAGCUGUACGUGUGCUGAACGCGGAGGUGCCAUCCGUUCGGUACUAGAUCGUGGGACUGAUCGCGGGAUUGUUCGCGGGGCGGAUCGAGGGACGUGAGGACGUUCCACUACAUCAACCGCGUUCUCUAACGCUUCUGCUGUACGAUCUACAAGGGUACGUAGAUCACUCAUCCCCUCUCGUAGAUGGACAUCACCAUGAUAGGUCUUCGUGCGCGUAGGAAAAUUUUUGUUUCCCAUGCGACGUUCCCCAACAGUGGCAUCAUGAGCUAGGUUCAUGCGUAGAUGUCUUCUCGAGUAGAACACAAAAGGUUUUGUGGGCGGUGAUGUGCGUUUUGCUGCCCUCCUUAGUCUUUUCUUGAUUCCGCGGUAUUGUUGGAUUGAAGCGGCUUGGACCGACAUUACUCGUACGCUUACGAGAGACUGGUUUCAUCGUUACGAGUAACCCCCUUUGCUCAAAGAUGACUGGCAAGUGACGGUUUCUCCAACUUUAGUUGAAUCGGAUUUGACCGAGGAGGUCCUUGGAUGAGGUUAAAUAGCAACUCAUAUAUCUCCGUUGUGGUGUUUGCGUAAGUAAGAUGCGAUCCUACUAGAUACCCUUGGUCACCACGUAAAACAUGCAACAACAAAAUUAGAGGACGUCUAACUUGUUUUUGCAGGGUAUGAUUGUGAUGUGAUAUGGCCAACGAUGUGAUGUGAUAUAUUGGAUGUAUGAGAUGAUCAUGUUGUAAUAGAAAUAUCGACUUGCAUGUCGAUGGUACGGCAACCGGCAGGAGCCAUAGGGUUGUCUUUAUACUAACAUAUGUGCUUGCAGAUGCGUUUACUAUUUUGCUAGGAUGUAGCUUUAGUAGUGAUAGCAUAAGUAGCACGACAACCACGAUGGCAACACGUUGAUGGAUGAUCAUGGUGUGGCGCCGGUGACAAGAAGAUCGUGCCGGUGCUUUGGUGAUGGAGAUCAAGAAGCACGUAAUGAUGGCCAUAUCAUGUCACUUAUGAAUUGCAUGUGAUGUUAAUCCUUUUUGCACCUUAUUUUGCUUAGAACGACGGUAGCAUUAUGAGGUGAUCUCUCACUAAAAUUUCAAGACGAAAUUGUGUUCUCCCCGACUGUGCACCGUUGCUACAGUUCGUCGUUUCGAGACACCACGUGAUGAUCGGGUGUGAUAGACUCAACGUUCACAUAUAACGGGUGCAAAACAGUUGCGCACGCGGAACACUCGGGUUAAGCUUGACGAGCCUAGCAUGUGCAGACAUGGCCUCGGAACACAUGAGACCGAAAGGUCGAUCAUGAAUCAUAUAAGUUGAUAUGAUUAGCAUAGGGAUGCUUACCACUGAAACUACUCUCGACUCACGUGAUGAUCGGACUUGGGAUAGUGUAAGUGGAUCAUGAACCACUCAAAUGACUAGAGAGAUGUACUUUUUGAGUGGGAGUUUAGCAUAUAAUUUGAUUAAGUUGAACUCUAAUUAUCUUGAACAUAGUCUAAGUCCACUUUGAAUAUAUUUGUGUUGUAGAUCAUGGCUCACGCAAGUGUCAUCCUGAAUUUUAAUACGUUCCUAGAGAAAGCUAAGUUGAAAGAUGAUGGAAGCAACUUUGUAGACUGGGCUCGUAAUCUUAGGCUUAUCUUACAAGCUGGAAAGAAGGAUUAUGUCCUUAAUGCUGCGCUAGGAGAUGAACCACCCGCUACGGCUGAUCAGGAUGUUAAGAACGCUUGGUUAGCACGUAAGGAGGACUACUCAAUAGUUCAAUGUGCAGUCUUGUAUGGCUUGGAGCCGGGACUUCAACGUCGCUUUGAGCGUCAUGGAGCAUUUGAGAUGUUCCAGGAGUUGAAGUUUAUCUUUCAGAAGAACGCCCGGAUCGAGAGGUAUGAGACCUCCGAUAAAUUCUAUGCUUGCAAGAUGGAGGAAAACUCGUCUGUCAGUGAACAUGUGCUCAAAAUGUCUGGGUACUCAAACCGUCUAGCUGAACUGGGGAUUGAACUCCCGCAAGAAGCUAUCACUGACAGAAUCCUUCAGUCACUGCCGCCAAGCUAUAAAGGCUUUGUGUUGAACUACAACAUGCAAGGGAUGAACAAGUCUCCCGGCGAGUUGUUUGCGAUGCUGAAAGUCGCAGAGUCUGAACUCCGUAAAGAGCAUCAAGUGUUGAUGGUGAGCAAGACCACUGGUUUCAAGAGAAACGGCAAAGGCAAGAAGGGCAAUUCGACACCUCUGGUUAGUUUGGGUAGCGGUGGCAGCGAUCCGGACCUCCAGGUCCAGAUCUGGACCCCCCGGGCCCGAUCUGGGUCUGGUCGGGACUGCCUCGUCGCCUCUGGUUAGUUUGGGGCGCGGCUCGCGACGGGGAUGACAACGUUGACAUCGCAUCGCUGCAGCAUGAUGAUGGGAGCGACGAUGGCGGCCUACAUGCAGCAGCACGGCAGCGGGGACUUUACGAGCCCCGGGACUUGGCCGACGCUCGGGCGGGCCUUCUUGGUCUGGUGUGUCCUGGCUGCUGUGUCCGGUCGGCACCCGCCGAUGGCGGUGGAGGACGCCCUCCGGGUGGCUGCGCUGCUGCUGCCCUUCGGUUCCAAUGGUUCGGUGUGCUCUCGUCGUCGUGUCCGGACGGCGACCGUCUUGGACGGUGGAGGUGGUCCCCUCCUGUGUGGUUGUCUCCCUGUCAGAUCGUGUCUUCGGGUGGUUCGCCUCAGACUGACCGGCCUUGCUAAGUUCACCAUGGUGAGACGACGAUGAUGAUUGCUAGACCGAGGUGGCGUUUGUUGGUGGAUGGCAUGCUUAGUGGUGCGUCUGUGAUUGUCUGGUGGGUGGUGGCUUGGGGGUCGAGAGAAAUCCUUGUCUUUUGACACCGACACGGUGACGCUUGAGAGUGCCACCCUUCCUUCCUGAAGGGUGUCGGGUGUGCCUCCUUCCCACGCCACGGGGGAAACCCUAGGACCUGUCCGGGCAGCAGUGUCGUCGUCGUCAUUAUCCUUCGUGAAGGUGCUGCUUGGUACGCGAUGGAUCAUGAUGCUUGGAUCAUGGUGGGAAUAUUCCGGAGGAGACGCAGCGGUCGCGGGUCAUUAUUGUUUUCGUUAAGCCAUCGGUGUUGGCAUUAUUUUCUCUUUCUUUUCUUUUUUGGCCGUGGAUGUGUUGUUUUGGCCCAACAGUGGUUUCAUGUUGUAUCAUGUGGUUGCUAUAUAUAUAGCGGGGUGAAAGCCUAUUUCGAGAAAUGCACUAAGCGAAGCAUGCUAGAUGUAUGGUGGUGUGGACGUGACGACACUGCUCCUACCGAUGGCCUCUCCUCUUCGAUUGCCUAUCUAUGGCGGAACAUAUCCAUAAGCCCCCCCCCCUUGGAAGGCCCGAAAAAGUCUCACACCCAUAACAAAUUACAACCGUAUAAUACUGGUGUCCAGUAAUAUACAGUCGACUUCUAUUUCCCCUUGUAAAUCAUGUCGUUCCCCUUCACGGUUCCCACGUCCGUGUAUUCUUCCUCAUUGACUCUUGUGGGAGAUGAAGAUGGACAAAUGGAUCAGGAAGCUGCUGCCGCCACCACCGCCCACCACCACCACCGCUCCUCCUUCCUCCAUUUGAAAAGCGACUGGAUCAUUCGAGCUCAUCAUGGCCGCUGCGCUCAAGAGGCGGCUGCCCUUGCAGGCCUUGCUCCGGACACUAUCCCGACCUCCACCUCUAUGAUCAAGGCGGUCCGCGACGCGCAGCCGGCUAAGAAGUCGCGUGGUGGCGGGCGAGCUCGACCAGGUCAUCGGCGACGACGAGAUCUGACGCAUCGGACAACCCCGUCAACAACAUCUAGCCGCCGACGCCGCCAAUGUCGUUGGCGCCUCGCCGACACCACAACCAGUCACUGACGUCGGCACUCCAUCAGCGCUAGAGCCUGCCCGUAUGUUGUGGUUGCGACGGCAAGCCAUCGAUCUUGCCUAGUCUCAUGAGAGCAUAGGAUUACGGAUUGGUGGGGAAAACGACGGGCUGAGGUGUGUAUCAAAUACCGGCUAAUUAUAGAUGUAAUCGAACGAAUCGGUGUAAAUGUUACAAGCCAAAAAGAUCAACCAGGCGUAUAUGGAUAGUUGGUCUGGUUUUUCCUUACGGAAGUAUAUUUUACCGAUGUAUUUGUUUUAAAAACGACAAUUCAAAGGGCCCUAAUCUGCAAAAGAACCAUGUUUACUACUCCCUCCGUUCUUAAAUAUAAGUCUUUAAAAAGGUUUCAUCAGUGGACUACAUACGGAUGUAUAUAGACAUAUUUUAGAGUGUAAAUUCACUCAUUUCGCUUCGUAUGUAGACUUCUAGUGAAAUAUCUUAAAAGACUUAUAUUUAGGAACGGAGGGAGUAGUACCCUCCGAUUCAAAAUAAAUGUUGUAACUUAUAUUACACUUAACUUAAACUGAGUAUAAAACUGCGACACUUAUUAUAGAUCGAAAUGUGCAGUAUAAAACACAAAUGUUGCAAAAAUAAUAAUUGAAACGCUGCAGUGGCAUGAUUGGAGCCGAGGUAUUCCCCUUCCAGAAGCUUCGCGCCACGUACCAUGGACGAAAGAGAGGGGUCCUGGAAAAAACUACUAUAUCCCGGGUGUUUGGUCAACUGUCACAACGUCACCGGCGCCCAUGUCCCGGCCUGGGAAGCUAGCAGACAAGCGAGGCCCAUGACUCGGAUAGGAGACAUGUCAGUGGAUUGAUGCUGACAGUAUGUGCCGAUCUGAUCUCGGAACUUGGACGCGCCUAAACUGCACUAGCACAUAAAAACUGUCGCUCCUAUAGAACUCUAAAUUUUUUUAGCAGAUGCAUCUGUUUAGACCAUGGAAGAAACAAGGAAUCGUGUUAACGCAAAGGGGUUCUGAAUGAGCAAAUAUGCUCGUGAUGUGGAGAGAACGGAAGCAGAGCAGAGACUCUGCUUUCAAAAGCGAUCGGCGAUGGUCAUGGUAAUGUUGGUCGUGCUCGCUUUUCCCGACCGUCGUGGCCUACCUAUUUAAGGGAGCAGCUUAAUCACGCCAACUGUGAUCAACAACACGCCUAACCACGCAGACUGAUGACAGGAUUAGAAACAAGUGUUGUUAUGACUUAUGGCUGCCGGCGGGGCGAUGAUAAUGAUACUACCUUCAAAGUUCAAACUACUUUACGACCAGGACCCCCGAUGAAACUUGGAAAAUACUUCACUGGCAUCUCAAAACUGGAAGAGGACGGCAACUUGACUUUUCAGCCAACAGAAUUUUCAUAUGAAUAGGAUGACAAGUUUUUUCAUAACGAAUAUAAGAGUAAGAAAUUAUAGGUUUACCAUUUUUAGGGGUGAUGCCAAUUUUGCCUCUGCGACCUACCUCACAACAGCACGAACAAAUCGUUCCCUGGGAACGUUCCUAUCGAGUGAACAAAAUCGUAUAGGGAAAUCCCCCACACAGCGCCCCCCCCCCACUCCCCCCUCGACGACCAAAGUUAUCGUACCAUAUGCGAGCCUUAAACUGGGCAUAAAAAAAUGCCUAUUUUCCUAUGGCGCACUACCAAACCUUAAAAACCUGUAUUUGGACCUAACUUGUAAUCAUUAUUUAAAAAAUGCCAUGGCGUACGUAAUAAAAAUGCCUUCAUGUUCAAAUUGAUCAUAUAUUGUCCAUUUAUCUAAAAAAUAUAUUGUACAUCCCAGAAAAACAAAUUACAGAACAAAAAAAAACUGCUACUUGUUUAAAAAAAGUUAUAUAAACUAUGAAAUCUCUAGGAUUUCAUAUAUAACACACAACUAAAACACAAGAAAAUAUAUGUACAGCAAAACUGCUAGUUGUCAUGUGAACAAAAACAACAUUUUAACUAAAAUGCCAUUAUAUAAAAUUCCACAUGUCAAAUUUGUGUAUUAACAAAAAAAGGUGUAAUUAGAUUUACCAUGGUGCUAAAUAAACAGAUUUUGCUAUUACAAAAAUGUAUUUUAAUUUGCCGUUGUUUUAUAAUUUGAUUUUCCAUGACAACAAAAAUUAGUCUCCAUGGCAACAAGUGUAUAGUUUUACGAUGAGAAUGAUUCAAAAUUUAAAAUGCUAAAAAAUCAAAGGAAAUUGCGAUGAUCGAGACAGUAAAAAUUUCAUGAUAUUAAAAAUUAAAAUGCCGUGAUACGGAUAUUAAAAUUGCCAUGCUCUGUAUUUUCUUUGUCAUGAAGUAAAAUCACACAAAUAAAAUUGCCAUGAUUCUAAUCUUAAAAUUGACAUGUCAUUAUAAAUAAAUUUAGCACGAUAUAUAUAAAGAAUUGACGUGCUCUUAAUAAUAAAAUUACCAACGCUCUUCAAAAUAAAAUUGUCAUGUUGUAGAUAGAUAUUCCAAUAAUGAUUUUUUAUAAAAUUCUAUGUGAACAUAAUGGGUUUUCUCUAAAACUUGCCUAAGAAAAGGUGGUAUAUUUGGAAAAAAAAUUCAAGAACUUGUCGUGUGAACAUGAACGUUACAAAAAAUUAUACAAAUUGACAUGAGUUCUGAAAUUAUAUUUAAAAUGUAAAAUAGGCAUGGUAACCACAAGUAGGAAUAUCAAUGUCACUAUGGUAAAUUUGACAUGGUCGAAACAAUAUUUUUUAUGAGAACAAUUAUUAUUAGUAUUUUGUAUGGAACUUAGAAGUAUCCAUGGAAAAAAAGUUUACUGCAUAUAGUUUAUAGCUAAAAGCAAUUGAAGACCAUGAAAAAACUUGUAUGAAAUUAAGGGAUGCAAAUGGCAAAACAUUGUCUUUGGAACAUGUGAGAAAAUAUCAAACUUUGUAGUGUUUUGAGGAAAUAAUGCCAUGUGUUUGAGUACACAAUAUUUGUGAAUUUUUCCACUUUUCCAAAAUGCCAUGGCAAUUACAAAAAAUGCAAUGGUUUGCAGACCCCUUUAUCUUAUUUUUCCCAUGGAACAUAACUAAAAAUUUUGAAUAUGGCAAAACUUUGGCAAAAACUAUACAAACACAUGGUAAACAAUAUUAAAAAUUGCCAUGUUUUGAAGAAAACAAAAGUUUAUGAAUUUGCACGCGGUUGGAUAAUUUAAAGGUUCUAGAUACACAUCUCAAGUUAUGACAACAAGUAUACAUCAUAUAUAAUCUCCUGUGUUUCUAGUAGGUAAAGCCUGGUCCUACUUUGGGAGUCCAAGAGGUCUAGUAUUUUUUCUUUGUUUGAAGGAACAUGGUGGUCGUGAUCUAGCUAAGAUUUGAGAUUACAUUCUAUUUCAUUCUGAUCUCGUUGUGAUAGAAGCCUAUAGGCAUCAAUUUAACCAUGGUAGUUGGUGUAUAUGAUUCGAACAAGGGGACAAAAAGGUGCAAAGUUAUGCAUUGAUAGAAAGAGUCAUUUCCCUUACUUAUUGUAGAAAAGUUCAUCAAGAAGAUAGUUUCAACUUUUGAGUAGAAAUACAAACAUAGUAGAUCAUCAUCUUCCAUGAUAAAAAAAAUAUAACAAUUUACCAAGGCCCCCCAAAUUGCCAUAUCCCUAAAAAACUGAAACAAACUAAGAGAGACGGGCGGGCGCGCGGAGAGGAGGGCUUGAAGAUCUCGAUGGCAUCGGUACGAUGUAAUCGCAUUAGUCCCCAUUAUUCAAGCCCUCGCACUCCCACAACUCCAAUGUUAGGGAGGCAUCACAACGGAAAAGAGUCGCCGACAUCGCUGCACUAUAUCCUCCCGGACCUUGUUCUAGGCGUGGAGAUCCGCGUCCUGCCAUGGCGCCCAGCCACAUCCAACCGCGUGCUUCGUUGGCCGCGUGCCAUAUGAUUCGACAACCUCAGAUGACAAUGGCACCUGUCGAACGUCGUGAUCGGUGUCGUCAAUGUUGUGUAUUGGGCAUCUUGGCGCCACUUCUAUGUCCCUAUGCUCAGACCUCCCGCAAAGGGAACGGGGUGUGGCUAUUCGAGGUUGUUGCGCGCCUGACCCUAUCACUUCGUGUGCUACCAUCAAGAUGUCACUAAGUGUCGGCUUCCUCCUCCAAAUGGUGCUCCGGCCAGAAAAAUGUGCCCCUCCGUCGGUUGCUUCGCCUCAAGGGAAUCACCAUGGGGUUGGGGAGGAAUGAGAGAAUGUGCGAGAUGUGCGAGGGUGGGAGUGAAUUAGGAAAACCAAUGAAAAAAAAUGCUUGCUAGAACACCAGUUAGAGCCACCACUCAUAAAAUAUGACAUGACGACUCCACUGGUGCCAAGAUCCGUUUGCUAGAUCCAACGGUUUGUGGGGCAUUUGCUGGUCUAGUAUUCCCAACGAGCGUUCACCAUUUUUUAGUCUACUAAUGUUCGAGAGUUAUCAUUUUUUAAUAUAAAAGCAGUCAAGGAAGCCCAUUCUAACUUUAAUUCAGACCUAUUUUGAAACAACAAAAGGAAAACUUUAACCCAACCCAAUCUUCAACAACAGAUGUGCUAAAUAAGUCGUGUGUUGGAAAAACGACUAUUAAGGGCGUUGCCAAAAAUUGCAAUUCAACAGUUGUGCAAUAACCCGCGCACGGUAAACACGUGCAUUGUGGGCGACUUAUUUGGUGCGUCUGCUCCAGCGCGCUGGACAAUCAUAUUGUGCUCGCGAAUAUCACCAACCGUUGGAUCUGAAACCUCGUUACCCUGGCGCCUCCGCCCGUACCAACCAUCGAUGCUUCCCUCGCCUCUCCCCGGUGCGCCGCCGCUUCCCCCUGCUUCCUCUACCUUCUCCCCUCGUCGCCGCCACUUGAGCGUGUCGUUCCUCCAACGAACAACGUUCAUCGGUCAUUUACAGCUCGACGCCCACAAGGUGUUUGUCAAAACACUUGCAAGAUAUACAUUGCUUCAAACUUUAAAUUUCUAGACGUGUUUGGUGCAUGUUAUUUGUACUUCUAAAUUAGUUUAAAUUCAAGUUUGUAGAUGAGUUCGUCCUACGAUUCUUCCAGUGAAGAAUUUGAUCUUCAAAAGGAGGAGCACGUCUCGGUGAUCCUAGCUAUACACGUCAAUAAAAACUCGAAACACGGUGGUUCGAUUUUCGGUCGUCAGAAAUUAUGGAGGGAAAUUAUCGAUGCUCACAACAAGACUGAUAAGGAAUUAUUUUAUGGAGAAUUCCACAUACCCUGAGUCCUACUUUCGGCGCUGUUUUAGGAUGAGCAUCGGGUUAUUCAAACACACUGCAAAAAAUUGGCGAGGCAUGAUCGUUUUUUUUAGCAAAGGAGGAAUGCCACCGGAGAACUCAGGCAUAACACCUUCAAAAAGGUGACCUUUGGGAUGCGUAUGUUGGCAUACGGUAUUCCGACGGAUCUAGUUGUUGACCACUUGUCUAUGGGUGAGAGUUUUUUUUAUUGAUUGCAAGUUUUUGUUGGUAGCUUACCAAGCUAGCUGUUUGGUAAUCUAUGGGUGAGAGUUAAACCAUCAUGUGUGUGAAGCACUUGCAGUUGAAAUUGUGCAAGUGUUUGGUCUGAAAAAUUUGAGAGCUCUCAAUGAUGAAGACAUCGCAAGGCUUUUGGAGGUGAACAAAGCUCACGGGGUCCCUCUUAUGCUUAGCUCAAUGGAUUGCAUGCAUCUGAGUUGGAAUAAAUGUCCUUCGACAUGGCAUGGACAAUUCCACGGUCACAAAAAGGCUUUCUAUAAUCCUUGAAGCGGUGGCCAAUCAUGAGACUUUGAUUUGGCUUGUUUUUUUCGGAAUGACCGGAUCUUGAAGUGACAUCAAUGUUCUUCAAGAGUCAUCACCGAUGAAUAAGAUUGCAAAUGGCAAAACUUCAUCGAUGGAGUUUAUAACAAAUGACCAUACAUACAACUAUGGAUGAUAUAUUGUGGAUGUCAUCUAACUAAGGUGACAAACAUUUGUGAAGUCGUUGAAGGCACCACAAGGUAAGAAAAAACUUGAUUUCUACAAUGCUCUAUCAACAGUUGGAAAUAUGUGGAGAGAGUUGUUGGGAUUUUGCAAGCCUAAUUUGCUAUUACGAGAGGACUGACUCAAUUUUGGGAUAAAAAUCCUUUGUUACAUCAUGAACGCUUGUAUGGUCAUGCAUAACAUGAUUAUCAAGAAUGAGCGUGGGCAAGAUUUAGACUAUUCUCAGUAUGAGUUGAUGUGACAUCUUGUGCGAGUGCAGAGGAGGACUGUGAGGGUGACCCCCUUUGUUGCCUCCUAUCAUGUCAUUUGAAAUGCCGAAAACACAUGAUGAGGGUUCAAAAUGAUCUAGUCAAGGAGUGAUGGUCAUGAAAUGAGCAACAAAACUAGUUUGGUGUUGUAUAUUUGUUGUAUUGUUGACUAUUUGUUGUAUUGUUGAUGAAUUAUUUGUUAUAUUACUCAUGAAAUAUUUGUUGUAUUAAAGAUAAACAAUUUAUUUGAGUUGUAAUAAUAAUUAAUUUUUUAUUAUUGGUUAAUUUUGUGUAUGUUUGAUAUUUUUAUUCUAUAUUUGAGUGGAAAAUAUUGUUUUCGUUGGACGCGCUUUGAAAUUUAACGUGCAUGUUGAAAUGCUACCUGCGAUGCAUAAUAUUAUAGCGCUUCUGACAAAGCAUAACACCAGUCCUGUCCGUUAAAACGUUGCUUCAAUGUUAUAAAUAAAAUUUAACGUGCAGGGCUACCGUGGGUAUGUUUUUUUAUUGACAACCCACUUUAUUCAACUCAUAAUGUUUUGGGGGAUACAUAGGUUGUUAGGAGGACAAUCAAACCAAAGAUGACAGCCUAGACCUAGGGUAGUAGCCAUCCUUGCUAGUUUAUGUGCCUCACUGUUACUAUCACGAUGCUCAUGAACAAAAUUACAACUGAUAAAACUGGACUUCCUCUGUUGAAUAUUAUUUAAGAUCAUGCCGUAUUCUCCCCGGUGCACUUGGCUCUUCAGAUCAUUAACGACUCUCAGACAGUCAGAUGCUAUGCAAACUUUGGUGAUCAUCAAAUCUUCCGCCAGUGCUAUUGCUUCUCUGCAUGCAUGGGCCUCGAUAACUGCUGGUUCUAUCACUCCUUGUAGGACUGUCGCUGAAGCCCCAAUAAACACUCCGUGUGCACUGCGACAUAUGACACCCACCGCCCCGACGUUAGAUGACUUGGCCACAGCUCCAUCCACAUUCAGCUUAGUCUCUCUAAUAGCGGGUGGAAUCCAACGUGGAGCUGGUGUGUUUUCCGUCCUCCUGGUGCUACACUAAAUGUCUGGUAAUCCUCUUAGUUCUUGCAGAUAGCGCUCGAUGAAUAAGUGUGUCGACAGCGGGCUUUGGAAUUCCUUCUCGUGGAUCGCCUUGCGCCGUGCCCACCAGAUCACCCAAAGUGUAGUAAGAACAGCGACGAAACAAUCUGUGCUUAGUGUAUUGCAUAGCCCAUGUAGCCAGAGCCUCGGAUCAGUCGUCUCAUCCCCAUACACUGGCAACAAAGAGUCAUCAUCGUCAUCACGCAGGGACCAAACACUUCUAGCCAUGUCACAGUCUAGCAAUGCAUGUCUCCAGCUAUCAUACUCUAACUGACAGAUCGGGCAUGAUGCGUCCUCCGUCAUAUGGCGUCUCACCCUCUCUUGUCCCGUUGGCAAAGACGCACGAGCCAGGCGCCAUGCGAAGAUUCGAAGCUUGGCCGGGACCUUAAUCCCCCACAGCUUCUUCCAGUUGCUAUCCUCCUGGGCAAUAUUGAGCCAUCUCUCGCGCCUAAGUUUUGUCGUCAUUACCAUUCUGUAGCACGAUCGCACCGAGAACAGGCCCGAUUUCUCAUAAUGCCAAGCAUAGAAGUCCUCUUGAGGAGUAUGACUAAGAGGAAUUUGGCGCACUAUAUCUGCAUCCAUCGGGAGCAUGUGUUCUGCCAGUACCUGUUCGUCCCAGCAUCGAUCCACAUGUGAUAUCAAGUCAGCAACUUUCUCCGGGGGAUUUGGAGAGAUCACACCAAGAGGGCGCAUACAAUGGUCUCGUGGUAGCCAAUUGUCAUUCCAGAUAUGUGUGUUCUCACCAUUCCCAAUCCGCUUGAUCAGACCUGUGCACAAGAUAUCCCUUCCUUCGCAGAGUGCACGCCAAACCUGCGAUGGUCGUGAUCCCAAUUGGGAGGAAAGAAUAUCGGUGGAGGGGAAGUACACAGCCUUGAGUAUCCUCGCGCUCAUUGUAUUGGGUUCAAUAAGCACUCUCCAAACCUGCUUGGCGAUCAGUGCCAGGUUGGAGAUCUCCAUAUCGCGAAAGCCCAGUCCCCCUUUGUACUUCGGCAUACACAUGGUCUCCCAAGAUACCCAAGCCGUUUUCCUCUCCCCCGCCUUGCAGCCCCACCAGAAUUUCCGAAUCAUAAACGUUAUAUGUUGGCAUAAGCCCCGUGGUAGUUUGAAAAGAGCCAUGGAGUAAGUUGGUAUAGCCCGCACCACCGAUUUUAUAAGCACCUCCUUGCCGCUACCCGCCAAACACUUCUCCAUCCAUCCUUGAAUGUUCUUCCAAACCCUAUCGUUUAGGUAUGAGAAAACACCAUUCUUCGCUUGUCCCACAUCCGAUGGUAGCCCCAGAUAUCGUUCACAUAUGGUCUCCUUCUGGAUUUGAAGAAUUUCCUUUAGCACUUCUCGUUGCACAGUCGGACAUCCCUUCCCAGAAUAAAUAGAGGAUUUCUCGUUGUUUAUUUGUUGCCCAGAUGCUUGGCAGUACAUGGUUAGGAUAUCCUUCAAUUUCAAGGCGUUCUUGGGAGUGGUUUUGCUGAAUAGCAGGCAGUCGUCCGCAAACAAAAGGUGAUUUACCUUAGAUGCCGAAGUAGCAAUCUGAAUACCCUCAAAAGCCCCUACACUGCUUGCUUGGUGGAGCAUACAAGAGGGACCCUCAGCCGCUAGUAAGAACAAAUAGGGAGAGAUCGGAUCCCCCUGCCUGAUGCCUCUGGAUGGCUUGAACUCAUCUGUUUGCAAUCCGUUAAAAACUAGAGAGAACGACAUCGAAGUAACCCCUCUCAUGAUCUGACGCACAAACAUAUCACAAAAGCCCAAUUUCUUCAUAAUGGCCUCGAGAUAAACCCAUUCAACUCGAUCAUAAGCUUUCAUCAUAUCAAGCUUGACCGCACAAUGCCCAUUCUUCUUACUCCUAUUAUUCUUCAUGAAAUGGAGGCAUUCGUAUGCCGUAAUGAAAUUAUGAGUGAUUAAGUGACCAGGCACAAACGUCGAUUGUUCUUCAGAGAUAAUUUUCGGGAGAAUCUGCUUCAGUCGGUUAGCUAGUACUUUGGAUGCAAUUUUAAAAAUCACAUUGCACAACUUGAUAGGCCGAAACUGAGAUAGUAGUGUGGGGUUUUGUACCUUAGGGAUAAUAACAAUGAACGUCCUAUUGAUCUCUUGAAGGGAGUCUUCUCCUUUCAACACUCGAAUCACAACCUUGGUCACUUCGUCGCCGCACAAAUGCCAUUAUUUCUGGAAGAAAUGAGCCGGGAAACCAUCAGGUCCAGGGGCCUUGGUGGGGUACAUUUGAAACAAGGCACAUUUCACCUCUCCUUCAUUUAUAUCUUUUGAUAACAUCUCAUUCAUGGGGUUUGUGACCUUACAAGGUACAUGAGACAUCACCUCUUCGUUCAGAUGCAGACAGGUUCUCAUAGAACUGGAUUGCCAUUUGCUGAAGUUCAACCGGCUCAUCGCAGAUAUAUCCAUCAGGACGUGCCAAGCUCACAGUACGAUUCUUCUUCCUCCUAUUCGACACCUUCUGAUGAAAAAAAAAUGUGUUCUGAUCCCCUUCUAGCAGCCACUGUAUCCAUGCACGCUGAUGCCACAUGACCUCUUAUCUGAACCACAGCUCAAUGAUCCUAUCCUCCACUUUAGCUUCCUCUCGUGAGGCUGCUACUCGAUGCGGGUUCUCUCGCAAUUCGCCAAGCCUGGAUCGCAGCUUCCUGAGUUCUGUGCGUACAACACCAAAUGUGGUGGAUCCCCAGCCGCUCAGAGUUGCCGCCAAUAGCUGCAGCUUAUCUCCAAUGUCCUUCGCUGACGUAGCUGUCGUAGCCGUCCAUGCUUCCUGGACUUUAGCCUGGAAACCUUCAUGCCUUUCCCACAUCAGUUCAUAUCGAAACGGCCUUCCCUUGCCAAUUCGCUGGUUGUGCGCCUACAUGCUAUUAAGAAGGAGAAUAGGGGAGUGAUCUGAUUUGACUGCACGAAGGUGUCGUACCGAAGCCAAAGGAAACAUUGAGCUCCACUCCACCGUCGCCAUAGCUCUGUCGAGUCUCACUCUGCAAGUUGCCCCAUUCUGCACUUUCCGUUCGAAGGUCCAAUCAAGUCCAGUAUACCCCAAGUCGCCUAGCUGGCAUACAUCCACCGCCUCUCUGAAGGCAUUGAUCUGCCCCAUUUCGCGCUCGUUUGGUCCAGACUGCUCUCCCCUUCUAAGGACCUCGUUAAAAUCCCCGAUGCACACCCACGGGAGGUCGCUAUCCGCCUUCAGGAACCGCAUCAUCUCCCAAGUUUUAUAUCGCAUGCUUCUAUUUGCCUCCGCAUACCAACAGGUUAAUCGCCAUGGCUCUCUCCCAUUCUCAGUGACCACCAUAUCGAUGUGAUACUUAGAAAAGUUACGUAGCUGCAGCAUAAGAGGUUUCCUCCAGUACAUACACAACCCGCCGCUUCUCCGUGAACUACCAACUCCAUAUGCACAAUCAUACCCCAAGGUUCUUGUCAAUCCCUCCAUACGGUUCUUAGAUAUUUAUGUCUCCACAACACAAAGAACCACCGGCGCACUCUCCCACGCAAGAUCGCGGAGCUCAUGAAUUGUCGCGGAGCUACCGUGGGUUUGUUGGAGAUGAUGUUAGGCUUCGUUCUCCCAUAGGAACGCUUAAGAAACGGCCCAUGUAGGCCCAGUAAUGAAACCCUUCCCGCGCCUUCGCCCUAAAUCGCCCCCCUCAUCCCGCCCACCUUCUUGCAUCUGCCGCUCUUGUGAAACCGCGAGUCGCCAUGGACGACGAAGAGACGCGCGAGGAACGCGACGAGACCUUCCAUCCGGUGAGCUCAUCGUCUCUUCAAUUCCUCCAUCAGAUGUGCCCUUUUCUCCGGGCCUUUUGUUCGUCCGGAUGUUGGAUUUGAAGCGCCGUCGGGGCCUGAGCAGGAUCUGAUCCGCGCGAUAUUCAAGCUCGUGUGGAGCCGGCGGACCGACAGGGACGUCGUCGUGGACGAGGCCGUAGACAUCGAGGUGACUCCGUCCGCGGUCCAAUCUAAUCUCAGAUGCUUCAUUUUUCUGUUCCUCUUUACCCCCCAACCCUCCCACAACUGUUCUGUUUCCUUUUUUCAUUUUGCUAUGGUAUAUCCGAUGAGAAUGCUUCCGUUUUUAAUUGGCAGCCUGCUGCGGAGACGUCGAGGAGGAACAAGAGUACCUCUGGUAAAUGAUGUUUUCUAACAUGAUAAACAAUGCUUUGUUCUUGGAAGUUCACUAGUAACACUGUGGACUGUCGAUUCUGCGUGCACCUGCAAAUUGAACUGAAGGAAUGCUUUGGUACUUCCUAGUCCGAUUUAGCUGUCUAAGUUGCCACAUUUUUCGCGGAUGUUGCAGCUAUCUAUGCCAGUUUUUACCCAUACUGUGUUCAUAUUGACGCAUUUAUCUUGAUCACAGUUCGAUUGCUCAUCAACCCCUUGAUCAAAAAAUGAAAAAAAAACGGAAAACAAAUGAAUUUCUGCCCUUAGGUUCCUUUGGAUAACUCAAACAAAUGUAAAAAGGAUUUCCUAUUGAAGCCUCCCUGCACGAUGUUGAAGAUGCUUUGUUUGUUCAAUUUCUGCAGCGAAUGCAAGUGCACUGCAAGUGAGCUGCGAACUUCUUCGGAUGUUUGUCGCAGGUCUGUGUAUUGACGUAAAAUAUCACAGUACCUGAUGCUAAUAAUACUAGGAAGUAACAUUAGAAGAUCCCACUUAUAUAUGUAAUUAAACUCUGAAUUCUUUCUUGCAGAGGCUGUCCAGCGCUGUGCUAUUAUCGCUGAAGCAGAGGGGACGACCACAAUCGAGCCCACCCACCUGGAGCGAGUCUUGCCACAGCUUCUUCUGGACUUCUAGCUACCCUUCUUGGUACCUGUCUCGGACACACAGAUGGAUAGCCAAAUUGCCUCAAGCAAUCCAUAAUCUUGUACCGCAGUAACGAGAAUGUUGUUUGUGUAAGCUUCUCCAUGCUUGCUAAGUCACCCUAACAAACCAAACCAGUUUUUUUAAAUGGCACUGCUGCCCUGAUUCACAAGCCUGUAAAAUCCUGUGGAUUUUUAUUCCACAAGUCUGGAGCCAAUUUCGUGCAAUUUCCCGUGGAAUUUUACUGGCCUCGUGAAAUCCUCCGCGCUGCGAUCAGCAGAGCACGCGCUACGCGUGACUGGCCUGUGAAAGAAAAGAGUGGUGGUCUCUGGACACGUACGGCGCAGCCACUCCAGGACUGGAAAGAUCGGCGGCGAGACCACCUGUCGAGACGAGGCUCCCCCGCACCGCCACGGCGGCCGAGCUCUGCACACCUGUUCGCCUCGCGCACUUCUCCCGUCUUAUAGCGGAAGUCGACGCGCCAGCGCCAUGUCCGUCGCCGCCGCUGCGUCCGCCUCUGGCUACCCGUCGUCGUCCCGCUUCCUGUCACCCUCCACGGCCGCCCGCCGCCGGUUCCUCCACCACCUCCUCGCCGCGCCCGCGCCCCCGAGGCCGCCGCAGCUUCGGCGCUGCUCCCCGUACCACUGGAUGGCGGUACGUAGCUGCACACACGACGCCCUACCCUACUCCCCCCCCUCCCCCUCUUUUGUAUCUUUGGCGAUUGCUGCGGCAAAAUUGUACUAUGAUUAAUCAAUAAAUUGCGCCCUCGAGUUGAAGCCGAUCUAGGGGAGCUGAGUUGAACGUCUAGACUCGACAGAGAUUUGGGAUUUGGAAAUCAGGAGGGCUAGCUGAUCGGUGGAUUUUAGUCUUGUAGAGCGGUAAAGGAGAGCGAUUAUGAUUCUGAGCGCUGGAGAGCACAAGAAUAUGGUGGUGAAUAGCAGGUCCAGCGAUGAGUGAAGCCAUGGUGCCGAUUUUUUUUAGCAGUUGGUGCUGAAAUUCAUUCAUGUUAGCCAUCUUCUGCAAGUGUGGCACCUUGAGUGUGAAAAUAUAGGUUAAAUCUGAACCUAACUAUGCUGUGAAGGUAGCUUAUCUGUUGCAGAAACUAGGAAUUAUGUGCCCACAAACUUCUUUUCGGAAAGGCCAAUUACAGUGUUAUGAUUUAUCAAUGUAACGAAAUCUGCGAUCAUCAUAUAUUUUUGGCACACUGAAUGUUUGGGUGAAGCACAUAAUCGUUGCUGCUCAGUGACUCCAAGUACCGGAGUUUACCUAUGAGGGAUACAUCUCAGCAUCUGUUGUUUAACUUGCAGCAAUUUUGGACUGAAGGAUCGCUGGAAAAGAACAACGCUCUGGUUGAAUACCUGAAGCAGUAUGGUGUCGUUCGAACGGAUAAAGUGGCAGAAGUUAUGGAAACUAUCGACAGAGCCUUAUUUGUACCAGAGGGCUUUACCCCUUACAUUGACAGUCCUAUGCCUAUUGGUUACAAUGCAACAAUAUCUGCUCCUCACAUGCAUGCAACCUGCUUAGAACUGUUGAAAGAUCACUUACAGCCAGGCAUGCAUGCUCUAGACGUUGGAUCAGGUUUGUUGCCGGCAGCCUGAUACGCUGCCACUCUCUGUUAGUGCCUUCAGAUAGUACUGUAUGAACACAUUUGUUAAUAUUCGACUAACAUUUUGUAUACUACUGCCAUCUUGGUGUAUUCCUGUCAUAGGCAGUGGCUACUUGACAGCUUGUUUUGCAAUGAUGGUCGGGCCAGAAGGUCGUGCAGUGGGGAUUGAACAUAUUCCUGAACUUGUUGCUGCCUCUACUGAAAAUGUAGAACGGAGUGCUGCAGCUAAACUGCUGAAGGACGGUUCACUCUCUUUUCAUGUUUCAGGUAUGCUAGUGGAUGCGAGUAUUGUGUGUUGAGCAAUUCAGUGCGUCAAGAAAAUUCAAUUUGCACACAUCCUUAUAUAUCCACUAGAAUUCACUCUCCAGUUGUUGUAUUCAUCUUUUGAUAUUGCUCAUAUGCAUACUAUGAUAAAGCAAAUAUGGCUAUGGAAGUCCAAAACAUUUGGAGCUUAAGUUGCCUUAAUGCAAUUUCUCAAAACCACAGAUGGAAGGCUUGGCUGGCCGGAUGCGGCGCCAUACGACGCUAUUCAUGUGGGAGCGGCGGCACCUGAGAUCCCUCGGCCGCUGCUGGAGCAGCUGAAGCCUGGCGGGCGCAUGGUCAUACCCGUCGGCACAUACUCUCAGGACCUGCAGGUGAUCGACAAGAGCGCCAACGGAUCCACCAGCGUCCGCAAUGAUGCCUCUGUCCGAUACGUCCCUCUGACCAGCCGCUCUGCUCAGCUGCAAGACAACUGAGAUGAGAUCCUUCGCUCUGGAUCUCUAAAUGUGUGUGUAUAUACGAGUGUCUAAUAUCUUCUGAUCUACAGUACCAAUGUGGCGUCUGAUGUUUUACUUUUAGAUCGUUUGGUUUUGUAAUGCUUAUUAUCGUUGGUCGAUGUUGCUUAGAAUAUGUGAAUACGUGUUGUGUGUGAUAAGUUUGAAAACCGCUAGCAUUUGUGUGGCCUUCUUACGGCAUGAUUUGUUGUUUAUGUUCAGUUCAGGUGCAAUUUCUCAACUUCGAGAUGACGGUGCAGCAUUAGAAUUUGACUGCUACUCCCUUGAAGACAUUUUAGAAAUUUUAAUAAAUAUAAGACCUUUUAGAAAUUUUAAUAUAGACUACAUAUGAAGCAAAAUAAGUUAAUGUACACUUAAUAUAUCUAUAUACAUCAUAUUGAUAUCUCUGAUAAGUACUCCCUCCAUUCCUUUAUAUAAGGUGUAUAUGUUUUUUGAUAAAACUCCACAAUGUAAGGUGCAUUUUUUGUAAAUCCUUGUAAUUCCCUUAUUAGCCCACCACAAAAAGGAAAGUAUCUCUCAUAUGAUUGUAUGUAUCUCUAAUUGUAUCAAAAAAGAAAACUAUCUCUCUCUCGAUUGUGUGUAUCUCUUAUUUUUCGAGACUCAUUGAUUUAGUUUCCACUAACCUAUAAAUUUCUCAAGGGUAAUUUUGUUCUAACACCACUAUAAUUAUGUACUUUGAUCACCGUACUGAAAAUUGUACACCUUCAUAAAGGAAUGAAAAGAGUACAUGGUAGGGUAGGUCAAACAUGUGCAACGAACGUAUCGCUGUUCCCAAGCUAUAUAUAUAGGUGUUUACGUCAUCUGAAAUCGACCGAUAAUCUAGUUUGAACAUUUAACACACAAAAGUAACAAACGGCCGAUAAUCUAGUUUGAACCUUGAACACAAAAGUAACAAACGGCAUUAUCUCGUAUUCUGGUACUUGUAGAUCGGUUGAAAUCUGUUGUAAUAGUGUUGAAGCGUCCGAUGACGGGCCGGCGUGCUCAGGAGCUCCAGUCGGCCCCGAAGUAUCUGGCGUUGGGCUUCCUUGUUCUCGGUUCCCUGCGUCCCGCCGUCGAAACUUGUGGCGAUCUUGACUCCGAGCUCUCGAGCUCCUCCGCGUCCGGCAGCGAGGCCAUCCGGCGCGUGAAAGCGGCGAACUCUGCGGCCUGCGUCCUCAGCCUCGCGAUUGACGCGGCGUGCGUGCGGAGCGGCUCGACGAGAUGCUUGGCGCCCGGCCUGCCCACGAACGCCGCGGCCGUGUGCUCCGCGUCCUCCGCCUCCUUCGCCGCCCUGUCGAGCAGCCGGAGGGCGGUCUCCUCAGCCUGCGCGGUCACGGCGGGGAACUCCCUCGUGGGCACCAGCUUCCCCGCCGCAAGGUCCGCCUCCGUGACGGCGGCGGCGGCCAGCCGCAGCGUCUCUGCCCCCUCGGUUAAUUCCUUCUCCCCCUUCGCGAAUCUCCGCACCGCUUUCUCCCACGCCAUCGUCGGACGGAUCAUGCUGCUCCUCCUGAUUUGAUAACUCGUCGUAGUUACGCGCUGAUGUAUCGACGGACUACACGGUGUUGGGUGGGUGGCUUAUAUGAUCGACUCGUACGUGUACAGUAUACGAGUUAAUGUUGGAUUCUCAGAGAAACGCACGAGUUCUCACGUCUCACGUAUGUAUUGCACAACAAAUUUCGGCAUAUGUUUUCUUGCUCUUGGCGUUUCUAUACGUAGUAGACGCUGCGAAGGGCGAACCGAAGAAUUUCACAUGGGCUUGAAGUUUCUGUACGAGAUGACGGCGUAAAACGGGUCGGAGUUGGCCUGCCCGAACAGCCUCAUCAGGGCCUCCAGCGGCGACGACGAGCCCGACUUGCCGCCGGCGUCCGAGGGCGGCAGCCUCCUGACCACCUCCGGCUGCGUGAACCCUUCGAUGCACUGGAAGUACUGCGUCACGAGCUGGACGCGGCUGUAGGCGGACCCCUCCCGCCACGCGCCGAUCGCCUUCUCGUAGAACAUCCGGUUGCUGAAGCUCACGAUGCACACCCCGCCAGGCUUCAGCACCCGGUAGAUCUCCGCAAAAACCUGUGGUGUGCCACUCAGCAUAUGAGCUCCGUCCCGGUACUAGGAGUAUCAAAUCAAAUCGUGUGGUGGAGAGAAGAAGAAGAAGAUAAGAAGUUAAGAAGAAGACACGGUGGUGGAUGGAUGGCACAUACUUGUUCAGGCGACUGCAGGUACUGCACGCUCACGGUGCAGAGCACGGCGUCGAAGGAGGCGCUGUCGAGCUCGAGCCGCUGCUCCCGGUUGAGGUCGCUGACGAAGAAGUAGUCGAGGCGCGGGUUCUUGGCCAGCUCCUGCGCGUUGAGCCCGUGGCCGACGACCCGCCGGAACCGCGUGUCCGGGGGCAAGUGGCUCACCCAGGAGCUCAUGAGGUCCAGCACGUCCGACUCCGGCCGCAGCCUCUCCCGGUAGAGGUCGGUGAGCGUGGCGAGGAAGCCGUCGUCGACGUGCUUGACGAGGCGCGGGAACGCGUAGAAGUCGCGGUCGGAGCGCGGGUCCAGCUUCGCGCGGCCCUCCGGCUGGAGCACCUGCCGCCGGAUGUUCCCGGCAGAGGACGGUGACGACUGCGUGCUGCCGGAGCAUCGCGGUGGGGGCAAGAGCGGCCGCGACGGACGCAGCGCUUGCGGCGGAGCGCAGAACAUGUUUUGCUCCUUCUCUGUUUCGGUGGAGACUGCACACUCACUCGUUAAUUUGUUCACGUGGCGUUAUUAUACCGUGUUGAGUUACUACCGUACUUCUUUGGAUCCAUGUACAUAGGCCUAGUAUUAAAAAUGAAAGUCUGAGAGUUAGUGGGCCGCUGGUGCUGGAGUGGGCCAGACUCGAGGCAAUGAGGCCAUCGAGCGACGAGCGUUAAAACGGGAUCCAGAACAUGAUCGAUCUAAUUCUUACAAAAAAAAAAAAAAAGAGAGAGAACGGGAUCGAUCUUCUCAACUGCUCGUCCUACUUAUCGCUACAAGAUGUCUCAAAAAAAAACUUUUUUUCGGAAAAAAAAACUUAAUCGCUAGAGGAUUGGGAUCGUAGCUAGUGGCUACAGAAAAGCAGUGGCGGCUGGUAGGAAACUCUUGAUUGUGGUGGUGCCUCGUAUCUGUUGAAAAGUGGGCAGAAAAAGUCUUGUCGAUCUUCGUCUCGUCUCGCCCUCGUCCCUUGGUCCCUGGUCAUUUGAUAUUUAGAUCUAUCUGAUUCCGGCUGAUUGGGCGACUGGCCGCUGUUGUAGUUGCAUUUAUCGUCUCCUUUUUAAAAUUUCAGAUUUGUUCACAUCGUUUUGUUGGAUUAAUCGGUGGCUAACUCUAAUCUUUAGGUACUUAGUGAGUCCUUUUUUAUUAAAUCUACUAGUUUUCUUGUUUGAUAAUUGUUUCUUGAAUUUAGAUAAUAUAUACACACAUCUGAAUAGAUUCUAUAUCUUUCAAUUUUUUUGUAAGAUAGGGCCCCAUGUCUUAGUUUGGCACAUGACUCCGGAUUUUGCUGCCCGGCUCCGAACCCAUCCAAGAUGUGCUUAUUUGGGUUAGAGUUAGGUGGAGUCCAGAAAAAAAAUACUUUUUCUUUUACCUUUACCACACCAAAUCUUGUUUAAAGGAGCCAAAUGAUUGAAAAAAAUACAUUUAUUUGUAAUCUAUCAUUCAAACACCUUUUUGUUUAGAGUUAGUUCAAGGUUAGUCUAGGGUUAGAAUCUAACUUUUAACCUCUAACCGAGUUAGAGUAUCCAAACAUGACCCAUAUCACAUCCGUUAUACUGUAGCAGACUAGAUAAUAGCAGACUAGAUAAUGCCUUGUCGGAACCUUGGUAAAACAUUAAUAUAUGCUAGAAAAUCAAAAUUGUUGCAAAACCAAAUUCAAGAAUGCUUUUAUGAGAGUAUUAAAAACAAGGUCAUGGAUAGGCAGCGCCCGAGCAUCGGAUGGUGUGUGUGAGACGCUUUCUAUUAGAAAACUGAGGUGUCAUGUUAUUCUAGUCUGUCAAAAAUGAAAAUAUAUGAUCAUCUAACCACACGCUACUUGAAUCAAGCAGCCCACGACCAUUUAUUUGGGGUUUCAUGAAAUUUUAAAAGCUAUAACUUUUGAUUUGAGCGUCGAAAUUAACAUUCGUCUUCAUCAUUGGGUUUCUCGCGACAGUCUCUUUAAAACUAUGUCUCAUAUGGAUAAGUUUUGACGAAGUUUUUUUAGAGCAACUUUAGAUACUAUGGAGACAACUUUAGUGCUAUAGGAAGCAAUUCCUUUUUAUUGCCUCGUACAACUAUCUAUCACCCGAGAGUCUUUCUAAGUUGAUUACCAUGACUAUCAAUUGACUAGAUUCACCUUUAAGUAGCACUAUAUAGGGAAGCAGCUCGUUCUUUUUAGCACUAUACAGGGAAGCAACUCCUUACUUUCAGUCCAGCAGAUCAAUAAUAAACUUGCAGUCGUUAUCAAAAGCGGAAAUGAAUUUGUGUUGUCGUUUCCAAACCUUGGCAGCAGACCUGAGAGCUUUCUUCCGGCGAGCAAGGCGGGACGCGGCACAGGAGGAGGGGGAACAGUGGUCGCCGACAAAACCGUGGGGAGAAACCGCGGGUCCAACAACCAGGAAUUUUUGAGGAAAAAACUGCGAGCGCAGGGGAUAUGCAUAGAGACGGAUAUCAGCAUGGGGACAUGGUCUGACGUGGUUCGGGGAUGCAAGCCGAGCGACGGGUCUGGAAAAAGGGACUUCCAACUCAUGUUAAAAAAGGCACAAUCGAGCCGAGCAAGCGUGGGUGGGUCCCGCCUGUUCGUCCAGGUGAAAAGACGAUCUAAGAGCGGAAGCUCGAACCAAGCUAAGGCGUUAAUCAUAGAAUUAAACGCUGACGACCGACCGACGUCAAACCGGUCAUUGUUCUUUUCUGUGGGGAAACAGAUGAGAUUGAAGUUGCCCAUAACCAACGAUGGGCCGUCCACGGAGGGGGAAAGGACGAACAUGUCCUUAAAGAAGGCCGAGGUAAGGGAAUGACCGCUGGGAGCAUAAACAUUAAUGAUGGUGAACACAAUGCCUGAAACUGUGGACACCAACGAAGUGGGGAGUGAGAAAUGGGAUCGAGCAACACAGCCGAGCAAUAGGAGAUGGGGGACCCAAGCAGUGACCAAGCCGCCCCUAUACCCAUCUACUUCCUUGGUCACAAAUUCAGAGAGACAGACAUGAAGGAAAGAGCAAGCCUUAUGCCCGUCGAGCAGUGGCGAAGCUUCCUUAGGUCCAACCUGGGCCAUGGCCCCCCUGUUUGUGUAGUUUUCUUAUAUUAUUAGCACAUAAAUAGACAAGAAUGAUUGUGUUUUUCCCAAUCUUUGAUUGAAUAGCCCUCCUACAUGGAUUAGGCCCUCCUAUAAUUCUGAUCAAGCUCCGCCACUGCCGUCGGGCGAGGCAAGUUUGGACUCCUGGAAACAGGCAACCGUCGGAGGAGCGGUGGAGAUGGAGUCACGGACGAGGCCGCGCUUGUCUUCGUCGCCAAGGCCUUGCACAUUCAAACAUAAGAACAAAAGAUGUUGGACCUGACUAUUCAUGGGAACUGUUGAAUAUAUAUUUGUGCAAGUAUAUUGUGCUAUUGGGCCCUCCUCCUAGUCCCUCGUAUAGUUGAGGUAGAGGCUCAUCUUGUACCUAUAUAUACAUGCCUAGUGCACCCAAUCAAUAUUGAGUGUUGCACAACCUAAACCUAAUUGUUGGAGAACGUAGUGCUAAUUCAAUAAAAUCCUACGCCGCACAAGGAUCUAUCUAGGAGAAACCAGCAACGAUCAAGGGGGUAAAGCAUCUUCAUACCUUUGAAGAUCGCUAAGCCGAAGCGUUACUAGAACGCGGUUGAUGGAAUCGUACUCGCGGCGAUUCAGAUCGCGGAAGAUUCCGAUAUAAGCGUCGAACAACGGCGCCUCAACGUUCGACACACGUGCAGCCCGGUGACGUCUCCUACACCUUGUUCCAGCAAGGAGAGAGGAGAGGUUGAGGGAGAGCUCCGGCAGCACGACGGCGUGGUGACGGUGGAGCUAUGCAGUUCUCCGGUAGGGCUUCGCCAAGCACCGCGGAGGACGAGGAGGAGGAGAGGUAGGGCUGUACCGAGGGAGAGAGAGAAUUGUGUGUUUGCAGCCCCAAAACCCUUCACUAUAUAUAGGAGGGAGGACGAGGAGGGCCAGCCACCCCUAGGUAAACCCUAGGAGGUGCGGCGGCCUAGGGUGGGCUUGGUGCCCAAGGCAGCCCCCAUGCCUAGGGUUUCGCCCCCCCCCUUAGCCCUCUUUUGCGCCUUGGGCUGAGGUGGGUGGCGCACCAGCCCACCUAGGGGCUGGUUCUCAUCCACUUUUCGCCCAUGUAGCCUCUCGGGGCUGCUGGCCCCUCCCGGUGGACCCCCGGAACCCUUCCGGUGGUCCCGGUACAUGUAACAUCCCAAAUUUUGGAAUGUUAAUAAAAUUAUUAGAUUGAUUGUUUGUUUGUUUGAGUGAUUGAAACUUGAGUGAAAUUUGAAACUUUUCAAAAACAUUUGAAUGAGAGGGAAUAAAAUGACUUUCCCCUUCUCCGGUAAAUUCAAAUUCAAUCAUUUAAAAACAAAGAGAGAAGAUGACAUGACUUCUUCAACUAUAAAGAAUUUGAACGGAGUUUUGCAAUUGAAUUCUUUCAAAUAUUUGCCCUUGCUUCUCUAUUUUUCUUCCCCGAGAAAUACCCCGAAAAUAAUUCUUGCCAAGCAAGAAAGAGAGGAGGAACAUGACCCUCCAAACCGGGGAUAUUCCUUUGAAAUAUUUGGACCAUAAAACCCAAGGUUUAUUUGAAAAAUAUUUGCAAAAAGAAAAUAAACCAAUUUAUGGAUUUUCUAAAAAAAACUUUUUUUCUGAAGUAUUUAUUUUGGUAGUGGAAAAAUGCCCAUCUUUUUGGAUUUAUUUUUCUGAAAAUUUUAAUAUAUUAUACCCUUAUAUUCCGAGGAAUAUUCCAUUUACUUUUAAUAGUUUUAAUUCCGUUUUAAUGAAUAUGGAAAGAGAUCUUUAUUUUAGGAAAGUCCUUAGGCCACAUUAGGAAUGUCAUGUGGCCCAAUUCCACCUUCCUUCUUCUUCCUCACGUUCAUUCCUUGUGUAGCCAUGGCAGAAACUUCCACGAAGCUUCCCCUCCGGGAUUCGCGAGCUUCUUUCCCUCCCGGCGCCUCCCACCACCCCUAUAAGAACCCCCUCGGCCUCCUCUUUCCAUUCCCCUAAAAAAUCUCUGUUCCCUCGCCCGACGCUACCACCCCCACUCGCCGGACUUCACUGUACGGAGCCGAAGCUUCCAGGAGCUCCCGGCGACCUCCCCAUCGCCAGGCCACGCCUCUGCCCCCCCUACGCACCCCUUCCCCUCGCCCCACCCUUUCCCCAUCGCCCUGCAGCCACCCCACCCUYGCUGCACCCCCACCCUCGCCCACUGCACCUCCCAGCACCAUUGCAGGAGCCCCCUGUUUCUCCCCAGGGCCUCCCCAUCUCUCCCUUGCCCCCCUCGCCCCCUCCUAGGAGCCCCCCCUCUCCUCCACCGGCCCCCUCCCAGGAGAUCUCUCCCCUCGCCGGAGUGCCUCUCCACCCUCGCCGGAGCAGCCACCGGAGCUCCCAGCCUCCUGUGUCCACGGUGAGAUCCCCUCCCUCCUCUAGUUUUUGUUUUUUUUGUUUUUCCACUGUAGGAUCUUAGAUCAAUGGGUUAGAUUAGAUCCAGCAUACCCCUUCGGUUCUUUUAAAAGAACUGGCGGUUUUUCCUUAUUAGUAAGUUUAGCCGAAGCGGUUUCUUAUAUAGCGACCGUCCGCUGUUUGUCUAUGCAACACACACCCGACAACCAAUUAGAUCUCGCCACGUCGCCGUUUUCGUUUUCAGAUUAAUUCCGUAACAGAUUUAGUUCCGUUCUUGUUUAGCUUAUAACUUUUGAUAUAGAAGUCCAAUGAUGCUGAUUCGUUUUGCGUUAGAUCACAAUUUUCUUUUAGUUUCCGAAAAUAUAUAAUUUGUCUAUGUUUGGAUUAAUAAAAAUUGAGUUAGAUCAGAUUUGAAUUAAACCUUGUUUUGCUUAUUCUGGGAGUUUAAAAAUAGAUUUUUAAUUAAUUCUUUUUGCUACUGACCACUAGUGAUCUUAUUUAUCAGUGGUAAAAAUUUCAAAAUUGUUUGAGUAUCUUAGCUCAUUGUUUCUUGUGAAACACUUUCUGUUUCACUUCUUUUAGGAUUAUGACUAUAUUUCUUUCUUUAGUUGUUUUUAAAUUAUUUUUUCUUUUAUAUUUUAGAAAGAUUAUGUUUUGUUUCUAUUAGUUAACAGUAGGUUUGCAACAAGUUUUUGAUUUUAUUUUUAUAUGUUAUCAUGAAAUCAAUUCUAGUUCUCUAAUAACUUGCAAUUGGUUUCUCUACUAUUUCAAAUCCCGUUUGGAAAUACUUUCAAAUAGUUUUGUGAAAAAAACUCUAUCUUGGUUAAAUUUAUAUCUUAGUUCUCUGUUAUUUAAUGUUUUAUUUUCAGUUAGAUCAAAAAAAAGUUAUUUAGUGUUUGAUGUAGUAGAGGACUCCUAGUUUUAGUUGAAGUUUCUUUCGGAUUCUUAUUCGCUCUCUCCUUUGUUUUGAUUACUAGAAUGAUUGCUAGUAUGAGUGCUUACGUGAAUGAUAUGUUUGUUAUAUAGAUUUCAUCGGAGAGUGACGAGUAGUCUAUCAAGUUAUUCCUCGACAACGAAAAUUCUUCUUCGUCAACAUCACCAGGCAAGUCACUUUGAUCAUACUAUCACCUAUGUUUUUUCUAUGCAUGGUAGUUCCACCUUCCUAUACCCAAUUGCAUGCUGAGUAGGUACUUGGAAAUUUUGGUUACAUAUUGUGGUAUCAUGUGGUAGGCACCCAACAACCCCGUUAUUUGGCCCGGUAUGACAAAUUUCAUAUUGCUAUGCUUGAAUAGACGGGAUUCUGGUUGAGAGUUUAUCACGAGUGAUGCGAGAAUAAUUUAAUAACCAAGACCGGUUAAGUCAAGACUUUUCAAGACCUCGUGAUGCAAUGCAACUCUGGGUGAAGGACGGUUGAUCGGCUCCCUGGAGAAACCAGUGGAUGGCCCGGGAUGCUGGAGACGUGCCAUGACAUCUUGCAGAAAGCUUCACCCAGGCUCGAAGAGACGGACGGAUAUUUUCAAGACCGAAGGCUUACCUGCACAGCCACAAGUCAUUAUGGGCUCUGUCUUGGUUGGACAACACUGCGACUCUGGACAGGCGGUGCCAGCAGAUGUAGAAGAACGGUAGGAUUUGGAUGGGCACCGUCAGAGAUUCAGAGGGUCCCGUUGAAAGACCAUGUUUUGAUCAUCCGGUCUUCAAACACCCUGAAGUGCGAGGACAUACACGGAGGCGAUCAAAUCUUGUGGGGAACGUGUGCAAAACUCUGCAGAGUACUCAAACCUAAUCGAUUAGCGGUGUCCACGGUCAUGGACAACUUGAGCCAAAGGAACUGAAGUUAUCUGGAAUUCUCAACACCAUUAUAUAUAUUUGAUGUGGGUAAUAUUGAUAACUUGGGUAUGAGAACUGAUUGGCAGAACCAUCUCAUUAACAACCAAUAGUGUAGUAAUAUUUUGCUUUUAGCCCCUCUUGUUGUAGGAGAAAAUUUUCUUUACGCUAAAACUUACAAGACCACCUACCAUAUAUGCAUAUAGUAUAGAUGAUAUUUUACCACCUCUCAUAUGUGACUUGCCGGCAUAUUCAAUAUGCUGACCUACACGGCUGCAACGUCUUAUAUUGCAGAUAUUUUUCUUCGACGAGUAAGAGUACGAUUCAGGGUUACGGUCUACACUCAACUUGCCGUUGGUGUUUAUUGGGACUCCACUCCCUUGACUGCUUUCGCUGAGAUAUUUAAGGUAUAUAUCAGCUUUACGCUAUUUCCAUGUGUGUGCCAGCAUACUGAUCCAGGGAUGGCACAGAUACACAGAGGCUUGACUCUCUUUGAGUCGGGUCGCUACAGUACAUUACGGGUGAUUCCCGAAACACUUCCGGCGAUCAAAUCUCCACUUCCUAUAUAUGAAUUUUUACCUCCGAAUCAUUCCGGAGCUCCUGAUGACGUCCGGGAUCUCAUCCGGGACUCCGAACAACCUUUGGUAACCACAUACUAUUCCCAUUACGACCCUAGCGUCAUCGAACCUUAAGUGUGUAGAUCCUGCGAGUUCGGGAACAAUGCAGACAUGACCGAGACACCUCUCCGGUCAAUAACCAACAGCGAGGUCUGGAUAUCCAUGUUUGUUCCCACAUGUUCCACGAUGAUCUCAUCGGAUGAACCACGAUGUCGGGGAUUCAAUCAAUCCCGUAUAAAAUUCCCUUUGUCUAUCACUAUGAUACUUGCCCAAGAUUUGAUCGUCGGUAUCCCUAUACCUUGUUCAAUCUCGUUACCGGCAAGUCUCUUUACUCAUUCCGUUAUACAUCACCCCGUGGGUAACUCCUUAGUCACAUUGAGAUCAUUAUGAUGAUGGAUUGCCGAGUGGGCCCAGAGAUACCUCUCCGUCAAACGGAGUGACAAAUCAUAGUCUCGAUUCGUACCAAUCCAACAUAUACUUUCGGAGAUACCUGCAGUGCACCUUUAUAAUCACCCAGUUACGUUGUGUUGUUUGGUACACCCAAAGCACUCCUACGGUAUCCGGGAGUUGCACAACCUCAUGGUCUAAGGAAAUGAUACUGACAUUAGAAAAGCUUUAGCACACGAACAACAUGAUCUAGUGCUAUGCUUAGGAUUUGGUCUUGUCCGUCACAUCAUUCUCCUAAUGAUGUGAUCCCGUUAUCAGUGACAUCCAAUGUCCAUGAUCAGGAAACCAUGACCAUCUAUUGAUCAACGAGCUAGCCAACUAGAGGCUCACUAGGGACACAUUGUGAUCUAUAUAUUCACACUUGUUACGGUUUUCGGUUAAUAUAAUUAUAGCAUUAAUAAUAGAAAAUUAUCAUGAACUAGGAAAUAUAAUAAUAACCACUUUAUUAUUGCCUCUAGGGCGUAUUUCCAAUAGUCUCCCACUUGCACUAGAGUCAAUAAUCUAGUUACAUUUUGAUGAAUCGAACACUGAUCUGCGCAAUCUCUGGCGUUAACUAGACGAAUGCUUAUAACAACAAACCUUCUCCUGCAACGGCACCAGAAGAAUGCUGAUAGCACUCCCCGGCAAUGAAACUGGAAGAAUGUUGUUGAUGGCCCACCAGCGCGUGGGUUCGCAGCAGUUUUCGAGGGUAGAGUAUUCGACCCAAAUUUGUAGAUCGCCUGAAGGAGGUGAGAGAAUAUUCUCGAGUAUGAGCUACAGAAUUUGUCGGAUUCAACAACAAAGUAAUAUGAUAACAACGGUGUCAGAAACGAUUUGUUGACGGCAGACUAUUCCUAACAAUUGUAUCAAUGGCACCUUCGUUGCCGCGUCGAUGGAAGUUGUCAAUUCCCGUCAACGGUAGGUGAACCAACAGUGUAGCAGGUAGCAGCAGUGUAACGAGCAAUAGCAAUGGCAAGGAACAUCAGUAGUGACAGCAGUAGCAAGUAGCAACAGUAGUAGCAGCAGAGCAAGACAAGUAACAGCAGUAGCAACAGUAGUAGCAGCAGAGCAAGACAAGUAACAGCAGUAGGACAAACUCGUAGGCAAUGGGUCGGUGAUUUGUUUGGAUGAUAUUCAUCAUGCAACAACUAUAACACGAAGAGAUAUAUGGCUAGCUCCCGUUCGUCAAUGUGAUGUAGGCAUGCAUUCCGUGUGUCGUCAUACGUGCUUAGGGAAAAGAACUUGCAUGACAUCUAUUGUCCAUCCCUCCCGUGGCAGCGGGGUCCAAAAGGAAACUACGGGAUAUUAAGGUUCUCCUUUUAAUAAAGAACCGGACCAACGCAUUAGCACUUGGUGAACACAUGAACUCCUAAAACUAUGAUCAUCACCGGGAGUGGUUCCGGUUAUUGUCACUCCGGGGUUGCCGGAUCAUAACACAUAGUAGGUAACUACAACUUGCAAGAUCAGAUCUAAAACACACAUAUAUUGGUGACAACAAAAUUAUUUCAGAUCUGAAAUCAUGGCACUCGGGCCCUAGUGACAAGCAUUAAGCAUGGCAAAGUAGUAGCAACAUCAAAUCUUAGAACAUAGUGGAUACUAGGUAUCAAUCCCCAUCAAAACUAACUUGAUUACAUGAUAGAUCUCAUCCUACUCAUCACCGCCCAGCGAGCCUACGAAUAGAUUACUCACGAACGACGAAGAGCUUCAUGGAAUUGGUUAGGGGAGAAGGUUGAUGAUGACGAUGGCGACGAUUUCCCCUCUCCGAAGCCCAAGACGGACUCCAGAUCUGCCCUCCAGAUGAAGAACAGGUGUUGGCGGCGCCUCCGUAUCUAAAACGCGAUGAAAACUUAUAUUUUUAUUUUUUCUGGGACGAAAGACAACUUAUAGAGCUGGAGUUGGGGGCGGCAGGUGGCUGUGGGCCCCACAAGCCUGCCCACCGCCACCAGGGGGGAUGGUGGCGGAGCAGGGGCUUGUGGCCCACUAGCUCACCCUCUGAGGUGGAACUUGGCGGAGAUAUUUUUGAUAUUUUCCAAAACUGCUCCCCGUAAAUUUGCAGGAUGUUUGGAGAACUUUGAUUUCUGCACAAAAAUAACACCAAUGCAAUUCUGCUGAAAACAGCGUCAGUCCAGGUUAGUUCCAUUCAAAUCAUGCAUAUUAUAGUCAAAAACAAGGGCAAAAGAGUUUGGAAAAGUAGAUACGUUGGAGACGUAUCAACUCCCCCAAGCUUAAAACCUUGCUUGUCCUCAAGCAACUCAGUUGACAAACUGAGAGAGAAAGAAUAACUUUGACAAACUCUGUUUGAUCUUGUUGUUGCAACUAUGUCUAACUCAUAACCAGAAUUUCAGCAAGAUCACAAGUUAACCACAUAAGCAAAUGACACAAAGGUCUCACGGUAAACUAAUAUCAAUGGCAUAAUCAUCUAACGAGCAAAUAAUAAUGAGUUUCAAAUACCAACACUUCAAUCAAAACAAGCAUGAAGCAAUAUGAAUAUGUGGUAUCUCGUUAGCUGUUUCUGAGACCGCAAAACAUAAAUGCAGAGCACUUUCAAAGAUCAAGGGCUGACUAAACAUUGUAAUUAAUAGCAACGAAGAUCCAGUCAUAGUCAUACUCAAUAUCAAUCAAAAGCAAAGCAUAAAAAAGACAGAGGUGCUCUCUAAUUGGUGCUUAUAUAAGAGGAGGAUGACUCAGCAGGAAAAUAAAUAGACAGGCCCUUCACAGAGGGAAGCAUUGAUUUGCAGAGGUGCCAGAGCUCAAGCUUUGAAAACAGAGAUAAUAAUUUUGGGUGGCAUGCUUUCAUUGUCAACGCAAUGACUAAGAGUUCUCAAUAUCUUCCAUGCUACUCAUGCUAUAGGCGGGUCCCAAACAAAAAAGUAAAUUUUUAACUCCCCCACCACCAAUCAAUCACACUCCACGGCUAGCCGAAUCCUCGGGUACCGUCCAUACUAACAUCAAUCCGGGGGGAGUCUUGUUUUACAGUUAUGUUUUUGAUUUAAGCAUGGAACUAGGCAUCCCAAAUACCGGCCCCUUUCUCGUGAAGGACCGUGAAUAAACACAUAUCGAGGAUAACACUCCUAGCAUGGAAGAUACCAAUAGCCCUCUGUCACCACAUGAGCAGUUCGGGCAUGCACAACAGAUUUAUUUCUUGAAGGUUUAGAGAAUGGCACAUGCAAAUUUACUUGGAACGGCAGGUAGAUACCGCAAAUAGGUAGGUAUGGUGGACUCUCAUGGAAAAACUUUUGGGUUUAUGGAAGUGGAUGCACAAGCAGUAUUCCCGCUUAGUACAAGUGAAGGCUAGCAAAAGACUGGGAAGCGACCAACUAGAGAGCGACAACGGUCAUCAAGAUGCAAUGAGUUUGACUAACAUUGAAUGGAAGCAUGAACAUGAUAUAAAUCACCAUGAAUACGAACAUCAUAGAGGCUAUGUUGAUUUUGUUUCAACUACAUGCAUGAACAUGCGCCAAGUCAAGCCACUUGAAACAUUCAAAGGAGAAUACCAUCCUAUCAUACUACAUCAUAGUCAUCUCAAAAUCUAUUUUGGCAUUCAAGACAAACCAUUAUAAGCUCUCAGCUAAAUAAGCAUGGCAUCAAAAACUAUGAUCUCUAAGUUGUCAUUGUAAACAUUGUUCUCUCACAACAAAGCUAAAUCUGGGUCGACAAGCUAGUCAUAUUUACAAAAACAAAAUAGAUAGAGUUCAUACCAGCUUUUCAGUCUCAGUCACUUCAUCAUAUAUCAUCAUUGUUGCCUUUCAUAUGCACGAUCGAACGAUGAAAACGAUAAUAAGCGCAUUGGACUAAGCUGAAUCUGUAGGCAAACACAAAGGAGAAGACAAAAUAAUAUGGCUCUUUGAAAGCUAAACAGGUAAGCAUGCAAGAACCAAUAAGCAUUGUAACCAAUAUCUUCUACCUUGACACAAAGAAAAAGAAAACUAUUUACACGGGAAAGCUCCCAACAAGCAAAAGAAGAAAGAAAAAUCUUUUUGGGUUUUCUCAAAAGGACACAAAACAAGAAAACAAGAAAAAAAAAGAAACUAGCAUGGGUAAUAUAGUGGCAAAGUGUAAACACCGGCUAACAAAGUGAAAGCAUAAGCAUGAAUGUAAAGUCGGUAAGAACACGUACUCCCCCAAGCUUAGGCUUUUGGCCUAACUUGGUCUACUCUCAUGGAUGAUCCUGGCGAAACCCAAGGUCAUAAUGGGUGUUAUACGGGAGUGCUGCAUCCACUACCUGAAUAGCUGCCUCACGAAGUCGAGCAGCCGUCGCCUCCCUCUCAUACUCCUCUGCCUCUCCUAUGGUUAUGUACUAUCUUCGUUUAACCUGAAAGUCAAAGAAAGCAGGAGCAGGAAGGGUAAUAUGGAAAACACGUUGCCGGUUAAAUAUCAAGCCGUAUAGGAGGGAUCCAUGAUCUCUCUCAAGGAACUGGUAGCGUGUUAGCGCGACACGAUCAAGGUAGGCUGUACGGAGAGGAGGGUCUUCUGGACGGAUGGUUACUCCAAGAAAACUUGCUAAGCGCGUAGCAUAAACUCCACCAAAGAAAUCCCCCUCACUGGCAUUUUUAUUCAGCCUCCUUGCUAUAAUAGCUCCCAUAUUGAAGCUCCUGUCACCUGUUACUGCGCUCUUAAGGAUACUAAGGUCGGAAGCGCAUAGGUGACAAUGUGCACUCUUGCCGUUAACGCACCUACCUAUGAAGAGGGCAAGGUAGUGCAAGGCAGGGAAAUGGAUGCUUCCUAUGGUGGCUUGCGUGAUAUCUCUGGUUUCUCCAACAGUUAUACUGGAGACAAAGUCUCUGACCGAAGACUUAGGAGGAUCAUUAACACUACCUCCAUCGGGUAUCUUGCAAAUCCUAUUGAAAUCCUCCAGACCCACGGUAUAGGAUUUAUCGUACAGAUCAAAUAGUAUGGAUGAUUCAUGGCCAACCAAAAAUUUAAAUAUACGCACAAAAGAGGCAGUGAGCAUAGCAUACUGUUCACAUUUAUUUGAGAGGAAUUCUUCUAACCCGGCAUUGCAGACAAGUGCAUCAAACUCAUCCUUGAAGCCUGCUUCGAUCAUGAACUCAUCGGAAGGCCAUUCACAUGGUUGCACCGGUGCGUCCCUUAGUUGAAAAGGUUCGGGCUCCCGAAAGGAGAGACGAGGACCCUUCUUACUUGAGGAACCACCAUGAAACUUCCUCCUGAACAUAAUUUCCUUUUGCUGAAAUUUUUGAAGUUCAAGAGAAAAGUGAAUGAGGACCAACCAUACGUUGUAGCAACUACUCCUACUAGUGCCUAGAGACCGUAUCACGCGCUAAAACUACUUGGAACCAUCUAAAAUCAACAUUUGUAGCUCAAGAACAGGGUCACCAAGGUAGCAAUAAUUCGCGAAGGAUAAAGCACUAGAGCAAAAACUAAUUGGACCAAUGGAGGAGUCACUUACCAAGGAGCAGUUUCCCCAAAACAGUUCAGAGAAUGGUGCUUUGAGCAAGGAGAUCGAAAAUCACCGCCAAAUGAGCAAGAACACGGGUUUGAGCUGCGAAAUAAUUUUUUCUGGAGGUGGAAGAAGAGGCUGGGAGCUGGAAUGAGUGGAGGGAGUGCCUGUGGGCCCCACAAGCUUGCACCUCGCCACCAGGGGGGUAGGUGGCGGUGGGGGGGCUUGUGGCCCACUGGUCAGGCCCCCUGACCAGAUCUCAGGCCCAGAAAUUUUCAAAAAUUGUAGAAAAAAAUCAUACUAAAUAUUCACGACCAUCGGAGAACUUUUAUUUUCGAGGUAUUUUUCUCCGGGACGCUAAAACAGAAAACAUGAAAAGCUAAACUAAUUCUAUCAUUUUUCUUCUAAACAACAGAAAAGGAAAACUCAAAACAGAGGUAUGUGACUCUUUGAUUCAUCCGUUUCAUGGUCAUCGGAAAAAAUUCGUCAAUGGCGUUGAUCAAGUCCUUAUGACAAAACCUUCUCGAAUCGCAAGAGAGAACGGAGAAUUUUCGAAUAGCCACUAAGUCACCUCAAUGGGGAUAUGUAUCUCCCCAACAAGCAAAUCAUACUUCAUCUUGACACGAGCAAUAGGGCAUUCAAAGCUCCCAAUGAGAAUCGAUGAAGUCUUUUCGAUAGCAUUGAUGCAAUGUACUGGAUAUCGUUUCUUCGGAAAGUGCACGGUGUGCUCAUUACCGUUGACAUGGAAAGUGACAUUGCCUUUGUUGCAAUCUAUAACAGCCCCUGCAGUGUUUAGAAAGGGUCUUCCGAGGAUGAUAGCCAUGGCAUCGUCCUCGGGAAUAUCCAAGAUAACAACGUGUGUUAAGAUAGUGGUGUUAGCAACCACAAUAGGCACAUCCUCGCAAACGCCGAUAGGGAAAGCAGUUGAUUUGUCUGCCAUUUGCAUAGAAAUUUCAGUGGGUGUCAACUUAUCCAACUCAAGUCUACGAUAAAGAGAAAGCGACAUAACACUAACACCAGCUCCAAGGUCACAUAAGGCAGUUCUUACGUAGUUUCCUUUAAUGGAGCAAGGUAUAGUGGGCACUCCGGGAUCACCAAGUUUCUUAGGAGUUCCACCCUUGAAAGUGUAAUUGGCAAGCAUGGUGGAGAUCUCAAGAUCUGGUAUCUUCCAUUUAUUAGUCACGAUAUCUUUCAUGUACUUGGCAUACGGAGACAUCUUGAGCAUAUCAGUUCACCGCAUCUGCAGAAAGACGGGUCUUAUCAUCUCAACGAAGCGCUCAAAAUUCUCAUCAUCCUUUUUCUUAGAUGGCUUAGGAGGAAAGGGCAUAGGUAUCUGAACCCAUGGCUCUCUUUCUUUACCAUGCUUCCUAGCAGUAAAGUCAUUCUUGUCGUUUCUCUUAGGUUGUGGAUUAUCAGGAUUAACCGUACAAUCAAUCUCCACAUCCUCGUCAUGGCUAGGUUGAGCAUUAUUACGAACAUCACUGUCCAUAUUGUCACUAGGUUCAUGUUCAUCACCUGAUUGUGUUUCUGCAUCAUACGCAGAAAUAUCAUUAGGUUCUUCAGGUGUGACAAUAUUUGGCGAACUCGCAUGCAGGUCUCUAUCAUCCUUCUUCUUCUCCUUAGGAUGACUGGGUGUAUCAGCAUUGAUUCCUUGAGAAUCUUGAUCAAUUCUCUUAGGAUGACCUUCAGGAUACAAAGGUUCCUCAGUCAUUUUGCCUCCUCUAGUAAUGACUUUGACAGAGUUGUCAUUUAAUUCAUUGAGCAAGUCAUUCUGAGCUUUAAGUACUUGUUCUACCUGAGUAGUAAUCAUAGAGGCAUGUUUGCUCAGAAGCUUCAGAGCAUUGACAUUUCUGUGUACACAAGCACUUAAAUGGCUAAGCAUACGAGCACUUUGUUCCAAAUGUCUGGUAACAUAAUCAUUGAAACUCUGUUGUUUGGUAACAAAGUUGUCAAAUUCAUCAAAGCAUAGGCUAGCAGGUUUAUCAAAAGGAAUAUCACUCUCAUCAAACCUACGCAGAGAAUUCACUUCUACUACCAGUAUCGGGUUAUCGAGACCAUGGAUCUCUUCGAUAGGUGGUAGAUUUUUGACAUCUUCAGCUCUAAUGCCUUUCUCUUGCAUAGAUUUCUUGGCUUCUUGCAUAUCUUCGGGACUGAGGAAUAUAAUACCUCUUUUCUUAGGAGUUGGCUUAGGAGGUGGUUCGGGAAUAGUCCAAUCAUUAUCGUUGAUCAAGAGGUUAUUCAGUAGAGUCUCAGCUUGUUCUACAGUUCGUUCCCUAAAAACACAACCGGCACAACUAUCUAGGUAGUCUCUAGAGGCAUCGGUAAGUCCGUUAUAGAGGAUAUCAAGUAUCUCAUUCUUCUUAAGAGGGUGAUCAGGCAAAGCAUUCUGUAGCUGGACGAGCCUCCCCCAAGCUUGUGGAAGACUCUCUUCUUGGAGUUGAGCAAAGUUGUAUAUUUCCUGCAAGGCAGCUUGCUUCUUAUGGGCAGGGAAAUAUUUCUCACAGAAGUAAUAGACCAUCUAUUGGGGACUACGCACACAUCCAGGAGCAAGAGAGGUGAACCAGGCUUUAGCAUCAUCCUUUAGAGAGAAAGGAAACAACUUAAGGAUAUAGUAGUGGCGGAUCUUCUCCUCAUUAGUGAAGAGGUUGGCUAUUUCGUAUAGUUUGGCAAGGUGUGCUAUGACCGUCUCAGACUCAUAACUGUGAAAAGGAUCAGAUUCGACUAGAGAGAUUAUCUCAGGGUCGACAGAGAAUUCAUAAUCCUUAUCGGUGACAAAGAUAGGCGAAGUGGCAAACUUCGGGUCAUUUUUCAUCCUAGCUUCACGAGAUUUUUCCUUCCACUUGAGAAUUAAUUUCUCAGCGUCAUACGCAUCCUUACACGCAAGAAAAUCCUCAGCUAUCUCUCCCUCCAUAACGUAACCCUCAGGUAUAUCAGGCAAUUCAUAUCUAGGAGACCUAGAUCUAGCAGGAGCAAAAGAAGGUUCUAUCUCAAUAGUAUCGGCAAUAUUAGAAGCAUCACGAGCAUUGGCGGUAACUCUAGCAAUAUGAGCAUCAAGGAACACUCCUAGUGGAACAUCAAGCAAAGGAGAUACUCUAGCAGUAUCAAGCAUAGCAUCAUCACGCAAAAUAGCAUAUCUAGCAUCAUCAGGCAGAGCAGUAUCAAGCAUAGCAUCUCUAGCAGUAUCAGGCAUAGUAUCAAGCAUAGAAUCAUCAGGCAUAGUAUCAAGCAUAGCAUCAUCAGGCAUAGUAUCAAGCAUAGCAUCUCUAGCAGUAGUAUCACAAGCAUCAUCAAGCACAGGCGACAUAUCAAGAUUUCUAGCAGGAGGUGAUUUCGCAAACUUACUCAUAACUGAAGGUGAAUCAAGUGUAGAGCUAGAUGGCAAUUCCUUACCUCCCCUCAUAGUUGGGGGCAAUACUUUGGUCUUCGGAUCCUUCAGAUUCUUCAUAGUGAUCAGCAGAUAUAAAUCCCAAGUGACUCAGAGAAUAUAGCAAUACCUCCCCGGCAACGGCGCCAGAAAAAUGCUGAUCUGCGCAAUCUGUGGCGUUAACUACACGAAUGCUUAUAACAACAAACCUUCUCCUACAACGACACCAGAAGAAUGCUGAUAGCACUCCCCGACAAUGAAACCGGAAGAAUGUUGUUGAUGGCCCACCAGCGCGUGGGUUCGCAGCAGUUUUCGAGGGUAGAGUAUUCGACCCAAAUUUGUAGAUCGCCUGAAGGAGAUGAGAGAAUACUCUCGAGUAUUAGCAGCUGAAUUUGUCGGAUUCAACCACACCUGAAAGAUUAGUAUCUGCAAGCACAGUAGUAACAACAAAGUAAUAUGAUAACAACGGUGUCAGAAACGAUCUGUUGACGACAGACUAUUCCUAACAAUUGUAUCAAUGGCGCCUUCGUUGCCGCGUCGACGGAAGUUGUCAAUUCCCGUCAACAGUAGGUGAACCAACAGUGUAGCAGGUAGCAGCAGUGUAACGAGCAAUAGCAAUGGCAAGGAACAACAGUAGUGACAGCAGUAGCAAGUAGCAACAGUAGUAGCAGCAGAGCAAGACAAGUAACAGCAGUAGCAACAGUAGUAGCAGCAGAGCAAGACAACUAACAAGAGUAGGACAAACUCGUAGGCAAUGGGUCGGUGAUUUGUUUGGAUGAUAUUCAUCAUGCAACAGCUAUAACACGGAGAGAUAUAUGGCUAGCUCCCGUUCGUCAAUGUGAUGUAGGCAUGCAUUCCGUGUGUUGUCAUACGUGCUUAGGGAAAAGAACUUGCAUGGCAUCUAUUGUCCAUCCCUCCCGUGGCAGUGUUGGGGAACGUCGCAUGGGUAACAAAAAUUUUCCUACGCGCACGAAGACCUAUCAUGGUGAUGUCCAUCUACGAGAGGGGAUGAGUGAUCUAUGUACCCUUGUAGACCGUACAACAGAAGCGUUAGUGAAUGCGGUUGAUGUAGUGGAACGUCCUCACGUCCCUCGAUCCGCCCCGCGAACUAUCCCGCGAUCAGUCCCACGAUCUAGUGCCGAACGGACGACACCUCCGCGUUCAGCACACGUACAGCUCGACGAUGAUCUCGGCCUCCUUGAUCCAGCAAGAGAGACGGAGAGGUAGAAGAGUUCUCCGGCAGCGUGACGGCGCUCCGGAGGUUGGUGAUGAUCUCGUCUCAGCAGGGCUCCGCCCGAGCUCCGCAGAAACGCGAUCUAGAGGAAAAACCGUGGAGGUAUGUGGUCGGGCUGCCGUGGAAAAGUCGUCUCAAAUCAGCCCUAAAACCUCCGUAUAUAUAGGUGGGAGAGGGGGGACCUUGCCUUGGGGCUCAAGAAGCCCCAAGGGGGUCGGCCGAGCCAAAGGGGGGAAGGACUCCCCCCAAACCGAGUCCUACUUGGUUUGGUGGGUGGAGUCCUUCUUUCCUUUCCCACCUCCUCCUUUUUUUUUCUUUUCUCUUUGAUUUUUCUUCCAAUGCGCAUAGGGCCCUUUUGGGCUGUCCCACCAGCCCACUAAGGGCUGGUGCGCCACCCUCAAGGCCUAUGGGCUUCCCCGGGGUGGGUUGCCCCCCCGGUGAACUCCCGGAACUCAUUCGUCAUUCCCGGUACAUUCCCGGUAACUCCGAAAACCUUCCGGUAAUCAAAUGAGGUCAUCCUAUAUAUCAAUCUUCGUUUACGGACCAUUCCGAAACCCUCGUGACGUCCGUGAUCUCAUCAUGGACUCCGAACAACAUUCGGUAACCAACCAUAUAACUCAAAUACGCAUAAAACAACGUCAAACCUUAAGUGUGCAGACCCUGCGGGUUCGAGAACUAUGUAGACAUGACCCGAGAGACUCCUCGGUCAAUAUCCAAUAGCGGGACCUGGAUGCCCAUAUUGGAUCCUACAUAUUCUACGAAGAUCUUAUCGUUUGAACCUUAGUGCCAAGGAUUCAUAUAAUCCCGUAUGUCAUUCCCUUUGUCCUUCGGUAUGUUACUUGCCCGAGAUUCGAUUGUCAGUAUCUGCAUACCUAUUUCAAUCUCGUUUACCGGCAAGUCUCUUUACUCGUUCCAUAAUACAAGAUCCCGCAACUUACACUAAGUUACAUUGCUUGCAAGGCUUGUGUGUGAUGUUGUAUUACCGAGUGGGCCCCGAGGUACCUCUCCGUCACACGGAGUGACAAAUCCCAGUCUUGAUCCAUACUAAGUCAACGAACACCUUUGGAGAUACCUGUAGAGCAUCUUUAUAGUCUCCCAGUUACGUUGCGACGUUUGAUACACACAAAGUAUUCCUCCGGUGUUAGUGAGUUAUAUGAUCUCAUGGUCAUAGGAACAAAUACUUGACACACAGAAAACAGUAGCAACAAAAUGACACGAUCAACAUGCUACGUCUAUUAGUUUGGGUCUAGUCCAUCACGUGAUUCUCCUAAUGACGUGAUCCAGUUAUCAAGCAACAACACCUUGUUCAUAAUCAGAAGACACUGACUAUCUUUGAUCAACUGGCUAGAUAACUAGAGGCUUGCUAGGGAGUGUUUUGUCUAUGUAUCCACACAUGUAAAUGAGUCUUCAUUCAAUACAAUUAUAGCAUGGAUAAUAAACGAUUAUCUUGAUACAGGAAUUAUAAUAAUAACUAUAUUUAUUAUUGCCUCUAGGGCAUAAUUCCAACAGGCAGCGGGGUCCAAAAUGAAACUACGGGAUAUUAAGGUUCUCCUUUUAAUAAAGAACCGGACCAAGGCAUUAGCACUUGGUGAACACAUGAACUCCUCAAACUAUGAUCAUCACCGGGAGUGGUUCCGGUUAUUGUCACUCCAGGGUUGCCGGAUCAUAACACAUAGUAGGUAACUACAACUUGCAAGAUCGGAUCUAAAACGCACAUAUGUUGGUGACAACAUAAUAAUUUCAGAUCUGAAAUCAUGGCACUCGGGCCCUAGUGACAAGCAUUAAGCAUGGCAAAGUAGUAGCAACAUCAAAUCUCAGAAUAUAGUGGAUACUAGGGAUCGAUCCCCAUCAAAACUAACUUGAUUACAUGAUAGAUCUCAUCCUACUCAUCACCGCCCAGCGAGCCUACGAAUAGAUUACUCACGAACGACGAAGAGCUUCAUGGAAUUGGAGAGGGAAGAAGGUUGAUGAUGACGAUGGCGACAAUUUCCCCUCUCCGGAGCCCAAGACGGACUCCAGAUCUGCCGUCCAGAUGAAGAACAGGUGGUGGCGGCGCCUCCGUAUCAAAAACGCGACGAAAACUUCUCUUUUUAUUUAUUUUGGGACGAAAGACAACUUAUAGAGCUGGAGUUGGGGGCGGCAGGUGCCUGUGGGCCCCACAAGCCUGCCCACCGCCACCAGGGGGUGGUGGCGGAGCAGGGGCUUGUGGCCCACUGGCCCACCCCCUGAGGUGGAACUUGGCACAUAUAUUUUUGAUAUUUUCCAAAACUGCUCCCCGUAAAUUUUGAGGACGUUUGGAGAACUUUGAUUUUUGCACAAAAAUAACACCAAGGCAAUUCUGCUGAAAACAACGUUAGUCCAGGUUAGUUCCAUUCAAAUCAUGAAAAUUAUAGUCCAAAACAAGGGCAAAAGAGUUUGGAAAAGUAGAUACGUUGGAGACGUAUCAAACACCCAUAGAGUACUGGUGCUGAUCAUGUUUCGCUCGUGGAAGAGGUUUAGUCAACUGAUCUGCGACAUUCAGAUCUGUAUGUACUUUACAAAUAUCUAUAUCUCCAUCCUGGAUGUAUCCACGAAUGGAGUUGAAGCGGCGCUUGAUGUGCUUUGUCUUCUUGUGAAACCUGGGCUCCUUGGCAAUGACAAUAGCACUAGUGUUGUCACAAAAGAGAGUCAUCGGGCCUGAUGCACUGGAAAUCACUCCUAGGUCGGUGAUGAACUCCUUCAUCCAAACUCCUUCCUGUGGUGCUUCCGAAGCAGCUAUGUACUCCGCUUCACAUGUAGAUGCCGCCAUGACGCUUUGCUUGCAGAUGCACGAGUUGACCGCCCCACCGUUCAAUAUAUACACGUAUCCGGUUUGUGACUUGGAGUCAUCCGGAUCUGUGUCGAAGCUAGCAUCGCCGUAACCCUUUAUGACGAGCUCUUCGGCACCUCCAUAAACGAGAAACAUAUCUUUAGUCCUUUUCAGGUACUUAAGGAUAUUCUUGACCGCUGUCCAGUGAUCCACUCCUGGAUCACUUUGUUACCUCCCUACCAAACUUAUGGCAAGGUUCACAUCAGGUCUGGUACACAACAUGUCAUACAUAAUAGAGCCUAUGACUGAAGCAUAGGGGACGGUACUCAUCUUUUCUUUAUCUUCUGCUGUGGUCGGUUUUGAGUCAUACUCAACCUCACACUUUGUAAUACAGGCAAGAACCCCUUCUUAGCCUUAUCCAUAUUGAACUUCUUCAAUAUCUUGUCAAGGUAUGUGGUCUGUGAAAGACCUAUGAGGCGUCUUGAUCUAUUUCUAUAGAUCUUGAUGCCUAAUAUGUAAGCAGCUUCUCUAAGGUCCUUCAUUGAAAAACUCUUAUUCAAAUAGGUCUUUAUGCUUUCCAAAAGUUCAAUAUCAUUUCCCAUCAACAAUAUGUCAUCCACAUAUAAUAUGAGAAAUGCUAUAGAGCUCCCACUCACUUUCUUGUAAAUACAGGCUUCUUCAUAAGUCUGUACAAACCCAAACGCUUUGAUCACCUCAUCAAAGCAAAUGUUCCAACUCCGAGAUGCUUGCAACAGCCCAUAGAUGGAGCGCUGGAGCUUGCAUACCUUGUCAUAUACAAUUCUUCCUUAAGAAAGACGUUCAGGAAUGCCGUUUUGACGUUCAUUUGCGACAUUUUUUAAUCAUAAAAUGCGGCAACUGCUAACAUGAUUCGGGCCGACUUCAACAUUGCUACGGGUGAGAAGGUCUCAUCUUAGUCAAUCCCUUGAACUUUUUGGUAACCCUUAGCGACAAGUCGAGCCUUGUAGAUGGUCACAUUACCAUUUGCGUCAGUCUUCUUCUUAAAGAUUCAUUUAUUUUCUAUGGCUCGCAAAUCAUCGGGCAAGUCACCCAUAGUCCAUACUUUGUUCUCAUACAUGGAUCCUAUCUCGGAUUUCAGGGCUUCAAGCCAUUUGUUGGAAUCCGGGCCCGCCAUCGCUUCUUCAUAGUUCGAAGGUUCACUGUUGUCCAACAACACGAUUUCCAUGACAAGAUUGUCGUACCACUCUGGUACGGAAUGUGUCCUUGUGGACCUUCGAGGUUCAGUAGGAACUUGAUUCGAAGAUUCAUGAUCAUCAUCAUUAACUUCUUCUCUAGCCGGUGCACGCACCUCAAAAACAUUUUCUUGUGCUGCGCUACUCACCGGUUCGGGAGGAGGUAUAAUUACCUCAUAAACUUCUACUUUCCUCCCACUUACUUCUUUCGAGAGAAACUCUUUCUCUAUAAAGGAUUCGUUUUUUGGCAACAAAUAGUUUGCCUUCGGAUCUACGAUAGAAGCUAUACCCAAUAGUUUCCUUAGGGUAUCCUAUGAAGACGCAUUUUAUUGCUUUGGGUUCGAGCUUCUCAAGUUGAAUUUUCUUCACAUAAGCAUCGCAGCCCCAAACUUUCAGAAACGACAGCUUAGGUUUCUUGCCAAACCAUAAUUCAUACGGUGUCGUCUCAACGGAUUUAGGCGGUGUCCUAUUUAAAGUGAAUGCGGCAGUUUCCAAUGCAUAUCACCAAAAUGAUAGUGGUAAAUCAGUAAGAGACAUCAUAGAUCGCACCAUAUCCAAUAAAGUGCGAUUAUGAUGUUCAGACACACCGUUACGCUGCGGUGUGCCAGGCAGCGUGUCACAUCCCUAACCCUUAAGCAAGUUAGCCUUGUGCUCAUGUAUUCUUUGCAUUUGCAUCUAAGAAUUUUCAACAAGAACAAGAAAGUGGCAAAAGAAAAACUCAAAACCCUAGCCACUACUUGAAAUAAAGAAAAUCUCAAAUUAGUUAAAAUCAAUGAACCCAAAAUGGCCUCAAGAAAUGUUCAAACUUUCUGAUAAAUCAUGAAAGUAAAUGAGCAUUGGAGAAAACUAUUUUCUUGACACUUUAAGCAUUUUAAAUUAAUGCAAAAGCCACUGGUUUCAAACUUUAAAUUUGAAAUCAGAAACUAUAAAUUCUCAAAAAUGUUGAAAACUUUGGAAAUGGUUGGGAAUAUUAUAACAAAUAUUCAGGUGUGUUUAAAAUAAUUUUUACCACCCUUUUGGAGCUGAAAUAAAUAGCAAAUCAAUGUCAGAAAUUAAAACAGAAAUAAAACAGAAGAAAAUGGAAAAGAGCUUACCUGUCGCCUAGCCUGGCCCGGCCCAUCCCAGCUCCUGUCGUCUCCCUCGCGCCAGUAGGAGCAGGAGGUGGCCGCCGCCUCCUCCGGCGCGGACACACACCUGUGCGCCUGCCUGGCCGCCGCCUUGCGCUGGCAAGGCCAGGGAUAAGCUCCCCGAGGUCUCACCUAUCCAUUCCCAGCGUCGGCUCUCUCCCUCCUCCCGGAUCCCUUCCUCCUUCCUGCUGCCGCCAUUGGAGCCGAGCAAAGCUCGAGCUGCCCGUGCCCCUAGCCUUAGCCUCCUCUUGCUGAGCACGCCGUUAGCUUCGCCUCGUCGCGCCGGUCCUCUCUGCAGAAGCCGAAGCUUCCCCGAGCUCUGCAUCGCCCCCAACGCCAUCGUCUUCCACCUCCGGCCGCCGGACCUCUCCCGUCGAUUCGCUCCCUCCGGCGCACCCCCGAGCCCCUCAGCAGCACCAUCGGAACCGCCGUGAGCUCGUCAUCGUUUCCCCUCUCGCCCCACGCUCUUCCGUGCAUCGUAGCCCCGUUCCCCACCAAGGCCGAGAGCUCCUCGCCGCCGGUCAUGUCAUCGCUGUCGCUGUGGUGUCUGAUCCACGCGCUCGAGCUAGGGAUCGAGCUCCUGGAGCCUCCAGGAGUGUGAUGAGCCCUCCAGCUGCCCUCCUCGUGCCCUAGAGCCAUCUCUCUUAGAAGGCCAAGCUUCGGCCGCCGCUUCGGCUCGUCGCCGGCGCCCCUCCCGGCGACCCUAGCCUCCCCUGAUGCCCCUGCCAGAUCGGCCACUUCGCCAGCGUUCCGUAGCUGCAAACCGCGUUCGAAUUGGUGCUGUCCAGCGCCGUUUAGGUCGCCUCCGGCGAGCCCUCCGCCGCGGGCUUGGUCGCCGGUGACCACCCUCCGGUGGGGGCCGACGUGGCAAAGCUAAUCCAGCAGAUUAGGAGCUUAAUCUCUCGCUGACAGUGGGCCCAAGGCCAAGUCAACUCAGUUUAGGGGCUGGUCAGCGCGGGAUUAGUCCCAGAGAGGCUGACCAGUGGGCCCCCCCUGUCAGGUUUGACCUGAACAGGUCGGCUGACCUGCUGACGUCAGUCUGAUGCAAUAAAGAGAAUUAUCAGUAUAGAAAUAAUUCCAGGAAAUUGCUAAAACUUGUAAAAAUCAUAGAAAUUAAUCUGUAACUCCAAUGAAAAUAAUUUAUAUAUGAAAAAGUAUCACAAAAAUUCAAGGAUUCUGAUUAUGCUAUUUUCAACCAUGUUUGAAAAAGUUACAGAACCCUAACAUGUAUAAUAAGGAAUAAUUCAAUUCUUAUAAUUACUUUAUAAAUGAAAUUUGGAAAAUAUUCAAAUUUCAAUAUGAAUGCCAUGAUCACACACUGUCCUAAUUACAAAUCAGUACAUUAACAUGACAUUUCAUGCAUGCUAACAUCAAGUUGAUCUGAGCAUCAGGUCGAGUCAAUUAAACCGGUAUUCGAGAAUACCCCGUUUGAAUUGCUAUUCAAAUGUGAUUCAAAUCAACUCUAAACCUAAUACAUGUUGAAAAUAAUAACUUAUCACUUUGCAUUCUCAUGCCAUGCUGAUGCAUCAUUUUGAUUGCAUAUGAUUGUUAUUGAAUGUUACCAUUCUUUUCGGUAGGCUCCGCACCCCCGGAUUCCACCGAAUAUCCGUCUGACGGAUAUCGUUCCUCCUCUGAGCAACAAGGCAAGCAACCCUUUUGAUCAUCCCGAUAAAUCCCAUGUUCUUGCUCCUGCACCUAUUUAUUGCAUUAGGAUCAAAUGCUUCAACUGCUUUUGCCACGUUAGUUGAACCCACUUCCUUUGCAUGACCUAACCUUGUCACAGUAAAUAGCCGAACCUUGCAACCUAGCAUACCUGAUAGUUGCUUGAGCUAUGAUGUGCCUUAUCCUGCUAUGCAUGCUAUGCUUAGAGUUGUGUAUGGUCUGUCAUCUGGGAGAUGAACAGAAUUGUGAGAAUGUGUUCGGUGAGCAAAGGUUGUGUGUUGAACUUGAUUUGGUAAAGGUACCGGUGAAAGGCUGUGUAGGUGUACAUGGCGGGUUGUUUCAUUGGAACCGUCCUUAGGAACUGAGUUCCGUGUAUGUAAUCCAAGACUAGAUACUACCACAUGUUGGGCCCUGAAAUAUGACCCCGCUCGGCCUAUUAAUCGCUUAGUACUCGGUCCAGGAGUUGCAAGUAGUUUCUGGUGUUUAUAGUAAUGCUGGAGGCCGUGCAUGGUGCUGACCUGAGAGGUGGACCGUGAUGCGGUAGGCAGUGGCACGGUGUACCAAGUGGCACCCGGAUGGUGGGCUUGGGAACCCUGCGCACAUCGUUUGAGGCCGUGGCGGAAACCUCGGCCGGACUUCCGUACGGGUUACUCUCAGAUAGGCGAUAAACCUGGACUAGGUACUAGUGUGGUUAACGGUCGUGGCCGACUCCCUCGCUGGGCUUCCGCUUGAAGGUUGCUGAGGUGCAUGACGUGCACAUGGCGAUAAGUGGCGAGAGCGUGUGUGACGAAGUACACCCCUGCAGGGUUAUGAUCUAUUCGAAUAGCCACGUCCGCGGAUAUGGACUACUUGGAGACAUAUGUUGUUCAUAGAUAACUUCAAUGGCUACUCAUAAAAUUGCCAAGAUAAGCGUGAGUGUCGUGGACGGCAUUUCCGUAUGAAGACGGAAUGAUUCCACGAUAGUGUAUUGUUGUGGUGUUAGUGGACUCGUGUGCGAGAAAUCAAGUUGUCAAAAUUAUUUAAAAAUGCAAAUUGUCUAGCCACAAGUCAAAUGCUGGCUUUCCGCAUGAAACCCCACAAUACCUUUUGAUACCUUGCAUGAGUAGUUAGUUAUCCUAAAGUCUUGCUGAGUAACUUCGUACUCAUGUUUGCUUAAUAAAUGUUCCAGAGGUUGCUAAUGACCCUAAUGGAGGGUUCUUCGUAGACGACGACGACGAGUAGUUGGUGUCCCAGCUACGAUCUGGCCCUACGUUGGAUCUGUAGUAUAGUCAGGCCAUGUGCCUUCUAGUUGCCCUGUCUGUACUCGGACAGUUUAAACUCUUCCGCUGGCUUGUAACUGAAUGACUGCUAUUAUGGGUCGUGAGACCCUUAAUGUGUAAUAUUAUGUGUGUGCCUCUUCCGAGCCUCUUAAAUAAAGGUUGUAUGUUUAUGGUUAUGUUGUGAUGCCAUCGAUGUAUCUAUACAUACCGGUAUGCCAUGCGUACGUGUGUCGUACUUGAUAUGUAUGGGGUUCGAUUACCUAGUCAUGAACUUUAGUAGCACUCCUUACGAGGAAAUGCCCCUUUGUGAUCCAAUGAGCCUUGGUAGUUCGCUACUGCUCCGGACACAUUGGUUGACCGGCAUGUGUCCUUCUUAGCUGCUGUGUCUGUCCUCUUUGGGGAAAUGUCACGCGAUGUAAUGGAGUCCUUGUAGCUUGCUACGACUCGUCUACAUUCGCUGAUGACCGACACCUGCUUUGUUGGGUCAUGUAUGCCUGUCCUUGUGCGGUGCUGCCACUUUGGUUUAUGACUAGACAUGUCGAUCCGGGUUCUUUGACAUUGGAUUGCUAGCGACACUAUCGCAUACGUGAGUCAAAAGACGCAAACGGUCCCGUCUAAGGUAAGGCUGCAGCCGUGGAGUUAACCGUGCGUGAGACCACAAAGGGAUGCGAUGUGUUACAGGCUGGAUUCCUAUGGCUUAGGAUCGGGGUCCCGACACAGCGUGAGUUGUGAAACGAUUCCACAUUUCCUUAAGGUCGUGCCAAACUCGUGACUCAAAUAUUCUCCUCCACGAUCAGAUUGCAAGAACUUUAUUUUCUUGUCAUGUUUAUUCUUUACCUCACUCUGAAUUUCCUUUCAAAGGUUUCAAACUUGUGCUUCAUUAAGUGGACAUACCCAUAUCUACUUAAAUCAUCAGUGAGGGUGAGAACAUAACAAUAGCCACUGCGAGCCUCAACACUCAUUGGACCGCAUACAUCAGUAUGUAUUAUUUCCAACAAGUUGGUUGCUCGCUCCAUUGUUCCGGAGAAUGGAGUCUUGGUCAUCUUGCCCAUGAGGCAUGGUUCGCAUGUGUCAAUGAUUCAAAAUCAAGUGACACCGAUAUGACCAAGGCAGCAGUGCCACAAGUAUGUGGGACUAUCAUUAUCAACCUUACAUCUUUUGGUACUCACACUAUGAAUAUGUGUAACAUCACGAUUGAGAUUCAUUAAGAAUAAACCAUUGACCAGCGGGGCAUGACCAUAAAACAUACCACUCAUAUAAAUAGAACAACCAUUAUUCUCAGAUUUAAAUGAGUAGCCAUCUUGCAUCAAGCGAGAUCUCAAUACAAUAUUCAUGCUCAAAACUAGUACUAAAUAACAAUUAUUAAGGUUUAAAACUAAUCCCGAAGGUAGAUGUAGAGGUAGCGUGCCGAUGGCGAUCACAUCGACCUUGGAACCAUUCCCGACGCGCAUCGUCACCUCGUCCUUAGCCAGCCUCCGCUUAUUCCCUAGUUCGAGUUUUGAGUUGCAAAUAUGAGCAACAACACCGGUAUCAAAUACCCAUGAGUUAUUACAAGCGCUGGUAAGGUACACAUCAAUAACAUGUAUAUCAUAUAUACCUUUGACGUUGCCGGCUGAUACGUCUCCAUCGUAUCUACUUUUCCAAACUCUUUUGCCCUUGUUUUGGACUCUAAUUUGCAUGAUUUGAAUGAAACUAAGCCGGACUGACGUUGUUUUCAGCAGAAUCGCCAUGGUGUUGUUUUUGCGCAGAAUAAAAGUUCUCGCAAUGACCUAGAAAUUUACGAGGAUUUUUUGUGGAAUAUAUAAAAAGUACCGGCGCAAGAAUUACCUGGAGGGAUGGAGCCAGGAGCCCACAAGCCCACAAGCCGCGCCUGACAAGCUUGUGAGGCCCUCGUGGCUCCGCCGCCACCAACUCCAGCUCUAUAUAGUCUCUCUCGCCCAGAAAAAAUUAAGAGAGAAGAGUUCAUCGCGUUUCACGACACGAAGCCACCGCCACCACCUGUUCUUCCUCUUGAGGGCAGAUCUGGAGUCCGUUCUGGGCUUCGGAGAGGGGAAAUCGACAUCGUCGUCAUCACCAACCAUCCUUCAUCGCCAAUUCCAUGAUGCUCUUCAUCGUUCGUGAGUAAUCUUAUAGUAGGCUUGCUGGACGGUGAUGGGUUGGAUGAGAUCUAUCAUGUAAUCGAGUUAGUUUUGAUGGAGUUUGACCCCUAGUAGCCACUAUGUUCUGAGAUCGAUGUUGCUACUACUUUGCUAUGCUUAAUGCUUGUCACUAGGGCCUGAGUGCCAUGAUUUCAGAUCUGUACCUAUUAUGUUUUCAUCAAUAUACGUGUGUUCUUGAUCCUAUCUUGCAAGUUGUAGUCACCUACCAUGUGUUAUGACUCGGCAACCCCGGAGUGAGAAUAGUCGGUACCACUCUCGGAGAUGACCAUAGUACGAGGAGUUCAUGUAUUCACUAUGUGCUAAUGUUUUGUUCUGGUUCUCUAUUAAAAGGAGACCUUAAUAUCCCUUACUUUCCAUUAGGACCCCGCUGCCACGGGAGGGAUGGACAAUAUAUGUCAUGCAAGUUCUUUUCCAUAAGCACGUAUGACUAUAUACAGAAUGCAUGCCUACAUUACAUUGAUGAACUGGAGCUAGUUAAAAAGCACCCCAUGUUAUAACUGUUACAUGAUGAAUGUCAUCCGACAUAAUUAUCCAUCACCGAUCCAAUGCCUACGAGUUUUUCCUACUGGUCCUUGCUAUGUUACUUUGCCGCUACUGUUGUCACCGUUGCUACCGUUGCCAUCACACUACUUUGCUACUGAAACUUUGCUGCAGAUACUAAGUCUUUCAGGUGUGGUUGAAUUGACAACUCAACUGCUAAUACUCGAGAAUAUUCUUUGGCUUCCCCUUGUGCUGAAUCAACAAAUUUGGGUUUAAUACUCUACCCUCGAAAACUGUUGCGAUCCCCUAUACUUGUGGGUUAUCAAGACUAUUUUCUGGCGCCGUUGCCGGGGAGGCAUAGCUCUAUUCUCUGAGUCACUUGGGAUUUACGCCUGUUGAUCACUAUGAGGAAUCCGAGAGAUCCAAAAACUAAAGUCUUGCCCUCAAUUACGAGGACAGGUAAGGAACUGCCAUCUAGCUCUCCGCUUGAUUCACCUUCAGUUAUGAGUAAGUUUGCGACACCACCACCUACUAGAAAUUCGGAUGUGUCGCCUAUGCUUGAUGAUGCUACUUCUGCUAUCCAUGAUGCUUAUGAUGAUGCUUUUCUUGAUACUGCUUUGCCACUUGGUGCAUUCCAUGAUGCACAAAUUGCUAGAGUUGCUACUGAAUGUGAUGAUACUUCUGAAACUGCUGAAAUUAUUGAAGUAGAACCUGUUGUUUCACCUGUUAGAACUAGCUCUCCUAGAUAUGAAUUGCCUGAUAUACCUGAGGGUUAUGUUAUGGAGGGAGAGGUAGCUGAGGACUUUCUUGCUUGUAAGGAUAGCUAUGAUCUUGAGAAUUUAUUGCUCAAGUGGAAAGAAAAAUCUCUCAAUGCUAGAAUGAAAUACGAUCCUAAGUUUGCUACUUCACCCAUCUUUGUUACCGAUAAGGAUUAUGAAUUUUGUGUUGAUCCUGAGUUGAUCACUUUGGUUGAAUCUGAUCCUUUCACGAGUGAGGAAAAGAUACGCCAUUAGUAUAUCCUUAAGUUGUUUUCUUUCUCGCUAAAGGGUGAUGCUAAGACUUGGUUUACUUCUUUUGCUCCUGGUUGUGUGCGUAGUCCCCAGGAUAUGAUUUACUACUUCUGUGAGAAAUAUUUUCCUGCCCAUAAGAAACAAGCUGCCUUGCAGGAUAUAUAUAACUUUGUGCAAAUUGAAGAAGAGAGUCUCCCACAAGCUUGGGGGAGGCUUGUCCAGUUACUGAAUGCUUUGCCUGAUCACCCUCUUGAGAAAAAUGAAAUACUUGAUAUCUUUUACAAUGGACUAACCGAUGCUUCUAGGGACCACCUAGAUAGUUGUGUUGGUUGUGUUUUCAGGGAAAGAACUGUGGAACAAGCUGAAAUUCUAUUGAAUAAUAUCUUGAGCAAUGAUAAUGCUUGGACUAUUCCCGAGCCACCUCCGAAGCCAACUCCGAAGAAAAGAAGUAUUCUAUUCCUCAUUCCUGAAGAUAUGCAAGAAGCCAAGAAAUCUAUGCAAGAGAAAGGUAUUAAAUCUGAAGAUGUUAAGAAUCUACCACCUGUCGAAGAAAUACAUGGUCUUGAUAACCCGACACAGGUAGUAGAGGUGAAUUCUCUUCGUAGAUUCAAUGAGAGUGACAUUCCUUAUGAUAAACCUGCUAGCUUAUGCUUAGAUGAAUUUGAUAACUUUGUUGCCAAACAACAAAGUUUCAAUGAUUAUGUUAGCAAACAAUUGGAACAAAAUGCUCGCAUGAUUAAUCACAUAAGUGUUUGUGUGGAUAGAAAUGUCAAUGAUCUUAAGCUUUUGAGUAAACAUGCCUCUAUGGUCACUACUCAAGUAGAACAAGUACUUAAGGCUCAAAAUGACUUGCUCAAUGAGUUGAAUGACAAUUCUGUUAGAGUCGUCACUAGAGGUGGUAGAAUGACUCAGGAACCUUUGUAUCCCGAGGGCCAUCCUAAGAGAAUUGAACAAGAUUCUCAAGGAGUUAGCACUGAGGCACCUAGUCAUCCUAGUAAUAGGAAGAAAAAGAAAGAUGAUAGGAACUUGCAUGCUAGCAAACCUGCUGCUCAUACACCUGAGAAUCCAAAUGAUAUCUCUAUUUCUGAUGCCGAAACACAAUCUGGUGAUGAACAUGAGCCUAGUGAUAAUAUCGAUAGUGUUGUUCAUGAUUAUGCUCAACCUAGUAAUGAUAGGGAUGUGGAGAUUGAACCUGCUGUUGAUCUUGAUAACCCACAACCUAAGAACAUGAGAUAUGAUAAGGACGACUUUAUUGCUAGGAAGCAUGGUAAAGAAAGAGAACCAUGGGUUCAGAAACCCAUGACCUUUCCUCCCAAACCAUCCAAGAAAAAGGAUGAUGAGGAUUUUGAGCGCUUUGUUGAAAUGAUUAGACCUGUCUUUCUGCAAAUGCGUUUGACACAUAUGCUCAAAAUGUCUCCUUAUGCUAAGUACAUGAAAGAUAUUGUGAGUAAUAAAAGGAAGAUACUUGAGGUUGAGAUUUCCACCAUGCUUGCUAACUACACCUUCAAGGGUGGAACUCCUAAGAAACUAGGUGAUACUGGAGUGCCCACUAUACCUUGCUCCAUUAAAGGAAAUUAUGUUAGAACUGAUUUAUACGAUCUUGGAGCUAGUGUUAGUGUUAUGCCUCUCUCUAUUUAUUGUAGACUUGAAUUGGAUAAGUUGAUACCCACUGAAAUGUCUUUGCAAAUGACCGACAAAUCAACCUCUUUUCCUAUCGGCAUUUGCGAGGAUGUGCCUGUUGUGGUUGCUAACGUUACUAUCUUAACGGACUUUGUUAUUCUGGAUAUUCCCGAGGAUGAUGCCAUGGCAGUCAUCCUUGGAAGACCCUUUUUAAACACUGCAGGGGCUAUUAUUGAUUGCAACAAAGGCAAUGUCACUUUCCAUGUUAAUGGUAAUGAGCAUACGGUGCACUUUUCAAAGAAACAAUAUCAAGUACAUUGCAUCAAUGCUAUUGAAAAAACUACAUCGAUUCUUAUUGGGAGCUUUGAAUGCCCUAUACCUACUGUCAAGAUGAAGUAUGAUUUACUUGUUGGGAUAUGCACAUCCCCUUUGAGGUAACCUAGUGAUUAUUCGAAAAUUCUCCGGUUUUAUGCGAUCCGAAAAAAGUUUGUCAAGGAGACUUGAUCAACCUCAUUGACGGAUUUCUUUUGAUGACCAUGAGAUGGAUGAAUCUAGGAGUCACAACCUUCUGUUCCAAACUUUUACUUUCUGUUGUUUAGAAGAAAAAUGAUAAAUUUAGCUUUAUUUUCUUGUUUUCUGCUUUUUGCGUCCCUUAGAAAAAUGUCCCGAAAAUAAAAGUUCUUCGAAUGCCCUGAAAUUCAAGUACGAUUUUUUCUGGAAUUUUUGAAAAAUUCUGAGAUAGAGAGCUAGUCAGGGGGAUGCACUAGUGGGCCACAAGCCCAGGAGGCGCGAGCACCCCCCCGGUCGCACCUGGCAGGCUUAUUGGCCCCACAUGGCCCCCCUCCACUUAUUCCAGCUCCCAUCUCCUUCUUCUACCUCCAGAAAAAAUCAUUCCACAGCUCAAACCCGUGUUCUUGCUCUUCUUGCUGCAUUUUUCGAUCUCCUUGUGCAAAGCCCCAUUCACCAAACUGUUUUGGGGGAAUUGUUCCUUGGUAUGUGACUCCUCCAUUGGUACAAUUAGUUUUUGCUCUAGUGCUUUAUUCGUUGCGUAUUUUUGUUGCCUUGGUGACCCUGUUCUUGAGUUUUGCAUGUCAACUUUAGUUGGUCCCAAGUAGUUUUGAUGCAUGAUAUGGCCUCUAGGCACUUGUAGGAGUAGUUGAUAUGAGUUUUGUUGAGCCUUGUUCACUGUUCUUUUAAGUCACUAAAAAUUUCAGAGAAAGAAAAAGGAAAAGAUGAGGAGGUUCCUAAGAGGCUCUUCAAGCCGUGACCCCAAGGAAGAUGAAAAUGAGAAGAAGAAACCCAAGUAUCCGGUCCCCCGAGUUGCAGAAGUUCGAGCUUGCGAGUGGCCAAGCGAUGUGUUCUUACGUGCCGCCGGUCUUUAUGAGGAUUUUUAUUACUUGGUGGAGAACGCAAGCCUUACCGCAUUUGUUGAAGAUAAGUGUCCACAAUACCUCCUCCUCAAUAAUAUUUUUGUGCAAAGCUUUAAUUUCUAUCCAAGGAAGAAUCCUCCUAUGGUUGAGUUCAAGUUAUAUGAUAUCCCCCAGAGCAUGUCACUUCAGGAUUUUUGCAAUGUUUGCAAAUUGCCUUAUGUUGGGGAUAUUCAUGAACCUCGUCCACGGGACUUGGUGGCUUUCAUUGAUACUAUUGCUGUAGGAGAGGAGAGAGGAGUGUCUUGCGCUAGAGUUGCUAGUGUACAUUUUCCCCUGCUUCGGUAUCUCUCAUUAUUUGUGGGAAAAUGUUUGAUUGGCCAUGGGAAAGCUGGGGCUCUUAGCUCCCCAGAUCUUGCGGUUUUGCACGAAGCUCUUUAUAAUGAUAAAACUUAUAGCUUGGGCGCUAUAGUGGCUCAACGGUUGAACACGAACCAUACUAAAGGCGUUGUUUAUGGAGGUAUCUAUGCUACCCGUCUUGCUAAACAUUUUGAGAUACCUAUUAGACUGUACGAGGAAGAAGAGAUGCUUCUUCCUGAGAGAUAUCUAGAUUAUGAUAGCAUGGUUCGCCAUGACUUUCUUGAUAAAGAUUUAAAUAAGAGGAUGAUUUAUAACUUGGUAUUUAGUCAGGGUACUCGUGAGACUAUUACUUUGCCUGCUCAUUCUUUGUUCAAUCUUCAUCUAGGCAGGUACAUUAUUAUGCCCUCGGAUAUCUACGCAUAUUGGGGCAUAGCGCCACCGCAGGCGCCCGUGCCCGAGCUACCAGUCGAGUACCAGACGCCAGUUUAUCAGUGGGAGCCAGAGGAGCUCACCCAGCAGUGGCACCCUCAGUACACUCCGGAGCACCCUGGAGACGAUUACUUCCCUCCUUGGGAGUAGACCAACUUAGGCCAAAAGCCUAAGCUUGGGGGAGUACGUGUUUCUCACCGACUUUAUAUUCAUGCUCACACAUUCACUUUGAUAGUCGGUGUUCACACCUUGCCACUGUAUCAUCCAUGAUAGUUUACUUCUUUUUCUCGCUUUCUUCUCGUGUGUUUGUUUAGAUUGAGAAAAACAAAAAAAUUAGUUUUAAGUUUACUUUCCAGCUUGCUUAGUGGUGUUUAAAAAGAAAACCCCAAAAGAUUUCCCGUUCUUCUUUUGCUUGUUGGGAGCUUUCCCGUGUAAAUAGUUUUCUUUUUCUUUGGGUCAAGGUAGAAGACCAUGAUUAAAAUGUUUAGUGGCUCUCAUGUGCAUAUCUGUUUAUCCGUCAGAGAGCCAUAUUACUUUGUCUUCUCCUCUGAGUUGGCUUGCAGAUUCCAGCUUAGUCCAAUGCACGAACACUCUCAUUACGAUUCACACCAUUCGGUUGUGCAAGUGAUAGGCAAUAAUGACGAUAUAUGAUGAAGUGACUGAGCCUGGAAAAGCUGGUAUGAACUCGACCUAUUUUGUUUUUGUAAAUAUGACUAGCUCAUCGUUCCUAAUUUAGCUUUGUUAUGAGAGAAACAUGUUUGCAAUGACAACUUAGAGAUCAUAGUUUCUGAUGUCAUGCUUAAUUAGCUAAGAGCUUAUAAUGGUUUGUCUUGGAUGCCAACAUGAAUUUCAAGAUGAUUAUGAUGUAGUAUGAUAGGAUGGUAUCCUCCUUUGAAUGAUUCAAGUGGCUUGACUUGGCACAUGUUUGUGCAUGUAGUUGAAACAAAAUCAACAUAGCCUAUAUGAUAUUCAUGUUUAUGGUGAUUUAUGUCCUACUCAUGCUUGCACUCAAUGUUGGUUAAUUUCAAUGCAUAUUGAUGACUGUUGUCGCUCUCUAGUUGGUCGCUUCCUAGUCUUUUGCUAGCCUUCACUUGUACUAAGCGGGAAUACUGCUUGUGCAUCCACUUCCAUCAACCCAAAGUUGUUCCAUAUGAGUCCACCAUACCUACCUAUAUGCGGUAUUACCUGUCGUUCCAAGUAAAUUUGCAUGUGGCACUCUCUAAACCUUCAAGUAAUAAUCUGUUUUGCAUGCCCGAACCGCCAAUGUGGUGACAAGGGGUGAUCUGUAUCUUCCAUUCUAGGCGUGUUAUCCUCGAUACGUGUUUAUUCACUAUCACUCACGAGAAAGGGGCCGGUAAUUGGAAUGCCCAGUUCCAUGCUCAAAUCGAAAAGAUAAUUGCAAACAAAACUCCCCCUGGUUUGUUGUUGGUAUGGACGGCACCCGAGGAUUCGGCUAGUCGUGGAGUGUGAUUGAUCGGUGGUGGGGGAGUCAAAACUUUACUUUUUUGUUUGGGAACCGCCUAUAGUAUGUGUAGCAUGGAAGAAGGUGAAAACUCUUGGUCAUUGCGUUGACAAUGAAAGCAUGCCACCCAAAAUUAUUUAUCACUGUUUUAAAAGCUUGAGUUCUGGCACCUCUGCAAAUCAAUGCUUCCCUCUACGAAGGGCCUAUCUAUUUACAUUUCUGUUGAGUCAUCUUCUUCUUAUUAAAAGGCACCAAUUAGAGAGCACCUCUGUCAUUUUUAUGCUUUGCUAUUAAUUGAUAUUGGGUAUGACUGUGAUUGGAUCUUCUUUGCAUUGAAUUACAAUGUUCAGUCAGCCCUUGGUCUUUGAAGGUGCUCUGCAUUUAUGUUUUGCGGUCUCAGAAAGAGCUAGCGAGAUAGCACCUGCUCAUAUUGCUUCAUGAUUGCUUUUAUUGAAUUAUUGACGUUUGAAACUUACUAUUAUUGCUCGCUAGUUGAUUAUGCCAUUGAUAUGAGUUUACCAUGAGACCUAAAUGUCAUUCCCUAUGUGGUUAUCUUAUGAUCUUGCUGAAAAUUCGAAUAUGAGUUAGAUAUAAUUACAACAACAAGAUCAAACAGAGUUCGUAAAAGUUUUUCUUUUGUCUCUUUCAGUUUGUCAACUGAAUUGCUCGAGGACAAGCAAGGCUUUAAGCUUGGGGGAGUUGAUACGUCUCCAUCGUAUCUACUUUUCCAAACUCUUUUGCCCUUGUUUUGGACUCUAAUUUGCAUGAUUUGAAUGGAACUAACCCGGAUUGACGUUGUUUUCAGCAGAAUUGCCAUGCUGUUGUUUUUGCGCAGAAAUAAAAGUUCUCAGAAUGACGUGGAAAUUUACGAGGGUUUUUUGUGGAAUAUAUAAAAAAUACUGGCGCAAGAAUUACCUGGAGGGACGGAGCCAGGAUCCCACAAGCCCAGGAGGCGCGGCCCCCCUGGCCGCGCCUGGCAGGCUUGUGAGGCCCUCCUGGCUCCGCCGCCUCCAACUCCAGCUCUAUAUAGUCUCUCUCGCCCAGAAAAAAUUAAGAGAGAAGAGUUCAUUGCGUUUCACGACACGGAGGUGCCGCCACCACCUGUUCUUCCUCUAAAGGGAAGAUCUAGAGUCCGUUCUAGACUCCGGAGAGGGGAAAUCGACGCCGUCGUCAUCACCAACCAUCCUUCAUCGCCAAUUCCAUGAUUCUCUUCAUCGUUCGUGAGUAAUCUCAUCGUAGGCUUGCUGGACGGUGAUAGGUUGGAUGAGAUCUAUCAUGUAAUCGAGUUAGUUUUGAUGGGGUUUGAUCCCUAGUAUCCACUAUGUUCUGAGAUCGAUGUUGCUACUACUUUGCUAUGCUUAAUGCUUGUCACUAGGGACCGAGUGCCAUGAUUUCAGAUCUGAACCUAUUAUGUUUUCAUCAAUAUAUGUGUGUUCUUGAUCCUAUCUUGCAAGUUGUAGUUACCUACUAUGUGUUAUGACCCGGCAACCCCGGAGUGACACUACAAGAAAUAUGUCAACUAACGACCUUCAAUAUUGGUCACCGAAUGGUCAUUGAUUUCCAUUUGUGACCUUUUUACGACCAAAAACAGACGGUCAAAAGCUGAGGGUCUCUAAUGAACUAUAACGACCUUUUCCUGGAUUGGUCGUAGGAUUUUACGACCAAACAGAAGGUCGUAGGUUUAACAACCAACUUAUAUGGUCACUAGCAAUCUGCCCACACCACGUCAGAUCCACCGUGGCAGGCUGACGUGGCAGAAUUACGACCAAAUGAAAAGGUCGUAAAUUAGAUUCAGCCCGGUCCAUUCCGGUCGUCUACAUGGGCCAGACCCAAUAAUUUGGCAUUUUAUUUUCUGGGAUAGAAUCUUUUACUAAGCAGGUUUUUUGUUAGUCCACUUUUCUUUUGGGCCUUGGCCUACUCUUUUUAGUCCAGUUCUUGUUUGGGCCUUGGCCUACUCUUUUUUAUGCCCAAGCCUUUUUAGACAAAUUCUAAUUUGGGCCUUGGACUACUCUUUUUUUAGGCCCAAGCCUUUUUAGUCCAUUUCUUGUUUGGGCCUCAGCCUUUUUGCAGUCCACACUAACUUUAGUGCCCAAACAAAAUGGUCCAAACAAAACUCAAAUAAUUGACAACUUCAUCAGGUUCACAAAAUACUUCAUCAGGUUCAAAUAGAGCAAGACACUGUUUCACAAAAUACUUCAUCAGGUUCAAAUAGAGCAAGACAGGUUCAAAAUACUUCACAGGUUCAAAUAGAGCACUUCAUUGUUUCAUCACCAGAAGGACCAAUCAAGUGGGCUAACUUCAUCAGGAUCUUGAGAAGUUAGCCCACUUCACUGUUUCUAGGACAGGUUCUACGACAGGUUCAACUUCUACGAUGCUUUAGCGCCGAAGAGAGCCAUCAAGUGGGCUAACUUCUCUUCCUGUUCUUGAGACUUCUUGCGCAACAUCUCAAAGUUCCUUGGCGCGUGUAGCUUCAUAUUCUUCCGCCUUUAGCUUGAUUCUUGUCAUUUCUUCUUGCAUCACUUCAGCUUGAAGCUCCGACCUCUCCAGCUUCUGCUCAAGAUCACGAACAUGAGCAACCACAACAACAGUUCCUUUGCGAGAGUUGCUACUAGAUGACUUGAGCCAAACAUUCCUGAGGAAUGUGCUUUGCUUGACUUCGGUCUUGAGCACUUCUUCAACAAUCUCAGCAUCAUACUUUGGUUCUUCACCUUCUAGUACCGGCGCGUCCUUCAUUUUUUCCAUCUCAAGCUAGCAUAUGGAGGAAAAUGAUAGACAUUAGUGGCAGAUCUAUUUCACAUUCUGCAAGAGAAACCAAACAAGAAUGCCACCAAACCAGACCAAGAAAUGGAUUAUUUGAAGUAAUCAAACCAACACACAAAAUCUAUAUGUAGAUAUUUUACUCAAACUGAAACAGAAGUAGAUGAUAACUACUAAACUUAAAGCAUUAUUUGAAUCUAGCUACAGCAAGUGUACACACUUAUGUGAUCUAGAGACAUGCAAUCGGAACAAUAUGGUGGUUCUAUAUAAUAUGGCUUCUUUGUUGAGAACUAAUAUUCAGAUCAAUUUUCAUCAUAUCAUAAAAAUGCAACAAAUAGCUACAGCAAAUUCUGAUAUCUUUGUUGAGAACUGUACAAGAAAUUCUGAUAUCUUUGUUGAGAUACCAAACCUAUCAUAGGCUCUAGCAAACAACAUCAAAUCUAGGGUGUGUUCUUGCUCGCUGUGAAUCAAACAGGGCUGAGGUCUAUAGACAAAAGUUUGAACUAGCUAGACAAAAGCAUGGAGUGACUUACUAUAGCAAUCUUGACUGGCUCCGAAAACCCGUGCUUCUUACUGUUGUGGGUGGCCUUGAACAAGUCAAUCGCAGACAGCUCCUCACCCUUACGCUCUUCUUUUUGAAAUGUUUUUUUAACAAAAAUCAAAAUGUUAUUCAGCAAGAAUAAGAAAUGAUAUUCAACGAGGAUCAAACGGUAAGGUCUUUAGAAAAAGGUACUCACAGUGGCAAAAAUGUGUGCUGUGUAGUGCCUGGAACCAGUGCUCUGUUGGUACACGACCUUUUCUCGAUUAAUCUUGUUCGACACAUAGGUUUCCUACAAAAAAACAUAAUGUUAUUUGCCAAGUUGAAAGAAAGUGGAAUAGGCAGUAGUAUAGUAGGAUAAUACGAGUCUGAGCAUAUUUGAUUUGGAAAUAUUUCAGUUAUCCUGCACUAGCACAAGUACAUGAACAACUAGUACUAUCUAAGAGUCAGCGUAUUACAUAUGGUGUUGAUUUUGAAAGUUGAUGCUCUCUAUUGUUCCUACUCUGAUCAGAAACAUGGAAGAUGAAGAAGGGGACCACGGCCCAUUCCCAUCCUGAUGUGCAGAACAUAAAUCAGCAAACAGAGCAUAUACAAACCUUGUGUCUUGGGGUAGACCACAUCUGCACCAGAGCUUGCCAUUCACCGUCCGUCAGAUCUGGCACCGGAGACUUGGUGCUCACUUUGUUUGCUGCUACGGUAUCAAAAUACUUCUUCUUGAUCUUAUGGCGUUGAUUCUUUGAACUUUUCUGCAGAACAUCUUUGCACACGUACUUGAUGGUCUCCGAGUCUGUGUUCAUCUCAAAAUUUGCCUACCAAGACAGCAAACAAGGAAGGAACAACAUUAGUGAUCAUUAACUACAAAACAGAAAAUAGAGUAGCACAUUAACUAUAAAACGAGUAGCUUACAACAACUUUCCCAAUGUAGUCCUCCACUAGAGUAGCAUUAUUUUUGUAUUCCUUGAAGUGAGGAAGAACCGGUAGAUGUCUUCUUGCAACGAGUCCACACUCAGAAGCAAACUUUGCUGACUGUAGAGGCUUCUCUGGACGCUUCAUCCCUUGGGCAAUUUGGAUAGGCACAUUUGUGCCAAGCGACUUGGUGAUUCUGUCUAGCCCUUUGCCCUUUCUAAGUCUACGCUUGUUAGUCAUUGCAUCUGAAAAUGAAAUUGAACUCAUAAAUUAGAAGAGAAAUUGAGAAAUGCAGGAAUGGUUCUGCUAAACAGGUAAGCAUACAUGAUCACUUCCAUUUGCAAAAUGCACUAGUAAAAUAGAAGGUGAACUUGCCUGGUUGAAGCACAAGCUGAUGUUCUUCUUCACUGACGACAUCAUUCCUAUCAAUAGAAGGUGCACCACGCCUGAGGCGUAGGCAGACAGUGCCGUUUUCAUCCAUGCAGAGAGUGGUUUCUUCAUCCAUGGGCGGAAACUCAUCACGCAUUUCCACCGAGCUCUCAAAGUCCAUGCCCAGCAGACUUUCGUGAUGGUCCAUCGCAGCCGCCAUAGUUGUUUUCUGCCUUGUGACUCUAUCAGGUUCACCAGGUUCCACGAUCCUCUUUGUUUGUCCUGGAGGUGGGGCCAUCACCCUUCCUGGAGGCAUUGCAGCAGAUGCUUAUGAGCUCUUCUUCUUCUUGCUGGUUGUCUUCUUAACACCAGGCCUCUUCAUUCUAGAUUCCUUCAGUGCCUUGUAUAAAUAGCACAGAAAAAACAUUAGAUCACAAGAGAAAUAGGUGAGCACAAGGAAACAGAGAGCAUACAAGAACUCGAACCCUCCAAGCAAGACAGAGUUUGCACCUUACCAGUCUUGUGCACUACAACUUCAUCCUCCUUAGGAUUGUACUCUGAGUCAUCAUUGAUAACUCCACUACCUUCUUGAACCUCAUUAGUUCUACCUUCUUGCACAUCAUUUGUUUUCCUAAUCAUUGACGCUAUUGCACCAAUGCUAAGGGACUGGAAUAUACGAUUGUUCCUCAUCAUAUUUCUAGCCCUAACCUUCUCGUACUCGGUGAGAGGAUGCUCAUCUUUGCAAGGAAAAGGAAACAUAAUUAUUAGGUUAAUUGUUGGAAUGCAUGGACAGACAACCAAACAUAUCUUAUGAUAUUUUAUUAUCAUUUAAUCCUACUUAUUCAGCUAAGGAAGAGUAACAGCACACAGGCACAGCUAAGCCAACUAAUUUAGAUUAUAGCAAUACAUUUGCAUAAUAAAAUCUGACAGUAUUUUACAUCACAAGCCUCCAAGAUAUUGUACUUAGCAUAUUACAUUUCACUUAGCAUAUUAAGACACAUUUUAUAAAUCUAACAGUAUAACCACAAGGAGCAACUUGCAUACCAAUGGUUGGCCUCGGGUUUGACCUUGUCAUCCUUGCCAUGGAUGAUAUUGAGGUGGUGCUUGCAAAAUAGAAUAAACAAAAAUCAGAUACAACAGGGAUAAAGUAAAAUGAUGCACUUAUAUCAAUAAAGGAAAGCAUUUAGACGAGCAUGCACAUACAUGUCAUACAUGUGAAGCAAACUUGUUGGAUCAACAAUACAGUGAUGUAGUUAAUGCAUCAGUACUAAUACAUGUAAAACACUUGGACCAUCAUGCACAUACACGUGUAGCAAUGCACAUACAGUUAAUGUGUAACAUCCCAAAAUUAUAAAUUUUGGAAUGUUAAUACAAUUAUUAGAUUGAUUGUUUGUUUGUUUGAGUGAUUGAAACUUCUCAAAAAAAAUGAGAGGGAAUAAAAUGACUUUCCCAAUUUUUUUUAAAUUUUUUAAUCCCUUUUCAAUUUUGAGUUUGAAUAUUUUCAAAACCCUUUGAUUAAAAAAAAUCAAACGAGAGGAGGAAAAUGACCCUCCAAAAAUUAGAGACUAUGUCUUGAUUCAAAUUUUAAGUAUUUGCAAUUUAUUUGAAAUUCAAAUUCCUUUUCAUUUUAAAGUUAUUGCAAAAAAAUAUAUUUUUUAAAAUAAAAGUAUUUUUUUGGUUUUGAAAAUAUGUUCAUGUUUUAGAAAAUCUUAUUCUCAAAAUUUUGAUAUAUAAUAUGUCUAUAUAAAAUGUUCUCUCUUUUUCAUUUAUACGUUUUUCUUCUUUGUUUUUAAAAAAAAAAAUUGUUCGUUCGCAAAAAAAAAAGAAAAAAAGCGCGCCGAGGCCAACCAGCCCAACCAUGUGCAUGUGCUGUGCGGUGGCUGAAUUGCUUUGGCCCAUGCGGCACUUCCAUUUCCCUCCUUUUUUCUAGUUUGCCUACAUUACGUAUAUGUUUAGUCCCACAUUGUUUAUCUAUGGACCUUUACACCUCCCUUUCACCUAUAAAUAUCGACCCAUAGGAGCAUCCAAAAAUCAUCUAUUUCGGGUUAAAUCAAUCUUUUGGUUUAACUAGAUUUAUUAAAUAAAAAUAUUCUUUUCUCUUCGGCAGGAUUUCUCGAAGUCGUCUCCUCAUUGGAAUUAAUUCUUACUCUGCAUUCUAAAGGUAUUUUUCUUCGUAUUUUUUUUACUCCCGUAGUCUAUUAUUUCUAGACUAGUAUUCCUACACUAGUAUACGAUAGAGUAAUUAGAUAUAUUAUUUAGUCUUCGUAUUUAAACAUUAGUAUUAGAAUUCUUUUAGACAUAGCACUUUUCUUCCGUAAAACAGCUUGGCCCUGAUUUUUCAAAUAGCCAUAACUUUUUACUCGUAUAUCCGAAUUAGAUGAAACCAACGCCUAGAGUUUCGUCUUGAUCCCACCUAUCCUGUGAACCUAUCAUAUCAACUUUUUGAAAUUUUCAAAUUUCGAAAUUUGUUCAUAUUCAUAUUCAAACUUCUUUUGAUCACAUCUUUUUAUCCGUAGCUCCGUUUUAGAUGAAUCCAAUUGCGUCGGAUUCGUAUCAAAGUAAUCUUCCCGUUUGUAUCAUUAGUUUUAACUUUUCAACUUAUAAUUUUGAUAAAAUCAGAUUUAUCUAUUAGUGCCCAAAAGUGUUCACAUCGUUCUAAGCCGAUUCAAUGUUAUAUUGAAGUAUUUGUAUCUUUUGAUCCGCUAUUUCAAAUCUAGUAAUUCUUUUUUCUACACGCUCAUAUUGAUCUCCUAUAUCCGGUAGCAUCAUUAGUUUCAACCUUUGAACCUUACAAAUUUGAGCGAUUCAAAUUUGUAUUUGAACAUUCAUUUGAUCUUAUCUUGCAAAUCGUACCACCUUUUAAAUUGAUUCCUUUUACCCCUAAACACUCAUGUCAUAUAUUUUUGUACGUAACCAUCGUACUUCAGUUCAACUUCUCUUGACCUUUUGAAUGCAAAUUCAAUUCAUACUUCAAUUCACUAUAACUUGUGUUGUAGUUGUAGUGCUCCAUUUCAAGAAAUUCUUUCUACAAAUAAAUUCUUAUGUCUUAUACUAUUUUUCAAACAACAUUCAUGUUGUUCUCCCAAUAUUUUUGAUCAUCUCCCAUAGUGUAUGCAAGUCGAGCUUAUAUAGCGAUAGUUGAUCAUCCUUUGACUCUUUUGAGUUGACCCCUUUCACCGUUCCUUUUACAACACCAUAAGGCCCUAUCUUUUUUAUUAAACCUUAGUACGUUGUUAUUUUGUACCAAGACAUGCUUUGUUCUUAUGUUCUCUUGGUUCUUCCUUUUUGGCAUGAAUGUUUAUUGAAUGCUAUUUGUUUACGAUAGAUUGCUCGGAGUGUGGCGAGUAGAAUUAUCAGGAUUAUGAGAGCGACUAUCUUCAUCAAGUAAUACCAGGCAAGUCACUUUGAUCAUACUAUCACCUAUGUUUUAUGCAUCGUAGUUCUACCAUCCUAUGCCCAAUUGCAUGCUGCUUAGGUACUUGGAAAUUUUAGUAUAGAUUGUAGUAUCAUGUGGUAGGCACACAACAACCCCGAUACUUGGCCCCGGGACGACAAAUUUCAUAUUGCUAUGCUUGAGUAGACGGGAUUUCGGUUGAGUGCAUAACACGAGUGAUGCGAGGUUGAUCAAAUAAUCAAGACCGGUUAAGACAAGAUUUUCAAGACCUCGGACGCAAUGCAACUCUGGGUGAAGGACGAUUGAUCGGCUCCCUGGAGAACCCAGUGGAUGACCCGAGAUGCUGGGGACGGCCAUGACAUCCUGCGGAAAGCUUCACCCAGGCUCAAAGAGACGGAUGGAUAUUUUCAAGACCCAAGGCUUACCUGCACAGCCACAAGUCAUUAUGGGCUCUGACUUGGUUGGACAACGCGGCGACUCUGGACAGGCGGUGCUAGCAGAUGUAGAAGAACGGUAGGAAUGGAUGGGCACCGACAGGGAUUCAGAGGGACCCGUUGAAAGACCAUGUUUUGAUCAUCCGGUCUUCAAACACCCUGAAGUGCGAGGACAUACUCGGAGGCGAUCAAAUCUUGUGGGGAACGUGUGCAAAACUCUGCAGAGUACUCAAACCUAAUCGAUUAGCCGUGUCCACGGUCAUGGACAACUUGAGCCAAAGGAACUGAAGUUAUCUGGAUUUCUCAACACCAUUACAUAUAUUUGAUGAGGGUAAUUAUUGACAACUCGGGUAUGAGAACUGGUUGGCGGAACCAUCUCGUUAACAACCAACAAUGUAGUAACAUUUUGCUUUUAGCCCUCUCUUGUCGUAGGAGAAAAAUUUGCUUUACGCUAAAAGAAACUUACAACCCCACCUGCCAUAUAUGCAUAUAGUACAGAUGAUUACUUUUCACCCCUCUCUUAUGUGACUUGCCGACAUAUUCAAUAUGCUGACCUACACGGCUGCAACGUCUUAUGUUGCAGAUAUUUUUCUUCGACGAGUAAGAGUACGAUUCAGGGUUACGGUGUACACUCAACUUGCUGUUGGUGUUUAUUGGGACUCCACUCCCUUGACUGCUUCCGCUGAAAUAAUUAAGGUAUAUAUCAGUUUUACGCUAUUUACAUGUGAUUGCACUUUGAUAUAUACAUUGAUGUACUGUGUGUGCCAGCAUACUGAUCCAGGGAUGGCACAGAAACACAGAGGCUUGACUCGUCUUGAGUCGGGUCGCUACAGAAAUGGUAUCAAAGCACAUGUUGACUGCAGGACGUGACCCUAGAAACUAGAAACUUCUUAGGAUGGGAUCUCUCAAAAAAAUCUUAUUUUCAAGAACACAUUUUACUUCUCAUCUCUUCUGAUUUCAUCAAACAUUCUCUCUCACCUCCAAUAGUUAGACAAUACCCUUACCCCUUUGACCUCAUGGAGAAUCAACGGAGUUCUACUUCAAAGUAAAGAGGAUUUCACCAUGCAUUUGAAGAAUUGAAGCUACACCUAUUGAAGACCCUAAAGCGUUCGAAUAAUUAUAUGACCAUUAGAAGUCCAAACCCCAAUUAUAUACCCACGUUAGUUACGAUGAUUUGUGAGCCGUCAUUGGUGUGUGUUUUUCGAGGACACAACUAAAACCUAUUCUCAAAAAUAUUGUUUGUAUUGUGUGUAUCUUCCUCCCUCUCUUACCCGUCUCAUCCCCAAAAUGUUGGACCCAAUAGAUGGCGUAUGAAGCUGGACUUGUAAUCUCUGGACCAAUGACCCAGCUGGAAGUUGAAAUAUGGAUUCAGAACAUGGAGAACUACUUCGAGAGCAAUUUGACUUCCAGGAAGUAUGAAGUUGCACACGCUCUUCAGUACUUUACCCAAAGUGCUGCUAUCUGGUGGAAAAUGCAUCAUGCCAUACAAGGAUUUAGUGGAGGAGAAACUUGGGACAAAUUCAAGAAGACUCUGUUAAGAUCCCGUCUUAUCCAAAAGUGAUAUGAUAGCCCGAUGAAGAAGCCUUGUGCAUGCAAGAUCUGUGGAGAAAUAGGACACACCCAGGAAGAAAACCAGGAUGGAUGCCCUCAUUGUGAAUAAAAUCACCCAGCGGAGGAUUGCCCAAGUAGUCAGGUGACUUGUUUCUUGUGUGAAGGAACCACCCACCACCCAGCGGCGUGUCACAUUUACCCCAAGUAUGCUUGAAACCCACAGAACCCGGGACAAACAAGGACCAAGUACUAUCUUUUUGGAGAAGGAAACUUGUAUCAGCAAACGUUUUCUUAGGAGCAUACGACAACUUGAGAGUGGUGAAGAAACGAUAGAUGUUUUGUUCAGCUUGCAGAACCAAUGGUUUAUCCGAACUUCGUUCGUGGACAAGAGAAACUCUGCAACGCUUGUGAGGAUGUCCAAGUGUUAGAAUUCGAGAUUCACUAAGCCUUAUACAAGGUAAUGAUUUCAGUGCGACAUGGCUUGGCCACCAUGACGACUUACUAUUGUCAUUCUCUUGCUAUUCGCUUGACUCGUCUUGAGUCGGGUCGCUACAUAAUGCAUCAGUACUAAACUGACAGUUGAAGCAAGCAACUAAAUUGAAGCACUUGGACCAGCAUGCACAUACAAGUGUAGCAAUGCAUCAGUAUUGAUACAUGUGAAACCGGAGGUAGUAAUGUACUAAACUGAUAGUUGAAGAAAACUAUAUAUGUGAAGCAAUCCAUUAACUAUUCACAACAAUUACUUUUAUGUUUUAACUUGCAAUUUUAUCCAUGUACCUGCAAUCAUCUAUAAGCAAAGUAAUUACUCAACCAUAUUCCCUAAUGGAGGCAAACAUAUGCAUUCAUAACAACUGGUUGCCCAACAUUUGGUGAAUGAAGAAGCAAGCAGUGUGCAAGCAAGCAAGAAAAGUGCAUAAGUUCUACUAAUACAAGCAAGCAAGCAAGAGAAGUGCUACUAAUAGAAAUAAGCAUAGUGCUACUUAUAGAAACAAGCAAGCAAGGAAGAAAAUUGAAGAGGAGCUAGCAAGCAAGUACUGUUGAUACAAACCCUAGUAGCUUCUUCUCCAAGUGCUACUGAUACAAGCAAGUAUUGCUGAUGGAAACUCUAAUUAACCAUGUAUGCUAGCAAGCAAGCAAGCCAUAGUAGUCAAGCAACAUGAACAUGAACCCUAACCACAUGAAGCAGACUACCAGAGGGGGAUAGAACGAACCACCAAGAAUAAAUCCCAUGAACAUGAACAAGAACCUCCAGGAGCUCCUAGAUUGACUGAAUCCUAACCCUAGAUCGAUCAGGUGGGGGAUGUACCCUCAUUUGUUACCCAUUACAAAUGCAGGACCCCAUGAACCCCAUGAACCCUAACCCCACGAACCCCAUGAAACCUUAACCCCAUGAAACCCAUGCAUAAAGUACACAAGCAAGCAAGCAAAGUGCUAGUAGUACUGCUAAUGCAAUUCCUAACCUUAUGUAUGCUGGCAAGCAACUGAAUUGAAGAUUAGUAGCAAGCAAGCAAUGCACAUACAAGUGUAGUAAUGCAUGAGUAUUAAUACAUGUGAAACAGGAGGUAGUAAUGUACUAAUCUGAUAGUUGAAGAAAACUAUAUAUGUGAAGCAAUGCAUUAACUAUUUACAACAAUUACUUUUAUGUUUUAACUUGCAAUUUUAUCCAUGUACCUGCAAUCAUCUAUAAGCAAAGUAAUUACUCAACUGUAUUCCCUAGUGGAGACAAACAUAUGCAUUCAUAGCUACUGGUUGCCCAACAUCAUUUACUUAAAGCACUACUCCAGUAAGACACACUAACAAGAAAUGCACAUACAAGUGUAGCAAAGCACAACAGAAUUAAUCGCAUGCUUCAGCAAGAUAAAUGUUCUUCCCAUCAUCAAAACAUCAUACAUAAUAUAUUAUGCCAUGUUAUUUCAAAUGAACAACAAAUUAUGUUCAGAAAAAAUUAAAACAAGCCACCUAUAUCCAGACUCAUCACUACUACUCAAGUCAAGCCAAGCCAAGCCAAGCGAAACACCAGCAGAAGCUCAAGCUGAGUGUUUCCAAAGAAAAACACAAGCUCAAGCUCUUAGUAGUAUUAACUUUGAAGACACCAUAACAGUUGUAAUAAAUAGAUGGGUAUCUGGCCUUGCAGGGAAAUACCAUCACCAGCAGAAGAAGCAUAUGUUGACAUGCAACUAUUCCUGACUUCAUGCCUCCACGGCAACGGAGCGAGAAAAGAGCUGCUUCUAGUUGCUCAACAAUUAGCAAUUGUCUUGCAAUAGCCCACCAGCGUGUGGGAUCGCGGCAGUUUUCGAGGGUAGAGUAUUCAACCCAAAUUUGUUGGUUCGCAUGACGGGAAGCGAAAGAAUAUCCUCAAGUAUUAGCAGCUGAAUGUGUCAGAUUCAACCACAACUGAAAGAUUAGUGUCUGCAAGCAAGGUAUAAGCAGCAAAAGUAGUAUGCUAACAACGACGCCAGAAACGAUGUGUUGACGGCAGACUAUUCCUAACUGUUGUAUCAAUGGCGCCAGUAAGUUGCCCAUGGACGGGAAAUAUUCUUUCCCGGCAACAGUGCCAGAAAAAGUAUUGUAGCAGAUAGCAGCAGUGUAACGAGUAACAGCAGUGGCAAGGAACAGCAGUAGUGACAGCAGUGGCAACAACAGCAGGACAAAGCAAGUAAUAGUAGCAGCAGCAGCAGCAGGACAAAGCAAGUAAUAGUAGCAGCAAGUAACAGUAGCAGCAACAGUAGUAAUAGCAGCAGCAGGACAAAGCAAGUAACAGUGGCAGCAAGUGACAGUAGCAACAACAGUAGUAACAACAGCAGAGCAAAACAAGUAACAUCAGCAGUGGGUCAAACUCGUAGGCAAUGGAUCGGUGAUUCAUUGGAUGACAUUCAUCAUGCAACAAUUAUAACACAGAGAGGUAUGUGGCUAGCUCCCGUUCAUCGAUGUGAUGUAGGCAUGCAUUCCGUGUGUAGUCAUACGUGCUUAGGGAAAAGAACUUGCAUGCCAUCUAUUGUCCAUCCCUCCCGUGGCAGCGGGGUCCAAAUGGAUACUACGGGAUAUUAAGGUUCUCCUUUUAAUAAAGAACCAGACAAACGCAUUAGCACUUGGUGAACACAUGAACUCCUCAAACUAUUGUCAUCAUCGGGAGUGGUUCCGGUUAUUGUCAUUCCGGUGUUGCCGGAUCAUAACACAUAGUAGGUAACUACAACUUGCAAGAACGGAUCUAAAACACACAUAUAUUGGUGACAACAUAAUAAUUUCAUAUCUGAAAUCAUGGCAAUCGGGCCCUAGUGACAAGCAUUAAGCAUGGCAAAGUAGUAGCAACAUCAAUCUCAGAACAUAGUGGAUACUAGGGAUCAAUCCCCGUCAAAACUAACUCGAUUACAUGAUAGAUCUCAUCCUACUCAUCAUCGCCCAGCGACCCUACGAAUAGAUUACUCACGAACGAUGAAGAGCUUCAUGGAAUUGGAGAGGGAAGAAGGUUGAUGAUGACGAUGGCAACGAUCUCCUUGAUCCGGAGCCCAAAACGGACUCCAGAUCUACCCUCCAGAUGAAGAACGGGAUGUGGCGGCGCCUCCGUAUCGCAAACGCGAUGAAAUCUUCUCUUUUGAUUUUUUUCGGGGCGAAAGGGAAUAUAUAGAGCUGAGUUUGGAGGCGGUAGAGUCACGUGGGGCCCACAAGCCCUGACGGCGCGGCCUGGGGGUGGCCGCGGCCAUAGGGCUUGUGGCCCACUCGCUCACCCCCUCCGGUGGAUCUUUGCGCAUGUAUUUUUCAUAUUUUCCAGAAAUAUUCUCCGUAAAUUUUCAGGAUGUUCCGAGAACUUUCAUUUCUGCACAAAAACAACACCAUGGCAAUUUUGCUGAAAACAGCGUCAGUCCGGGCUAGUUCCAUUCAAAUCAUGCAAAUUAGAGUCCAAAACAAGGGCAAAAGAGUUUGGAAAAGUAGAUACGAUGGAGACAUAUCAACUCCCCCAAGCUUAAAACCUUGCUUGUCCUCAAGCAACUUAGUUGACAAACUGAAAGAGAAAGAAAAACUUUGACAAACUCUGUUUGAUCUUGUUGUUGCAACUAUGUCUAACUCAUAACCAGAAUUUCAGCAAGAUCACAAGUUAACCACAUAAGCAAGUGACACAAAGGUCUCAUGGUAAACUAAUAUCAAUGCCAUAAUCAGCUAGCGAGCAAAUAAUAAUGAGUUUCAGAUACCAACAAUUCAAUCAAAACAAGCAUGAAGCAAUAUGAAUAGAUGGUAUCUCGCUAGCUCUUUCUGAGACCGCAAAACAUAAAUGCAGAGCACUUUCAAAGAUCAAGGGGAUGACUCAACAGGAAAAUAAACAUUAUAAUUCAUAGCAACGAAGAUCCAGUCAUAGUCAUACUCAAUAUCAAUCAAAAGCAAAGCAUAAAAAUGACAGAGGUGCUCUCCAAUUGGUGCUUAUAUAAGAAGAGGAUGACUCAACAGGAAAAUAAAUAGACAGGCCUUCGCAGAGGGAAGCAUUGAUUUGCACAGAUGCCAGAGCUCAAGCUUUGAAAACAGAGAUAAUAAUUUUGGGUGGCAUGCUUUCAUUGUCAAUGCAAUGACCAAGAGUUCUCAAUAUCUUCCAUGCUAAUCAUGCUAUAGGCGGUUCCAAAUAGAAAAGUAAAGUUUAACUCCCCACCACCAAUCAAUCACACUCUACGGCUAGCCGAAUCCUCGGGUACCGUCCAUACUAACAUCAAUCCGGGGGGAGUCUUGUUUUACAGUUAUGUUUUCAAUUUUAGCGUGGAACUGGGCAUUCCAAUUACCGGCCCCUUUCUCGUGAAUGACAGUGAAUAAACACAUGUCGAGGAUAACACGCCUAACAUGGAAGAUACCAAUAGCCCCCUGUCACCACAUGAGCGGUUCAGGCAUGCAAAACAGAUUAUUUCUUGAAGGUUUAGAGAAUGGCACAUGCAAAUUUACUUGGAACGGCAGGUAGAUACCGCAAAUAGGUAGGUAUGGUGGACUCUCGUGGAAAGACUCUUGGGUUUAUGGAAGUGGAUGCACAAGCAGCAUUCCGCUUAGUACAAGUGAAGACUAGUAAAAGACUAGGAAGCGACCAACUAGAGAGCGACAACAGUCAUCAAGAUGCAAUGAGUUUGACUAACAUUGAGUGCAAGCAUGAGCAGGAUAUAAAUCACCAUGGACACGAACAUCAUAGAGGCUAUGUUGAUUUUGUUUCAACUACAUGCAUGAACAUGCGCCAAGUCAAGCCACUUGAAUCAUUCAAAGGAGAAUACCAUCCUAUCAUACUACAUCAUAGUCAUCUCAAAUCUAUGAUGGCAUUCAAGACAAACCAUUAUAAGAUGCUAGCUAAAUAAGCAUGGCAUCAGAAACUAUGAUCUCUAAGUUGUCAUUGCAAACAUGGUUAUCUCUCAACAUAGCUGAAUCUUGGACGACAAGCUAGUCAUAUUUACAAAAACAAAAUAGAUAGAGUUCAUAGCAACUUUUCCAGUCUCAGUCACUUCAUCAUAUAUCAUCAUUAUUGCCUUUCACUUGCACGAUCGAACGAUGUGAACAAUAGUAAGAGUGCUUGUGCAUUGGACUAAAGAUGGAAUCUGUAGGCAAACACAAAGGAGAAUACAAAGUAAUAUGGAUCUUUGAAAGCUAAACAGGUAUGCAUGCAAGAGCCACUAAACAUUGUAACCAAUAUCUUCUACCUUGACCCAAAUAAAAAGAAAACUAUUUACACGGGAAAUCUCCCAACAAGCAAAAGAAAGAAGGAAAAUCUUUUUGGGUUUUCUCAAAAGGACGCAAAACAAGAAAACAAGAAAACAAAAAUAAACUAGCAUGGAUAAUACAGUGGCAAAGUGUAAACACCGACUAACAAAGUGAAAGCAUAAGCAUGAACAUAAAGUUAGUGCAAACACGUACUCCCCCAAGCUUAGGCUUUUGGCCUAGCUUGGUCUACUCCCAAGGACGGUCCUGGCGAAACCCAAAAUCAUAAUCGGGGUAUUUUUCCACCGGGCGCUAAGACAGAAAACAGGGAAAACUAAACUAAACCUAUCAUUUUUCUUCUAAGCAACAGAAAGUGAAAGCUUAAAACAGAGGUAUGUGACUCCUUGAUUCAUCCAUUUCAUGGUCAUCGAAAGAAAUCCGUCAAUGGGGUUGAUCAAAUCCGCUCGACAAAACUUUCUCGAAUCGCAAAAGAAGACGGAGAAUUUUCGAAUAGUCACUAGGUCACCUCAAUGGGGAUGUGUAUCUCCCCAACAAGCAAAUCAUACUUCAUCUUAACACGAGGAACAAGGCAUUCAAAGCUACCAAUAAGAAUCGAUGAAGUUUUUUCGAUGGCAUUGAUGCAAUAUACUUGAUAUCGUUUCUUUGGAAAGUGCACUGUAUCCUCAUUACCGUUGACAUGGAAAGCGACAUUGCCUUUGUUGCAAUCUAUAACAGCCCCUGUAGUGUUGAAAAAGGGUCUUCCGAGGAUGACAACCAUGGCAUCGUCCUCGGGAAUAUCCAGGAUAACAAAGUCUGUUAAGAUAGUGUUGUUAGCAACCUCAACAGGCACAUCCUCGCAAAUGCCGACAGGGAAAGCAGUUGAUUUGUCGGCCAUUUGCAGAGAAAUUUUAGUGGGUGUCAACUUAUCCAGUUCAAGUCUACGAUAAAGAGAGAGAGAGAGGCAUAACACUAACACCGGCUCCAAGGUCGCAUAAAGCAGUUCUUACGUAGUUUCCUUUAAUGGAGCAAGGUAUAGUGGGAACUCCGAGAUUGCCAAGUUUCUUAGGAGUUCCACCUUUGAAAGUGUAAUUGGCAAGCAUGGUGGAGAUCUCAAGAUCUGGUUUCUUCCGUUUAUUGGUCACGAUAUCUUUCAUGUACUUGGCAUAUGGAGACAUUUUGAGCAUAUCAAUUAACUGCAUCUGCAGAAACACAGGUCUCAACAUUUCAAUAAAGCGCUCAAAAUCCUCAUCAUCCUUUUUCUUGGAUGGCUUAGGAGGAAAGGGCAUAGGUCUCUGAACCCAUGGCUCCCUUUCUUUACCAUGCUUCCUAGCAGUGAAGUCAUUCUUAUCAUUUCUCUUAGGUUGUGGAUUAUCAGGAUUAACCGCAGGUACAGUCUCCACAUCCUUAUCAUUGCUAGGUUGAGAAUUGAUACGUCUCCAACGUAUCUAUUUUUCCAAACUCUUUUGCCCUUGUUUUGGACUAUAAUUUGCAUGAUUUGAAUGGAACUAACCAUGACUGACGUUGUUUUCAGCAGAAUUGCCUUGGUGUUAUUUUUGUGCAGAAAUCAAAGUUCUCCAAACGUCCUGAAAAUUUACGGGGAGCAGUUUUGGAAAAUAUCUUUCCAGCACAUUGGGAUCCUAAGCUUNNNNNNNNNNNNNNNNNNNNNNNNNNNNNNNNNNNNNNNNNNNNNNNNNNNNNNNNNNNNNNNNNNNNNNNNNNNNNNNNNNNNNNNNNNNNNNNNNNNNCUUGUAAAUACACGGAUUCUCAACACUAGUAUAACCAAAUAGCUUUGAUCACUCAUCAAAAGUGUUUGUUCCCAAACUCCGAGAUGCUUGCACCAGUCCAUAAAUGGAUCGCUGGAAGCUUGCACACCUUGUUAGCAUUCUUAGGAUCGACAAAACCUUCCGGUUGCAUCAUAUACAACUCUUCCUUAAGGAAACCGUUAAGGAACGCCGUUUUGACAUCCAUCUGCCAGAUUUCUUAACCAAAAAAUGCAGCUAUUGCUAACAUGAUUCUGACGGACUUAAGCAUCGCUACGGGUGAGAAUGUCUCAUCGUAGUCAACUCCUUGAACUUGUGAAAAACCCUUUGCCACAAGUCGAGCUUUAUAAACGGUCACAUUGCCGUCAGCGUCCGUCUUCCUCUUAAAGAUCCAUUUGUUCUGAAUAGCCUUGCGGCCCUCAGGCAGUACUUCCAAAGUCCAUACUUUGUUCUCAUACAUGGAUCCUAUCUCGGACUUCAUGGCUUCUAGCCAUUUGUUGGAAUCUGGGCCCACCAUUGCUUCUUCAUAAUUUGCAGGUUCAUUGUUGUCUAACAACAUGAUUGAUAAGACGGGAUUACCGUACCACUCUGGAGCAGCACGUGGUCUCGUCGACCUGCGUGGUUCGACAGAAACUUGAACCGGAGUUUCAUGCUGAUCAUCAUUAACUUCCUCCUCAACCGGCGUCGCAACGACAGAGGUUUCCCCUUGCCCUACGCCACCAUCCAGAGGGAUGAGAGGUUCGACAACCUCGUCAAGUUCUAUCUUCCUCCCACUCAAUUCUCUUGAUAGAAACUCCUUCUCGAGAAAAGCUCCGUUUUUAGCUACAAACACUUUGCCCUCGGAUUUGAGAACAAGCUGAAAUUCUAUUGAAUAAUAUCUUGAGCAAUGAUAAUGCUUGGACUAUUCCCGAGCCACCUCCGAAGCCAACUCCGAAGAAAAGAAGUAUUCUAUUCCUCAUUCCUGAAGAUAUGCAAGAAGCCAAAGAAAUCUAAUGCAAGAGAAAGGUAUUAAAAUCUGAAGAUGUUAAGAAUCUACCACCUGUCGAAGAAAUACAUGGUCUUGAUAANNNNNNNNNNNNNNNNNNNNNNNNNNNNNNNNNNNNNNNNNNNNNNNNNNNNNNNNNNNNNNNNNNNNNNNNNNNNNNNNNNNNNNNNNNNNNNNNNNNNACUCGCCAGGCCACGCCUCCUGCCCCCCUACCGCACCCUUCCCUCGCCCACCUUCCCAUCGCCUCGCAGCCACCCCACACUCGCUCGCACCCCCACCCUCGCCCACCUACACCUCCCAGCACCAUCGCACGAGCCCCGUGUUUCUCCCCAGGGCCUUCCCAUCUCUCCCUCGCCCCCUCGCUCCCUCCCAGGAGCCCCCCUCUCCUCCAUCGCCCCCCUCCCAGGAGAUCCCUCCCCUCGCCGGAGUGCCUCUCCACCCUCGCUGGAGCAGCCACCGGAGCUCUUAGCCUCCUGUGUCCACGGUGAGAUCCCCUCCCUCCUCUAGUUUUCUUUUUUUUUGUUUUUCCACCGUAGGAUCUUAGAUCAAUGGGUUAGAUUAGAUCCAGCAUACCCCUUCGGUUCUUUUAAAAGAACCAGUGGUUUUUCCUUAUUAGUAAGUUUAGCCGAAGUGGUUUCUUAUAUAGCGGCCGUCCGUUGUUUAGCAUAUGCAACACACACCCGACAACCAAUCAGAUCUCGCCACGUCGCCGUUUUCGUUUUUAGAUUAAUUCCGUACCAGAUUUAGUUCCGUUCUUGUUUAGGUUAUAACUUUUGAUCUAGAAGUACAAUGAUGCUGAUUUAUUUUGCGUUAGAUCAAAAUUUUCUUGUAGUUUACGAAAAUAUAUAAUGUGUCUAUGUUUGGAUUUAUAAAAAUUGAGUUAGAUCAGAUUUGAAUUAAACCUUGUUUUGCUUAUUCUGGGAGUUUAAAAAUAGAUUUUUAAUAAUUCUUUUUGCUACUGAUCACUAGUGAUCUUAUUUAUCAGUGGUAAAAAUUUCAGAAUUGUUUGAGUAUUUUAGCUCAUUGUUUCUUGUGAAACAGUUUCUGUUUCACUUCUUUUAGAAUUAUGACUAUAUUUCUUUCUUUAGUUGUUUUUAAAUUAUUUUUUCUUUUAUAUUUCAGAAAGAUUAUGUUUUGUUUCUGUUAGUUAACAGUAGGUUUGCAACAAGUUUUGAUUUUAUUUUUAUAUGUUAUCAUGAAAUCAAUUCUAGUUCUCUAAUAACUUGCAAUUGGUUUCUCUAGUGUUUCAAAUCCCGUUUGGAAAUACUUUCAAAUAGUUUUGUGAAAAAUACUCUAUCUUGGUUAAAUUUAUAUCUUAGUUCUCUGUUAUUUAAUGUUUUAUUUUCAGUUAGAACAAAAAAAAGUUAUUUAGUGUUUGAUGUAGUAGAGGACUCCUAGUUUUAGUUGAAGUUUCUUUCGGAUUCUUAUUCGCUCUCUCCUUUGUUUUAAUUGCUAGAAUGAUUGCUAGUAUGAGUGCUUACGUGAAUGAUAUGGUUGUUAUAUAGAUUUCAUCGGAGAGUGACGAGUAGUCUAUCAAGUUAUUCCUCGAGAACGAAAAUUCUUCUUCGUCAACAUCACCAGGCAAGUCACUUUGAUCAUACUAUCCCCUAUGUUUUUUCUAUGCAUGGUAGUUCCACCUUCCUAUACCAAAUUGCAUGUUGAGUAGGUACUUGGAAAUUUUGGUUACAUAUUGUAGUAUCAUGUGGUAGGCACCCAACAACCCCGUUAUUUGGCCCGGGACCACAAAUUUCAUAUUGCUAUGCUUGAGUAGACGAGAUUGUGGUUGAGAGUUUAUCACGAGUGAUGCGAGAAUAAAUUAAUAACCAAGACCGGUCAAGUCAAGACUUUUCAAGACCUCGUGAUGCAAUGCAACUCUGGGUGAAGGACUGUUGAUCGGCUCCCUGGAGAAACCAGUGGAUGACCCGGGAUGCUGGAGACGUGCCAUGACAUCUUGCGGAAAGCUUCACCCAGGCUCAAAGAGACGGACGGAUAUUUUCAAGACCCAAGGCUUACCUGCACAACCACAAGUCAUUAUGGGCUCUGGCUUGGUUGGACAACGCGACGACUCUGGACAGGCGGUCCCAGCAGAUGUAGAAGAACGGUAGGAUUUGGAUGGGCACCGUCAGGGAUUCAGAGGGACCCGUUGAAAGACCAUGUUUUGAUCAUCCGGUCUUCGAACACCCUGAAGUGCGAGGACAUACACGAAGGCGAUCAAAUCUUGUGGGGAACGUGUGCAAAACUCUGCAGAGUACUCAAACCUAAUCGAUUAGCCGUGUCCACGGUCAUGGACAACUUGAGCCAAAGGAACUGAAGUUAUUUGGAAUUCUCAACACCAUUAUAUAUAUUUGAUAUGGGUAAUAUUGAUAACUUGGGUAUGAGAACUGGUUGGCGGAACCAUCUCAUUAACAACCAACCUCGUAGUAAUAUUUUACUUUUAGCCCCUCUUGUUGUAGGAGAAAAUUUGCUUUACGCUAAAACUUACAACACCACCUGCCAUAUAUGCAUAUAGUAUAGAUGAUAUUUUACCCCCUCUCAUAUGUGACUUGCCGGCAUAUUCAAUAUGCUGACCUACACGGCUGCAACGUCUUAUGUUGCUGAUAUUUUUCUUCGACGAGUAAGAGUACGAUUCAGGGUUACGGUCUACACUCAACUUGCCGUUGGUGUUUAUUGGGACUCCACUCCCUUGAUUGCUUCCGGUGAGAUAUUUAAGCUAUAUAUCAGUUUUACGCUAUUUCCAUGUGAUUGCACUUUGAUAUAUACAUUGAUGUACUAUGUGUGCCAGCAUACUGGUCCAGGGAUGGCAUAGAUACACAGAGGCUUGACUCGUUUUGAGUCGGGUCGCUACAGAAAUGGUAUCAGAGCACAUAUUGACUGUAGGACGUGACCCUAGAAACUGGAAAUUUCUUAGGAAAGGAUCUCUCUAAAAUUUUAUUUCCAAGAACAACUUUUACUUCUCAUCUCUUCUGAUUUCAUCAAACGUUCUCUCUCACCUGAAAUAGUUAGACAAUGCCCUUUCCCCUUUGACCACGUGAAGGAUCAACCGACUCCCACUUCAAAGUAAAGAGGAUUUCAUCAUGCAGUUAAAGCUACACCAAUUGAAGACUCUCAAGACCCGAAGAACUCGAAGACCCCGAAACGUUCCAAUGUUUAUUAGAAGUCCAAACCCCAAUUAUAUACCCAUGUUAGUUAUGAUGAUUUGUGAGCCGUCAUUGGUGUGUGUUUUCCGACGGCCACAACUAAAACCUAUUCUCAAAAAUACUUUUUGUAUUGUGUUAUCUCCCUCUCUCUUACCCGUCUCAUCCCCAAAACCUCAACCCUACCAGAUGGAGUAUGAAGCUGGACUUGUAGUCUCUGGAUCAAUGACCCAGCUGGAGGCUGAUAUAUGGAUUCAAAACAUGGAGAACCACUUCGGGAGCAACUUGAUCUCAAGGAAGUAUGAAGUGGAACACGCUCUUCAGUACUUUACACAAAGUUCUGCAAUCUGGUGGAAAAUGUAUCAUGCCAUACAAGGAUUUAGUGGAGCAGAAACCUGGGACAAAUUCAAGAAGACUUUGUUAAGAUCCCGUCUUAUUCAAAAGUGCUAUGAUAAUCCGAAGGAUAAGACUUGUGCAUGCAAGAUCUGUGGAGAAAUAGGACACACCCAGGAAGAACACAAGGCUGGAUGCACUCAUUGUGAAGAAAAUCACCCAGCUGAGAAGUGCCCAAGUAGUCAGGUGACUAGUUUCCUUUGUGAAGGAACCAACCACUAUCCAACUCAGUGUCACAUUUACCCCAAGGUACAACAAGUUGUCCAGCAGCAGAAACAAGCAAUGAAGGAAACACUCAAGAAGAAGAUUCUAGAAGAGCCGGUGAUGAACGAAAAUAUUGAAGACCCUGAUGGACAAGGUCUGACCAGAUUUUUCUCCAAUGCAUGCUACUCAUGUGGAGGAGAAGGACAUUAUUCACACGAUUGCACUAAGGGAAGCCAAGAGUAUCUGGGAAACUUCCCGACGGAAAAAGUGGAGUUUGAUCCACUUGAAAUAGAAGAACUUGCCAAGAUAAAGGAGUCCGGAAAGAAAAAGAGGUACCCUCGGAAGAGCCAAAUCUCUGCAGAUAUAGACCUGAGUCAUGUCAGAUGUUACAAGUGUAUGGAAUUUGGCCACCACAAAUACAUGUGCUCAGGAAGGAAGCCGGAACCCCAAGGAGCAAAAGCAAACACUAAGACGCCUCGAGACUUGUCAGAACUCAUUUGCUUUCGUUGCAAGGAAGCAAGACAUUUUGCUAACGAUUGUCCACAAAGGAAGAAAGCUAAAAAGGAGUAGUUAAGUUUUGACCGCGACAAUUAGUGUAAUCUGAAGAACUCUUGUUUUUCAUGAGAUCAUGGAGUGAAAUUUUUGUAACAGAAGUCCCUGAGAUUGUAAUAACAUCAUGAAUUAAUGGAAUUUAUUGUCUCAUGAUUGCCUAUGUUGAAACUGUAGGCGUUGUUUCUCUUCGAACAAAGAUCUAUGAACAAUUAUGAGGAUAUGAGAAAAUAUGGUCUAUGCAGGCAUGAGUAUAAUUUAUUUUAAGUGUGGUAGUAAUCGGUAAACCCACAGGAUCCACUGAGUAGGAAUGUACCAUAACUACCAAGGAGACAUAUACAUUCCUCUCAGUACCUAUUUACUGACACCUGCAGAUGACAACUCUCUACGAGUCAUUCCUCAAGGGCCCAGAAACGAUCAUGACCCUGACCAGUGAUCAUAAUUACCCGAAAAUCUUGAAGGACAUGAUGAAGCACAUUCAUCUUGAAGGAGAUGCAGUCUACAAAGGCUACCCAUUCAUGGAAAGUGGAGUAGAACUUUGGUAUGUGGAAGUACACCUCCACCAUGUGAAAGGAGUUUGUCCAAAGACUAUGGGGCAAUACUUUUUCAUUUCACGUGUACCACAAGCAACCUUCUUUGAUGCUGUUCGUGAAGCUGCCAUGGAAGCCAUACGCCAAAUUAGAGAAAUACUUGAAGCAAGACUCCGUCAUACCCAAGAAUACCUGAGUGAAGUGCAUGCGGAGAUGAUGGAGAUGAAGCUCAUGGCCACCAUGAUGAAGCAAAAGAUGGAUGAUUUCAAUGAGCACAUUGGAAAGUUCCAGUGGAACUAAAGUACCCCCAAGAGAGACGAAUGAAUAAGGUUGGCAGAAAUGCUCGACCAUACUGAACAAUGUGGAUGGCAGCAUUUGUAAUAGAGUACUUUUGAAUUGGAGUUUUUGAUAAGAAAUUAAGGAUGUAAUAAAGGAUUGAUUAUGAAAUGAAUAUGAUUUAUGGAUGAACCAAUACCUUUUCAAGGUAAACACACCAAUGGAAAGUAUCCCACAGAAUGGAGUGUGUACCAAAAAUAAGUCCGAGGAUUAUUAUUAUAUGAUGGUUACCCCAAGAAUAGGAUGGAAUGAAACACUAGGGAAUUUAAAGGUGUAGUAAUUCCAAGUAUGUCUGUAACCCACAGACCCCGGGACUAAUACGGAUCUAGCACCACCUUUAUGAAGAAAGAAACUUGGAAGAAACUAUGAUGGAUCAACAAAAGUUUUCUUAGGAACAUACGAAAACCUGAGAGUUGUGAAAAUACGAUAGAUGUUUCGUUCAGCUUGCAGAACCAAUGGUUUAUCCGAACUUCGUUCAUGGACAAGAGAAACUCUGCAACGCUUGUGAGGAUGCCCAAGUGUUAGAAUACGAGAUUCACUAAGCCUUAUACAAGGUAAUGAUUUCAGUGCGACAUGGCUUGGCCACCAUGAUGACUUACUAUUAUCAUUCUCUUGCUAUUCGGAAUGGUAAAUCUGAGAGACUUAACCAUAGUGAGAGACGACACUCUUUGAAGCUUUUGUUUAAGCCUUAGAAUGGUAUAAUGAAAGCCCCAUGUACAUGGCAUUUGUUGUCACGCGUAGGAAAUUUUACGGUGAGGAUGAAGACAAGACCCCUCUCUCUGCAGGAUAGCCACAAAUGGUAGACCACCAUGAGAAUCAUCGAUAGGUUAUUUAGAAUUGAUCACGAGACUGUCAGAUAAGAAGACCCAGUAAAGGAAGAAGCUUAUAUCAACAGAAGAACCCUCGAUUUUGAUGGAAACAUUAUGAAUAUAACGGAAGAGGAUCACCAAAGGAGUUAGUAUGAAGACUGUGAGGAGUCAGAUGCCAAAAAAAACCCAGAGGAUGGUUAAAAUCUUAAGGGACCAGUAGCCCUCAUUUUAAGUGUGCUAGCAUACCGCUUUGCCGGAGUUUGGAUUUGUUAGAAGACCCCCAAACCCUAACCUUUCUUUCUAGCCCUUCCGAAUCUCGAGGACGAGAUUCAUUUUAAGUGUGGUACGUUUGUAACAUCCCAAAUUUUGGAAUGUUAAUAAAAUUAUUAGAUUGAUUGUUCGUUUGUUUGUGUGAUUGAAACUUGAGUGAAAUUUGAAACUUUUCAAAAACAUUUGAAUGAGAGGGAAUAAAAUGACUUUCCCCUUCUCCAGUAAAUUCAAAUUCAAUCAUUUAAAAACAAAGAGAGAAGAUGACAUGACUUCUUCAACUAUAAAGAAUUUGAACGGAGUUUUGCAAUUGAAUUCUUUCAAAUAUUUGCCCUUGCUUCUCUAUUUUUCUUCCCCGAGAAAUACCCCGAAAAUAAUUCUUGCCAAGCAAGAAAGAGAGGAGGAACAUGACCCUCCAAACCGGGGAUAUUCCUUUGAAAUAUUUGGACCAUAAAACCCAAGGUUUAUUUGAAAAAUAUUUGCAAAAAGAAAAUAAACCAAUUUAGGGAUUUUCUAAAAAAACAUUUUUUUUCUGAAGUAUUUAUUUUGGUAGUGGAAAAAUGCCCAUCUUUUUGGAUUUAUUUUUCUGAAAAUUCUAAUAUAUUAUACCCCUAUAUCCCGAGGAAUAUUCCAUUUACUUUUAAUAGUUUUAAUUCCGUUUUAAUAAACAUGGAAAUAGAUCUUUAUUUUAGGGAAGUCCGUGGGCCAUAUUAGGAAUGUCAUGUGGCCCAAUUCCACCUUCCUUCUUCUUCCUCACGUUCAUUCCUUCUGUAGCCAUGGCAGAAACUUCUAGGAAGCUUCCCCUUCGGGAUUCACGAGCUUAUUUCCCUCCCGGCGCCUCCCACCACCCCUAUAAGAACCCCCUCGGCCUCAUCUUACCAUUCCCCUAAAAAAAUCUCCGUUCGCUCGCCCGACGCCACCACCCCCACUCGCCGGACUUCCUUGUACGGAGCCGAAGCUUCCUGGAGCUCCCGACGACCUCCCCAUCGCCAGGCCACGCCUCUGCCCCCCCUGUGCACCCCUUCUCCUCGCCCCACCCCUUCCCCACUCGCCCUCGCAGCCACCCCACCCUUGCUGCACCCCCACCCUCGCCCACUGCACCUCCCAGCACCAUUGCAGGAGCCCCCUGUUUCUCCCCACGGGCCUCCCCACUCCUCCUCCCUUCGCCCCCUCCGCCCCCUCCCUACGGACGCCCCCCUCCUCCCUCCACCCGGCCCCCGUCCCCACGGACGNUCUCCNCCCUCGCCGCGUCGCCUCCUCCANNNNNNNNNNNNNNNNNNNNNNNNNNNNNNNNNNNNNNNNNNNNNNNNNNNNNNNNNNNNNNNNNNNNNNNNNNNNNNNNNNNNNNNNNNNNNNNNNNNNUGCCACAUGCAAAUUUACUUGGGAACGGACGAGGUAAGUACCGGCAGUAUAGGUAGGGUAUGGGUGGACUCAUAUUGGGAACAACUUUGGGGUUGAUGGGAAAGUGGAUGCACAAGCAGUAUUCCCGCUUAGUACAAGUGAAGGCCUAGCAAAAGACUAGGAAGCGACCAACUAGAGAGCGACAACAGUCAUCAAUAUGUCAUUGAAAUUAACCAACAUUAGAGUAGACUAAGCAUGAGUAGGACAUAAAUCACCAAUAAACAUGAAUAUCAUAUAGGCUAUGUUUGAUUUUGUUUCAACUACAUGCACUAAACAUGUGCCAAGUCAAGUCCUACUUGGAAUCAUUCCAAAAGGGAGGAUACCAUCCUAAUCAUACUACAUCAUAAUCAUCUUGAAUUCAUGUUGGCAUCCAAGACAAACCAUUAUAAGCUCUUAGCUAAUUAAGCAUGACAUCAGAAACUAUCGAUCUUCUAAGUUGUCUAUUGCCAAAAACUACUUAGGUUUUUCCUCUUAACAAGUUAAACCUAAAAACGGUAACCUUAAAAAUUUUACCGUAGGUUAACCGGAACUUUCCGGGAANNNNNNNNNNNNNNNNNNNNNNNNNNNNNNNNNNNNNNNNNNNNNNNNNNNNNNNNNNNNNNNNNNNNNNNNNNNNNNNNNNNNNNNNNNNNNNNNNNNNUUACUAAUAAGGAAAACCGCCAGUUCUUUUAAAAGAACCGAAGGGGUAUGCUGGAUCUAAUCUAACCCAUUGAUCUAAGAUCCUACAGUGGAAAAACAAAAAAAACAAAAACUAGAGGAGGGAGGGGAUCUCACCGUGGACACAGGAGGCUGGGAGCUCCGGUGGCUGCUCCGGCGAGGGUGGAGAGGCACUCCGGCGAGGGGAGAGAUCUCCUGGGAGGGGGCCGGUGGAGGAGGAGGGGGGGCUCCGUAGGAGGGGGCGAGGGGGGCAAGGGAGAGAUGGGGAGGCCCUGGGGAGAAACRRGGGGGCUCCGUGCAAUGGYGCUGGGAGGUGCAGGUGGGCGAGGGUGGGGGUGCGAGCGAAGGGUGGGGGUGGCUGCGAGGGCGAGUGGGGAAGGGGUGGGGCGAGGAGAAGGGGUGCGACGAGGGGGGGGCAGGAGGCGUGGCCUGGCGAGUGGGGAGGUCGUCGGGAGCGUCCGAGGAAGCGUUCGGCUCCGUACAAGGAAGUCCGGCGAGUGGGGGUGGUGGCGUCGGGCGAGCGAACGGNNNNNNNNNNNNNNNNNNNNNNNNNNNNNNNNNNNNNNNNNNNNNNNNNNNNNNNNNNNNNNNNNNNNNNNNNNNNNNNNNNNNNNNNNNNNNNNNNNNNCUCGGAACUUGGACGCGCCUAAACUGCACUAGNACNUAAAACUGUCGCUCCUAUAGAAUCAAUUUUUUUAGCAGAUGCAUUCGUGUUUAGACCAUGGAAGGAAACAAGGUAAUCGUGUUAAACGCAAAGGGGUUCUGAAUUGAGCAAUAUGCUCGUGAUGUGGAGAGAACGGAAGCAGAGCUAGAGACUUCUUGCUUUCAAAGCGAUCGGCGAUUGGUUCAUGGUAAUUGUUGGUUCGUGUCUCGUCUUUUUCCCGUACCGUCGUUGGCCUACCUUAUUUAAGGGAGCUAGCUUAAUUCACGCCAACUGUGUAUCAACAACACGCCUAACCACGUCAGACUGAUGACAGGUAUUAGAAACUAAGUGUUUAGUUAUGACUUAUGGCUUGCCGGCGGGGCGUAUGUAUUAAUGAUACUACCUUCAAAGUUUCAAACUACUUUACGACCAGGACCCCCGAUUGAAACUUGGAAAAUACUUCACUGGCAUCUCAAAACUGGAAGAGGACGGCAACUUGACUUUUCAGCCAACAGAAUUUUCAUAUGAAUAGGAUGACAAGUUUUUUCAUAACGAAUAUAAGAGUAAGAAAUUAUAGGUUUACCAUUUUUAGGGGUGAUGCCAAUUUUGCCUCUGCGACCUACCUCACAACAGCACGAACAAAUCGUUCCCUGGGAACGUUCCUAUCGAGUGAACAAAAUCGUAUAGGGAAAUCCCCCACACAGCGCCCCCCCCCCCAUCCCCCUCCCGUACCGACCGAAACGUUAACUACGUACCGUACUAACUACGUCGACGURCCGUWAACCKUACGGCGUANNNNNNNNNNNNNNNNNNNNNNNNNNNNNNNNNNNNNNNNNNNNNNNNNNNNNNNNNNNNNNNNNNNNNNNNNNNNNNNNNNNNNNNNNNNNNNNNNNNNUUGAUCCAUACUAAGUCAAGAANACCUUUGGAGAUACCUGUANAGCAUCUUUAUAGUNUCCCAGUUACGUUGCGACGUUUGAUACACACAAAGUAUUCCUCCGGUGUUAGUGAGUUAUAUGAUCUCAUGGUCAUAGGAACAAAUACUUGACACACAGAAAACAGUAGCAACAAAAUGACACGAUCAACAUGCUACGUCUAUUAGUUUGGGUCUAGUCCAUCACGUGAUUCUCCUAAUGACGUGAUCCAGUUAUCAAGCAACAACACCUUGUUCAUAAUCAGAAGACACUGACUAUCUUUGAUCAACUGGCUAGAUAACUAGAGGCUUGCUAGGGAGUGUUUUGUCUAUGUAUCCACACAUGUAAAUGAGUCUUCAUUCAAUACAAUUAUAGCAUGGAUAAUAAACGAUUAUCUUGAUACAGGAAUUAUAAUAAUAACUAUAUUUAUUAUUGCCUCUAGGGCAUAAUUCCAACAGGCAGCGGGGUCCAAAAUGAAACUACGGGAUAUUANNNNNNNNNNNNNNNNNNNNNNNNNNNNNNNNNNNNNNNNNNNNNNNNNNNNNNNNNNNNNNNNNNNNNNNNNNNNNNNNNNNNNNNNNNNNNNNNNNNNUUUUUAUUCUCUUGCUGUUUUCAAUAAAAUGAACAAUUAUACCUCUGGUUAGAUGUGUUUUUGUGGUUUAAAUUAGUGUUUGUGCCAAGCAAGGCCUUUGGGAUGAUUUGGAUGAAAGUUGAUUUGAUCUUGCUGAAAAACAGAAACUUUUGUACUCACACAAUUAUGUUUCAUUUUUAACAGAAGAGUGUUUUUGAGUUGAUUAUUUUUUCAUCAGAUUAACAAACAAAUUAUUCACGUCAUCCUAAUGUUUCAGAAUCUUUGGAGUUACAUAAGUAUUCGAAGUAGUCAGAUUGCUACAGACUGUUCUGUUUUUGACAGAUUCUGUUUUCUUUGCGUUGUGUGCUUAUUUUCAUGAUUCUAUGGUUUUCUUUGAUUAGUUUUUUCCAUAGAAAAGUUGGAAUACACUAUAUAUAAUGCAAAAAUAAAAUAUGAAUAGGUUUGCAAGAGUACUUAUAGUAGUGGUUUGCUUUCUUAUCAUAACGGAUCCCACGAAGGUUUUGUUGAGUUUUGUGUGAUUGAAGUUUUCAAGUUUUGGGUGAUCUUACGGUGGAUGAAGGAAUAAGGAUUAGAAAAAGUCUAAGCUUGGGGAUUCCCGAGGCACCUCAAUAAAAUAUUCAAGAAGUAGCAAGCAACUAAGCUUGGGGAUGCCCCCGAGUGGCAUCCUCUCUUUCUUCUAACAACCAUCGGUAUUUGACUUGAAACUAUAUUUUUAUUCGUCACAUAUUAUGAGUUUUGCUUGGAGGGUCUUGUAUAAUAUUAGUCUUUGCUUGUUUUUCUUUGUGUUUUAAGUCAUCAAUGCUUGCUCGACACACCUUUUUUAGAGAGCCAAAAAGUAUGCUAUGCUUGCUCCUAUGCUUCACUUAAAUUUUUAGAGCCAUGGAUUUGCUCUAGUACUUCACUUAUAUCUUUUUGAGAACGGUGUUCUUUGUUAUUUUUGAAGAAAUGCUCUCAUCCUUCACUUAGAUUUAUUUGGUAGUUAGUAAAAAAAUUAAGAAAUUCUCUCUUUCUUCACUUAGAUUAUUUUGAGAGAAAUAAAAAUUAUGCUCAUGUUCUUCACUUAAAUUUGUUUGAGCUUAUCAAAAGCAACAUAUGAGAAUAGUCCCAAAGUGAUAGAUAUCCAAGGGGGCUAUAAAAAAACUUUCAUGAAGAUCAUUGGACAAAAUAAACUUGAUUCUUAGUAAUGGUUUUGAGAUAUGACGAUAUAAUAUGUGAGUCAUGUUGAUGAGUAAUUGUGCUUUAGUACGAAUAUUGAUGUUAAGGUUUGUGAUUACCUUUGAAAGCACGAAAGUCAAUAGUCAAGCAAUGAAAUUUAUAUCCUACUUGUGGUGUAUUAUUCGGUGUUACUUAUGCUUGAUGCUUGGGUACGCGAUUUUUCGUUUCUUGGUUGGUCGCUUCUCAAUCUUUUUGCUAGCCUUCAUUUUGCACUAAGUAUGAUCACUACUUGUGCAUCAAAAACCCUUUAAACCAGUUUUGCCAUAUGAGUCCAUUAUACCUACCUAUGUGCGGUAUUUCAAUUCCGUUCUAAGCAAAUUUGCAUGUGCCAUCUCUAAUUUUCAAAAUAAAUCUCUCUUUUGUGUGCACUACCGCUCGCGAGGCGGUGAGGGAUGGCCAAUAUUUUCCAUGCUAGAUGUGUUAUUCUCACGAUGGGUGUUUAUUCACUUGUCAUUGCACGAGAGUAUGACAAGGUAUUAGGGAUGUCGAGUCCCUAAAUGAAAAAAAUUGAAUUUACCUUUUGUUGUCAAAUAAUAAAUUCCUUGGAAAGUGUUGGUAUGGAGGGCACCCGUGGAUACACACAAGCCAUGGAAAGUGAAAGUAAUGAUGGAAAAAGAAAUAGACUUUAUUUUCUGUUCGGGAACCGCCUAUGAUGUAUCUAGCAUGGAAAGUGUUGGGAGAUCUAAGUCGUUUUCGUUGGUGGGAAAAGUAUGCCUCCCAAAAUGUUUUAAUCUCUCAAUUUUCGCUUUGAGAUCUAGCACCUCUACAAAUCCCUACUUCCCUCUGCGAAGGGCCUUUCUUUUACUUAUGCAAUUUUUAUUUCGAAUUUGAGUAUCCAUCUUCUCUCAUAAAGCACCAACUAAGGGGCACUAUGAUCAUAUUUGAGUAUUGGGUGUAGCUAAUAUUCGAGUGUGUUUCAUGAAUGGAUCAAUGAUUGAGCACAAUGGGCUAGGGAUAACUUGCAGUGUCGAUAUUUUGAAAGACAUGGUUGUUUGUUGGUAUGCUUGAGUAUUGAAGUCUUCAUGUCAAAACUAGACUAUUCCUUUGAACCAUAUAAAAGUCCAAAUGUCCAUGCUAUAAAGAAAAGAAAUGUGAUGAACAUGUUAGGUAGCAUUCCACAUCAAAAAAAUUCUUUUUAUCAUUUGCCUACUCGAGGACAAGCAGGAAUUAAGCUUUGGGAUGUUGAUACGUCUCCAACGUAUCUACAUUUUUUGAUUGUUUCAUGCUGUUAUAUUAUCAUUCUUGGAUGUUUUACAAUCAUUUUAUAGUCAUUGUAUAGCAUUUUUUGGUACUAACCUAUUGACAUAGUGCCUAGUGCCAGUUGCUAUUUUCUGCAUGUUUUUUACAUUGCAGGAAAUCAAUAAAAAAUGGAGUCCAAACGCAGAAAAACUUUUUGUGCAAUUUUUUUGUGCCAGAAGACAUCCAGUGGGCCAAGAAUGCACCUGAGGGGAGAUCCGAUGGGAGCACAACCCACCAGGGCGCGCCCCAGUGGGUUGUGCCCUCCUCGUUGGACUCCUGCACCGCCUCUUUGCUCUAUAAAUACCCUAAUAUUCCAGAAACCCUAGGGAGGGGGGGUGAAAAAUCAAUUCCACCCGCCGCAGAGUCUAGAAACACCAGAUCCAAUCUAGACACCAUCACGGAGGGGUUCAUCAUGUCCAUUGGUGCCUCUCCGAUGAUGCAUGAGUAGUUCUUUGUAGACCUACAGGGUCCGUAGUUAGUAGCUAGGGGGGGGGGGGGGGGGGCUCUUGAUUAUCAAUACAAUGGUCUCUUGGAGAUCCAUAUGAUGUAAGUCUUUUUGCGGUGUGUUUGUUGGGAUCCGAUGAACUUUGAGUUUAUGAUCAGAUCUAUGUUUUUAUCCAUGAAAGUUAUUUGAGUCUUCUUUGAUCUCUUAUAUGUGUGAUUGAUUAUAGCCUCGUAUAUCUUCUCUCAUAUUUGGGUUUUGUUUUGCCAACUUGAUCUAUUUAUCUUGCAAUGGUAAGAGGUGUUUUGUGAUGGGUUCGCUCUUACGGUGCUUGAUCCUAGUGACAGAAAGGGAAACGACACGUAUGUAUCGUUGCUAUUAAGGAUAACAAGAUGGGGUCUAUUUCUAUAUAAAUAGAUCUUGUCUACAUCAUGUCAUUGUUCUUAUUGCAUUACUCCGUUUUCCAUGAACUUAAUAUACUAGAUGCAUGCUGGAUAGCGGUCGAUGUGUGGAGUAAUAGUAGUAGAUGCAGGCAGGAGUCGGUCUACUAAUCUUGGACAUGAUGCCUAUAUAAUGAUCAUUGCCUGGAUAUCGUCAUGAUUAUUUGAAGUUCUAUCAAUUGCCCAACAGUAGUUGUUUUCCCACCGUUUGCUUUUUUUCUUGAGCGAAGCCACUAGUGAAACCUACGACCCUCGGGUCUCUUUUCAUCAUAUUUCUCUUUGCAAUCUAUUUUCCUUUACUUUUAUUUUCAGAUCUAUUAAACCAAAAAUACAAAAGUACCUUUCUGUAAUUUAUUUCUUCCGUCAUCUAUUUAUCCUAUCUACUACUUUUACCUCACGUUAUUUGUCUAUCUUGAGACACCGUACCCGAAAGGGAUUGACAACCCCUUUAACACGUGGGUUGCCAGUAUUUGUUAUUUGUGUGCAGGUGCUAUUUAAGUGGUGUGAGGAGGUUCUCCUACUGGUUCAAUAACCUUGGUCUCAUUACUGAGGGAAAUACCUAUCGUCGCUAUACUCAAUCACCCCUUCCUCUUUGGGGAAAUAUCGACGUAGUUCUAGCACAUAUCAACGGACAGAAAUAUAUUUUCCUAGAUCUGAUUAUGCAAAUAUAUUCCCCCUAUUGCACCAAUUGGUGUGCUGGCAUUUUUUGAGGAUUAGAGCAUGCCCAAAAAGUUUGGGACCAAUUGAGGAAACUUGACAAUGCAAAAAAAUUCAAUUCUAGAAAUCGUCAAAAAUGGAUAUUGGGGGAUUUGGACAAGUGGAUUUGUUCUCCUUGUAGCACCACUUGGCAUGGAUGCAUUACUAGGGUAUUAGAACAUGUCCAUAAUGUUUGGGUAUAAUUGGAGAAACUUGGCAAUGUAAACUUCUCCAAGUUUGGACCUGGGUAGAGAUAGUUUUGGAAUAUUUUGGUGAAUCAAAUCAAUUUGGAUUGAGAUGAAACUUGGCAAGGUCACCAUAUAUAUCAUGUGUGACUUGCUAGAAUUUUCAUGGAAUUAUUUCAGAAUAUUUCUUAUAGAAAUAUUCCAAAUACUUGAAAUGAAGAAAUAGGGUUUUGGAGGGAUUUGUCCAAUAUUUUUAAACAUAUUCCCAAAUUGAACAUACUAAUAAAACCCACUAAUAUUAAACAGAAGGAAAAAAUAUCAUUCAAAAAUCUAUUUUAAACUAAAGUUAUUCACAAACUAGUGAUUCACACAAAUUUCAAAGAAUUCAAAUUUAAACUAUUCAAAUCUAAAUAAUACUAUCACUAACAAAAAGUUUUAAUUUUUGUGACCUAAAGCAAAAAAGAUCCACUCAAAAAUUAUAAACAUUCUAAAAGUUAUUCAAAAUCUAAAAACACAAACUGUUCUAUUUAGAAAACAAAUAAGAAAAGAAAUAAAAAAAGAAAAAGAACCCUUUAGUCCCGGUUGGUAUCACCAACCGGGACUAAAGGGCCACCUUCCAGUGUGGAAUUUAGGCCGUCAAAAAGCUGGACCUUUAGUCUCAGUUGGUGAUACCAACCGGGACUAAAGGAUCUUUACUCCCGGUUGGUGGCUGGAACCGGGACUAAAAGUCUUUUUUAUAUAAGGCCUCUGAUGUCCCGGUGCCAGCCACCGCCCGCGAGAAGUUGCAGAUCGACGCCCCCAGGCUGACCGAUCACGAUGUCGCUGCUUCGACCUCCUCCUCGCCAGUCUCCUUCAAGCCUCGCCGCCCUUCUCCACGGCAACGCCGGUAAGGCCCAACCCCUCCCCAUCAUUGUGUCCCCGUCGCGAUCCGCCGCUCGCCCCGCCAUGGCCAUGCUGCCCCGUCGCCCGCGCUCACUGUCGCAGCUGCUGCUACGCGCCUAAUGUUGCUCCAGUUUCCGCUGCUAAUUCGUCGAUGAUUGUCGUUGCCGGCGCGCGUAAUGUUGUUGUUGCUGCUAGCGCAGCCCAUGCCUGACGCCUCGCACUGUCGUAUCGCUCUCCAUCGUCGUUGCUGCGACGCCCCUAUGGCUACCCCGUCGCUACCAUUCGUCGUGCCUCGUCACGAUGGUCACGUAGGCACAAACCGCAUGCAAAGCGGUGAACGAAGGAGUCCUCGACGAUCAUCGGAGGAGUCCCCGAUGAUCGCCGAUGAAGAGUCCCCGACGAUCACUAGAGGAGUCCCCGAUGAUCGCCAGUGAAGAGUCCCCGGCGAUCGUCGGAGACGUGUCUCCGACGAUCGCCGGAGGAGUCCCCCACGAUCGCUAGUGAGUAGUCCCCGAUGAUCACCGGAGGAUUCCCCGAUAAUCACCAUGAGCAUUGUAUCCUCGGCGAUCAUCGGUGACGAGUCCUCAACGGUCGCCGAUGCCAGUGAGGAUCUCCCGACGAUCGCUGGUGAAGAGUCUCCAAUGAUCACCGGUGAGGAGUCACCGACGAUCACCAGUGUAGUCCCCGACGAUCGCCAGUGAGGAGUCCCUGACGUUUGCCGGUGAGGACCGAGUCCCCGACGAUCGCCGGUGAGGAGUCCCUGACGAUUGCCGAUGAGGACCGAGUCCCCGACGAUCGCUGGUGAGGAUCGAGUCCCCGACGAUCGAUGGUGAGGAUUCCCCGACGAUUACCGAUGAAUAGUUUUUAUAUAAAUAUGAGUAGGUGCACAAGUUUAUUAUAUAUGAGUAGCAUAAUAAAACGAAAAACUCACAUAGAAAUUUGUUUUCAUAGGAAUUUGUUCUCGAAGAAGAUGCCCGGCAUGCAUCCUCGUCGUCGACUCGGCAGUGAAAACUAGUUUGAGAGGCGACAUGUCUAGGACUGGGCUCCGCCAGGCUGGCAUUAGGAGGUGCUACCUUCCGGGGCGCGCAUCUUGGUUAGGAAUUGGGGUCUCAUCAUCGACCCAGAGCUUCUUUGAUGGCACUCGCAUGGGCCACCAUCGGUGUAGAGGGAGCCGGCCUCCAAGGAGGUGGUACGUCACCGUGUCAGGGAGGAGGCGAGCACGUGCGUUGCUACAUGGUUGCGUUGGACGUCAGGUUUCCAAUACUAGACAGUUUCUUCACGGAUCUCACCUGAGCUAUGAUCCUCUGAUGGUAUCUUCUCUUUGGGUGUUCACCAGCCCCGCAGUGCAUCGACAAUACUUUGGGUGAUCAGUUUGAUUGGGCCAGAUGUAUUAGUGAUAUUAUGUGAUACUAUUUUUUUCAUUAACUGGAUUUCUCGAGAUGUAUUAGUGAUAUUAUAUAUUGUUUCAUUAAGUAGAUUAUUCGAGAUUUAUAAGUAAAAUUUAGUCCUCCUCACCAUCGUCCCUAGACCCUCAGAUCGAUCCUCGCCGACGGCUGACUAUACUAUGAUUCAGUUUUUACUUAUUCAGUGCAUUAUAAUUUAAAAUACUAAAUUGUUUUAUCUUUCUUCUGGGUUACUUAAGCUAUGGGCGAUAGCGGAAGAUACCAUGAAUAUGACAUAUUCGACAUCAUACGCUCCUCCCCAAACCAAGAGAAUGAACGACAUGAUGGCUCAGAAUUUCUAAACGACUCUCGUGAGGGACUUGAGCAAGAACCAAGAGAAGAAGAAAAUGAUGGUGAAGAAAAUGUUAGACAAUUAACGAAGUCUGAUGAGGUAUAUAUAUAUAUUAAGCCUGGUGAUCAUGGGGGUAGCAAGAAAANAUAAUUGAUUUAUGUAUAUAUAUAUUAACGAAUCUUUCUUAUUUUAGCACUCUGGAUCGAGCCAGUCUUCUAGAAAGGUACGAGGCCGAGCCAAAAAGUUGGGCGAUGAUAUAAAGUUAAACAUCAAUUGUCACACCCCAAUUUUUGGCUUUCCUGACUAAGUAACUUAUUUCAAAAUUUAGGACCAAUUAAAAUUUUUGUGAAUGCUUGUGAUGCUUGGAGUGACUAUUGUCUGUCUGUUUGUUUUGCAUGUGAUUGAUCCCCAUUAAUUCUUGCCACUCUCCUAAUCAUCUUCUCAUCCCAUGAUCUGCUGCCUAAUGAUCAUGUCAUGUGAUUAGGAAAAAUAUCUGUUUUACCAAAUAUUAUUUUCACCAAAAAGCUUUUCUUUGAAUUAAACCUUCAAACCCCUGAAAUGAGGUUUGUACUACAAGUCCUCAAAUUAGGGAGUUUCUUUUGCACCAAUUGUUUUAUUUAAAACCUAUUAUCAAAAUGACUUCCAAAAACCAUCUUAUUAUUAUUAUAAAGGAUAUUUUAUUAUUUUAUUUACAAGCCCUUCUGUGAGGCCAGAAAUGGUCUCCUAUGAAGGAAAGUUAUUUUUAUUGCCUUCGGGGGGGGGGGGGAUUUAGGGAAACUCAGUGGAUAUAUUUAUUCCACAUUUAUGAGUUCCAACACAUGGUCAUGUUCAAAAUAUUGGGCAAACCCCUCCAAAACCAUUUCUGCCUAUUUCAAGCUUUUGGAAUAUUUCUAUAAGAAAUAUUCUCAAUAAAUUCCAGUAGAAUUCUAGCAUGUCAUCUAUGAUAUUAUUGAUGAUCUUGCCAAGUUUCAUUUCAAUCCAAGGUGAUUUGGCUCCCCUAAUCACUCUAAAACCCUAUCUGUCCAGAAUCAAAUUUGAGCAACUCUACAUUAUGAAGUAUCUCCAAUGGAGCUCCAAUUUGGUGGACAUGUUCGAGUACUCCAAUGAGGCAUCCACACCAAGUGGUACACCAAGGAGAAUAGAGGAACUUGUCCUAAAACCCUCAAAACCCUCUUUGUUGAUUUCUGACUUUGAAAAACUUUACAUUAUAAAGUUUGUCCAAUUGACCUCAAACUUUUUGUACAUGCCUUAAUGCUCAAAUAAUGCCCCUACACCAAAUAUUGGAUUUGUGGGAAUUUAAUUGAAUAGGGUUCUAAGCAGAAACCUAUUUCUGCCCCUUUCUAGGGUUUUUCAAGUCUACAUUGGAAAACUUCUCUAGCAAAUCCCAAAUUUGGUGUGCAAGCCUAUUUUCAUCUAUUAUUUGAUCCUGUUAAGUUUCAUAUCCAUUGGAAUUCAUCUGAUAGCCUAAACACAGAUCAAACACCUUGUGUGCACUCACUAAUUUGGCUUCUAUUGCCCCUUCUACUUUUACCCUUGAGCUCAACUUUCUACCACAGCCUCACAUAGUUACAUUUCACCUCCAGUAACAUUCCCAUGGACACUGGUCAAUUAUUGGAGAAGGUCCCUUUGUAACUUCCUCUCAUUUUCACCCUUGGCAGCACUGUUUUACCUCUCUUUCCAUUCUUCUGCUUAAGCUAUCAAUCCCAACUCUUUCCAGAGCAUCUAAUAUAUGCCAAGGCUUCAUUUAGAACAAAGACAUGGCAUGCUCAUGUGGAGAAAAUGAGCAACACUUCUUCAAAUAGAUUUCUGGCUGAAUCAUGGCUUUGAACAGCAAGUAGUAGCUAUACUCCUUUGUUUGAUCUGAAACUUUGCAGUCUGGUAGUCCUUCCAUGCCUAACACUGCCAGACAUAACUUCCCUCCAAGUAUCCCCACCUAGGACGCACUUUUAUCAGCUCCAAGUUUGCUGUUAGAGACUUAACAGCAGUCAAAACCCCACCUAGACAGCUCCAACUUGGUCCAGACUUCACUAGUGCAUCGUGGCAAGCAUGCCUUGCACGGUUGACAUCUUGGCCUGGCCAAGGGGUGCCCCAGGACACAGGUGACCGUGGUGACCACCNNNNNNNNNNNNNNNNNNNNNNNNNNNNNNNNNNNNNNNNNNNNNNNNNNNNNNNNNNNNNNNNNNNNNNNNNNNNNNNNNNNNNNNNNNNNNNNNNNNNUCCUGCUCCUGCUCCUGACGCGCCAUCGCUCCUCCUCCUCCUCCGUGGAUAGAUUCGGGGGACCAACCGCGACGACCCAGCUCCGCCUAAUCCGCGCAACUGGGCGCUUUGUUAAUUCCAACUAGCCCACUGAUUCGCCCAUGAGUUCGUCGCCCGGUCAGGUCUUAAAAGUUUCUGCCAUGUUCCCAUCGGACAGAUACUGCAUGCGACCUCUUGUAGUUAUCUGCCUGAGAUCACCACGGGUGUUACUUAAUUUAUUUACUGCAUAGCUGAUGUGUCUACUACACAUGGGUUAACCGGCUGGUGCCAACCCGGGCUCACGCAGUCACAACGCACCAACCCCCGAGCCGAAAUAUCUCCACAAAUGGCUGCAACGUAGACUGUGAACUGUUGCCGACGUAGACUGCAACGCGCGCGCUCGUCCUAACCGGCGUCGGAGUCUUGUCGCUCCUACCGGAGUAUCCAACAAGAGUACGGCUCAACAAUUCGCACGCGCACGUCGGCUCCAUUGAUAUGAGCACGCCACCGUGAAAGCUACUCGACUCCUCCGGGCUGGUCUCCGGCUACCCAGCGAUACAAGGCGCUUUACAGCCGAGCGGGUCGCCCACAGCGAAGCUCCAGCCGCAGCCGCAGCCGCAGCCGCCCAACAAGGUGUGUUGUGUUGCAUGGCAGCUGAUUGGAAGUUGGCAUCGCAUGUGUACUUCAAAUGCGUGUGGUCCCCAAGAGAAAAUGAACUCUUCUGAAAUAGUACAACGAUUUUUUUUUUUGGGGUCUGUCGACUAUAAAGUAAAAAAAAAGACGAUGUCUUCCUUUCUUGUUGUUGAAAAAAUCAACUAAGGUGAGAAAAAAAAAUAGUGAAAGCAUGUUGAAAUUCUGGACAAAAAAUGUGGCUUUCAUAAACUAGAAAUUUAGUAGAAAUGAACUUUGAGAAGAAGAUUUACUCAAAAAAAUAAUAGAAAAUUGGAAAAAAUGGACGGAACAUUAGGAAGAUAACAGGAAAUUCAAAUAAUAAUCAAUGCUCUAAAAUCUUGUUUACGGUUGAAUUACAAAAAUGACGGCCCAAACAAUUAUUUUGUAAUACGGGAAUUAAAAUAUUACAUUAUCAAAAUAGAUAGCAUGCAAUACAGUAGGCUUUCAACUUCUAAUAAGAAACUAGAAACAUGGAUGCAUUUUUUCCUGUUUUGGACAUACAGAAGGGUGAAAAUAGGUAGAUUUGAUCCUUUUGUAGCACUUUAGCACAAAAUAAAACAGGAUUUGAAAAUAUUUUGAAACAUUGCCCUUUUUCAUGACGCCCAGGGCUGAGGCACCAUGCUAGAUAGCAUGACGCUCUGGACAGGGGCGCUAUGUUGAAUGGCGUGACAACCCCCUCUACCGAGGGGGUCAUGCUAUAUAACAUGGCGUCCCAACCCAUAGACAUCAUGGAAAAGGGUUAAUUUUUGAAAUAUUUUUCAACGCGAUUUACUUUGUGCGAAAGUUUGAGAAAAGGGUCAACUCUGUACAUUUUCACUUACGCAAGAGAGAACCCGUUGGCAGCACCAUCGUUCUACCUCGUUCCGAUGUAAACAGAUGGAAUCGGUUCGGAUAAUGCUUUUACCAUAUCCCUUAUCAUAUUUUUAGGUCGGAUUCGGAGCGGAGCGAAUAAUAACCGGAUGCGGAUUCGAAUGCGGAUUACAUCGGACCAAGGAUUCGGAUCGGGUGCGAACUGGAUUCGGACAGAUAACGGACAAAAAAAUUCGAAGGAUACGUGUAAAAAGACAUGAUUUAUUUCUAUUAUGCUACAAUGUGAAAAUAUGUAUCCAUGCAAGCGCAUAACACUGGUGUUUUUAAGCUAUAACUCCCAUGAUAUAGUAACAAUAUGUAGUAUCGAUAAAUUCAUUUUGUUUUGUAGUCUGUUAAGAUGAAGUCUGCUCUAUUCGACUACUACAAAUUAACUUGAGUUCAUACUUGUACGUGACUGCAUACGUGGAAGAAGGAACCACUACUGUGUUCAUACUUGUUUAUACUCAGAAAUCCUAUAUGUAUAUGUAAGCAAACCACCGUGUAGAUGCAUCACCUGCAUACAUGUACGCAAUCACACACCUAUGUCCGAUGCGCUCCAGCGUAUAUGUACGUACGACAUCUAUUUAUAUGUGGUGAUUUUUAUUAAUGGCCCACGUGGGCAUUUGUUCUUCUCAAAUGGGCUAAAUUUAUCGAAUAAUCCUAUUUGACAACCGCGGACAAUCCGUAAAAAAUACCAGAUAAUCUAUAUCAGUCGGAUAUUAUCAAUAUCAUAUCCUCUAUCAUAUUCGCCGGAUAUCUGGUUGAUCAAAAUUCGUAUCCGCAUCCAUAUCCUUGCGAUUUGUGUAAGUGUAUACCAUAUCCUUAAAAACAGAUGCGAAAGCGGAUUCAGAACAGAAAUUAUCCGUAUCAUUUACAUCCCUACCUAUGACCUUAGGCCAUGGAGGUGUGCUGGGUGUAGGCCCUUGCUAGCGGGAGGGCUCCUCCUCUAUUUUUACAUGUUUCUUGUGUCCGUUUAGGGUUUGUGUAUUGCUGAGGAAGACGAGGUGGCAGCGUCUCCUUGAAGAUUCAAUAAGGUCCUCCCCGCAUAGGCCCCGUUUCGAUGGUCCGACUAGCGUUAUUGGAGGGCAUGUGGAGGUGUGAUUUCGAGGGAUCUCGUAGACUUUAGCUGGUAGUUGUUUAUGGUGGAUCUGGUCGGAUCCGGUCUUCAUCUGUCUGUGCUCGUGUGACUUUUGAUUGAAUAAUUUCGAUCUACGCUUAUCUUCAUCAACGACGGUUGUUGUUCUGAUCCGCUGAUCCUAUGAGGCCUUAGCACGACGACUUUGCAGUUGUCUACUAUAACAAAUUUUGUCCGGCUUUGAUGAAGGAGGGGUGAUGACGACGGCCAUUGGCUCGUUUCAGUGUUUGUAGUAGUCGCCAGUUAAUCUAUGAAUCUAUAUGUAUUUUUUGUUAUUUCAAAUAUUUGUUGUACUGUCAUGAUUGAUGAUGAAUAGAUCAAAGAUUUUUUCAUGAAAAAGAAAUUCCUUACAAGCUGCAAAAAAUAUAUGGAAAAAGAGUAAGAAAAAAGAGGACCUCAUGGCCAGCAACCCACGGCCCCAUCCAAGUUCAAGCUCAUGCCCCAUGGUUCAUCAGUUUUUUUCUUGUUUGGAGGAGCCCAUGGUUUAACAGUUGGACCACUGAGGGUAUGGUUCAUCAGAUCACGCGCGCUCAGUGCCAGUUCGAAUCUGCCCACGCCAACAUGAAAGCUACUAAACUCCAGGUCGAUCUCCAGCUUCCAAGCAACCAAUGGAUGACCGCUUUACAGCUGCACUGAUUUGCCCGGAGGUUCAUUGGCCACUACCGACUAAACUAUGUAUGUGCAUGGCACGUUUGUUGUUGGCAUCCCAUCUUUCGGGUACUAGCGUUGUUGGCACUCCCGGUCCCGCUCCUCCAGAUCACCGGCGUUGAUCCCCGUCCAGCCGGAGGCACAGGAGACGUCGCUAGGGCGGCGUACACGCAGCACCGACAUCGUUAUCAAUGGACCCGGUUCUUCCUUCCGCCUCAUCAGGCCGAAGACGGAGCCAGGGCUCCUGCCCGUCAAGUAGGAGCACCUCAUCAUGGCUGCCUCCGACGAGGCUGUCUUGAAAUUGAAGAAGAUGGAGCGUCAACGCCGCGUCCUGGAGGAAAUCGUCGUCCGUCAUCGCGGCCGCGAGGAGGGCGGCCUCGUCAUCCUCGACGACAGCGACGAGGAGGCGUCGGGGCCUUCUAACCCCGUUCGCAGGCGACCCAGGGCAGGGGUGGAGCAAAUACGGCGACGGAGCGGGCGGUAACGACGACGACGCCGAGGGCGACUACACCACUUUCUACAAGCUCCUCGGCAUGUAGAAGGCGGCAGCGGCGUGCGACGGCGAUGUAGUCUAGUUUUUAUUUUAGUUUUAUGUUUAAUUAUGUUUUUAUUUCCUUUUUUACAAAUUUAUUGCAAACUAUGAAUUUCUUUUGAAUUUGACUCGGUUUUGACCGAAUUUGGGCCGAUUUUUUUUUUUUUGAAAACCAAUUCGGGCGACCUUUGGGGGCGACUGGGAACCCGAGCCCCCCAGGGCGAGUUUUUCGCCGGUGCACCUCAAGACGACGCUAUUUCACGUUCGUGGGGGGCCGAACGGCUGGAGAUGCUCUUAGAGCAUCUACACGCGUAUCCCUCGAACCCAGCUCAAACGGUAAAAGAGGACAACAACCGGUCACAAAAAAAUGUGAUUUAAACGUGCUUCUUGUUAGAAGGAUUAGAGAGAGAUUGGUGGAAUAGCUGUUGUAUUGCAUACCAGCAAAUGGAGAGAAAAAAGACAAAGUCCCAUCCGGUGCUCCUUUCACUUGGAUCGUAGCCAACUUUGCGAAUUGUGCCGAGGACUCCAAUGAAGAUGUUACACAGGCUUAUGCUCACAUGUAAAUGUGGUAUGUUAUCUCUAGGACUACCUUCGCUAACAACGGCGGCAAGAACGCUCAAUGGAUGUGGCUGAAUGCGCUGACAGUCCUCGGCCACAAGUUCAUCUGGGGGUCGGCGACAUUGGCCUACUUGUAUCGGCAGGUAACAAAUCAUUCAUAAUUAGGUUUUGUUUGGCUUUCACUCUUGCCCUUAAUUGACCCGUGUUUGGCUUUACGUGCAGUUUAAUGAUGCUUGUCGUAGGUCCUCGAAAGACGACGGAAUUGAUGGUUGUAUGCUCCUACUUUCGGUAUGGAGUUGGAAACGCCUUUCAGUUGGACGCCCUAGAGAGGUAACGUUCAAGGCCUCGAUGACCACGACAACCCUAUACGGCUUCCCACCUGAGCUUAUAAGUGGGACGUGGUAUCGGAGGUGACGAGCGAUGUCAAUAUCGUGUAUAAGCAAUACACCAACGAGAUGGAUUCGCUUACCGCCAAGCAGGUAAACAUUGAUAUUACAUCACUCACUUGACUCCUCUACAUGAAAGGAAAACAUGAAUGUCGUGUUGUGUUGCAGGUGGAAUGCCAACCACAUGGUGUCGGGCAUCGCUUUGGUGAUGCACACACGUUCCGGCUCAAUCCAGUGUGCUUACAAGAUGAACAUCUUUCGCUUAUGCGGUGUCCACUGAUAUGCAAUUGAUCGAUUGAGUUUCAUCUCCCGCAUUGUGUGUUCCAUUAAUUUGGGUUGGUCCAGGGUCAUCCGUCGGAGUGGGUGGACACAGACACGCAACUUCACAGGGGAGAAAUGUGCUUGAUUUGGGAAGAGAUUUGAGAAGGGAGUAGAGGGGAAGUAGGGGACGGAGUUGAUGUUCUCUCAAGAUGUGUGGGAGCGGAGAUAGCCCCCCCCCCCCCCCCCUGCGGGUGUAUAAAUCAAAGUGUGGCGUCUAAGAGCAAGUCGCAAGAUAUUACAAGUAUGACGCCUUUGUCUUAGACGCAAAAAUGCUAGACAUACAAAGAGUUACAUAAAGUUACACGCUGAUUAUGAUUCUUUUUUUUCUAACUAACCAUUCCUCCCUGAUUUUCAAAGAGGAUGGGGCCCUCAUCCCCUUAAUCUCCAAUCAAAAUCCACCUCUUUGUAAAAUUCAUCUAAAUUAUGUAUGUGUAGCAUUGCUCGUCUUAAACGCCACACUAUGAGGAUGGGGUCGGCCCUGAAGGUGCCAGCGUGGCCGGAGAUGCGGCGUCUAGGUCUUCAACAAUACACAAUGGAGUGUGUCGCCUUUCCGUCGGACGCCAUACAAACCGGUUAGCCGGACGAUUUUUUUUGUUUUUUGUGAAUAAUUUAGUUUGUGAAUUUUUUGCCUCAAUAGAUCAAAUUUGUCAAAUUUGGCGUCCAAAUAUACAGGUCGAUAGAUUACCUCUUCCCUGCAUGUACAGGCAGAUAGCACCGUACGUAUCUCUAUCUCCAACUAUCAAGAUCAGACCAAAAAUCAGGAAAACACACUUUCCAACGUCAAAAAUCGCAGCAAAUCCAACCUACUACAAACCCGUCGUCACCCGCAAUGACCAGACCCGCACCUCGCCGUCAAAGCUGGCGCUGCACACCCUCCAUUCCUCGUCGCCGUCGUCAUGGUCGUCUCCUCCUGCCUGCAGCUGCUGCUUNNNNN
Molecule: long non-coding RNA, 108324 nt
Filed under: Hordeum vulgare
Lineage: Eukaryota; Viridiplantae; Streptophyta; Magnoliopsida; Poales; Poaceae
Description: long non-coding RNA (HVUL_LNC005039)
Source: RNAcentral